Molecule: long non-coding RNA, 107633 nt
Filed under: Medicago truncatula (barrel medic)
Lineage: Eukaryota; Viridiplantae; Streptophyta; Magnoliopsida; Fabales; Fabaceae
Description: long non-coding RNA (MTRU_LNC008637)
Rfam family: MIR2630 microRNA precursor family (bases 81955-82183)
Source: RNAcentral
AAUAGAAAACUACCAAGUUGUGUGAUUGGUUUCAUCUCGGCUUUGAGUUUCUAAGACAGUUUUGCUUAUACGACCAUGUUUCUUUUGUCAAUAGGAUAUACUUUUAGUUACAACAUUUGCUACUAUUCAUGGAUUUAUACUUUUAGUUCUACUUGUCAAGAAAUAGAGCAAACUAUGAUGCUUUUAUUUACUAUGUGGAAUAGACUUUGUGAGGUAUGAGAUGUUAGCAAUUGGGUAGGUUCAACUAUAAAGAGACAUGAAUUUCUUUUAAUUUUAUUAUGUUGUAUAAUGAGUACAAAUGUUAAACAUUCUUAUUAUAUUGUAUCUUCUAUAAUUUAUAUGGUUAUCAUUUUGGGAUGCAUUGUAGUGCAUUUUUUUUUAAAUAAAUAAAUUCUUUUCCUUCGGAUUUAAUGCAGGAAACGUGCCUACGGUCAGGAAAGUCCCUCAAACACUGAUCGAAUAUUUCCUGUAGAUAUAACUUUUCUGUGGAUGCUAAAAUUUUAAGGAAACAAUUAUCCACAAAGGUAUUACAUGGAAACCUAAAUCUUAGGCAAAAUUCACAGGAAACAGGUUUUAUGCGGAAACUUCAUCAAAAUCCGCAGGAAAAUCAAGAGUUUCUUAUAUUGUUAAUUAGUUUACCUAUGGAAAGAUUGUGAAAUAUAAAGAUGUUAUGUAUACCUCAAAGAUGAUAAAGAAUUAAGAAAUUUGAGUUUAGUCAAACUAUUUGGCUUGUAUGUAUACCCAUACAAAUAAUUUGAUGUUGAAGAUUGACAUUAAUCAAACUAUAUAGUUUAGUUUAUUUAUGAAAUGUUUCGUUCAUAUAUAAAUUUGGAAUUAUUUGUUAAAUUACUAUUAUGAAAAAAUUAUCUAUACCGUCUUUGUUAGAUGCUUUGGUAUUUGUUUUGCAAUGAGAUGCCUUGUUAUUAUUAUGUUUAAAUGAAUGAAAAUUGUUUCAUAUAUCUCAAAACAGUACCGUGAGCAGGGAGGGUUUUUUCACCCGGCGAGAAAUUUACAAGAAAUUUAUGGUAUCGUUACAGAAAAUUGAUUUGUAGUAACAACCGAAAUUCGUCACUAUAUGAUUAAUUUCCGUAGUUAAAUUCGUCUGUCAUUGCAGAAUAGAUGUUGCUGCAUGUUUUCCACCUUUACCUACGGACAAAACCGUAGGUAAAUUUAAAGAUACUAUUUUAAGAACAUUAAGGAUCUCUAUCUACGAUUGUGACUGUCACUAAAACUUAUCAUUGUUUUAAUAUUUUCUAUUCUACUAUGAAUUCUAAAAAUGAAUAAUUCAUCAAAUUACCACUAAAACUAUUUUAAUCAAUAUAAUAAAAUUCCGUCCCUAAUUAUAAGACCCUUUUGAGAAUUUUUUUGUCCCUUUUUAUAAGACCCCUUUGUUAUUUCCAACUACAAUAAUUAUUUCUUUACAUACAUGUCUCUAUUUAUUAUACAUCUUUUUCUUUAAUCAGCAAUAAAUAACAUGUUGAAAACAUAAACCAACUCUCUCUCUUAAAGGAUAAAAUUGUAAAAACAAUAGUAAUUACAAACAUAUUUAAUACAAAUAUCUACAUCUUAAUUCCCGUUAUUUUUUUAAAAUGGUCCUAUAAUAAGAGACGGAUGUAGUAAUCAAUAUCAUUGGAAUUUGAAAUUGACUACUAUAAUCAAUUUUUAGAAUAAAUUCUUGAAGUGCCUUAACAAGAAUAAUUCUCCCUAACUAUGAACUAUUAUACCAUUCACCCAAACCAAUAUUCAAUACCCACAUAAAUACUCAAUACUCACAUAAAUCAAAAUCUAUACAUACUCCACUACUCAUUUAAUUUAUGGUAAUAAGAUUUGAUUCACUAGUCAUAAUAGCUUAUUAGACAAAAUGACAUACUAUCAAGUUACAACUUACAAUCACUUCAUACCUAAUAAAACUUACAUUCAAUUCCACAACAAGUUCAUACAAAUUGUACUUUUAUUGACAAAAUGAUAACCCUCUUUUAUACCAAUAAUAUUGUUGCCUAUAUGCAAACAAGUAUGCUUCCAAAACACUACUAGGAAAAGCAAAAUUAGCGAGGGAAAUUAGUAACGGAAAAAAUGAAAUUCCUCACAAAUUCCUUGGUCGCAAAAUUUAGUGACGGAAUUAGAGAGGGAUUUCAUGUUUUCCCACACUAAAUAUCCCUCACUAAUUUUUGUUUUUUUAGUAGUGAAAUUCGGAAGGUUAACUUCUAAUAUAUGUUAUCUUAACAUAUUUUUCAAAUGUUUGGAGACAAAAUUCCGUUAUUUAGUUACAAAUGUUCAAGAACGUUGUGCAAGUUUGAUUUUUAAAAUACUUUGAUGUAAUUUGAUUAUGUGAAACAAUGAUAUUUAGUGUUUAUUUUGUGUCUAGUUUUAUGAUAUUAAUGAAUGAUUUUGUAACUUUGAAUUUGUGUAGUGUUCGAUAUGAAAUUUGGUUCAAUGAUAUUUUAUAUUAGUGGUUAUGAAUGAAAUUUUAGAUUAAUUUAUGAAAUUUUGUUUUAAAAUCAUGUAUAAUAUGCAAGAAACUAAAAAAAAAAGAAUUUGAAUUUAAAUGGGUUGAACUUUUUUUUUUUUAUUUUUUUUUUAUAAUGUUUGAGCCAUUUUUAUGUGGGGUGAACGGACUUAAUUAAUAGCUUUUUAAGUCGGAUAAAAGAUAGACUUAAAAUUAAAAUAGUUAUUAAGUCGGUCACCUAUAAGUCGGAUAUGAACCGACUUAAAAAGUCAUUUUCACCCCACUUAAAAAGUGUUUUAUGCACUAUUCGUGAACAAGAAGAAGAUGAAAUUUAUAUGAACUUGUUUGAAGUUUUUUUUUUUUUAUAAGAAAUUUGUUAUUCCACUUUUGAAAUUAAAAGAAAUGAUAAGUACAUAUAAGAUAAUCAUAUGUGCAUAUUAUUAUUUGCUUAUAUUGAUGUGUGUGAAUAACUUAAUUAUCUUUGUUUACUAUUCUCUUGUGUUGAAAAAUAGUCUUUGUAAAUCUUUUGAUGUGUACGACUUUGAAGAAGUAAUAUUUUGAAUUAAAAUUACUAGUUUGAAAGAGAUUUUUUUUCCAGUAAACUAGCUAGCAAAAUUCUCUAUAAUUCUAGUGUAAAGAUGUUCAAGAACACUGAUUAUCCGACGAAUUUGAACAUCAAGGGGUUGUUAUAAACUAGAUCGUGUUGUCCCGCCAAUAGAAAUAUAUAAGUUGACAGGGCGGUAAGAUCUAGUUCAAAAACAAAAACCCUCAUGAAACACCUUCCCUUUCAUCUUCAUUCAUCUUAUUAUGUUGGUUUACGUCGUUUAUUUUUGCGUGUUAUAAACCAUGCAAAACCCUCCAAACCUCAUGUUUUAACACAGUCUGGGAUGAUUCAGAUUAUAUAAUCCGAACCAUCCCAGAACGCGGAGUGUGGCUUGGACAGUUUGUGGUACGUUAUUUGUAUUUUUAGUAGAUUUAGAUUGUGUAAAUAUUUCUUUUUGACUGCAAUUAUUGUCUAGAAAUGUUUUAUGGCUAUAAAUAUCCUUACAUCCUUUAUCGUUUUCAUUCAUUAUUAACUUCUCAAUCAUUCUAAAAUUCUUCACUGUUGACCAUUCAUAUGAUCUCUAAAAUUGCUUUGUUUUUUUUUUUUUUUGGAUCGUAUUAUGGUUAACAUAGACCUUUCAUUUUAAUUUAUGCACCAUUUAUGGGUUUCAGUAUGCUCGGAUUUGAUAAUCCAAUUUUUUUUUUAUAAAAGGGUUUAAAUUUUCUAAUCCAAACAAAUGAUAUUUUUGGAGAGAAACAAAAUAGAAUGGGAAAUGUAUGGUCAAAUAUUUUGGUCUUUUUGGAACUAAAAAAACAAGGCGUCCUCCAAAAUUAAAUUGGAGCCCGGCAAGUUGAAAAUCAUUCAUGAAUCUCCAUAUCAUUUUUAUUAAUGGGCAAUCCCUCUGAUCCUCUCCAAUAAAUGGAGUUAGACUUUAAAACGACGAAGUGGUGGAAAAUCUAAAUAGUUUUAGUUUUGUAAUCUACUCAUCCAAAAAGAGAAAAUAAAAUGGAAUAACAGUCAUAAUUUGUCCCUACCAAUCACUCUCUUGUCAAUUUAACCCUUAAACUAUAAAAAUCAACUAAAAAGUCUCUAAAUUAUUCUCUCAUCCAACUAUUUAGUCCUUUAAUUAACAAAAUUGGUUGAUUUUUUUUUAUUUUUUUUACAAAAGCUAAAGAGAACAGCAAGAAACAGAAAAAGAAAAAGACUAUGAUCUCAAAAAAUAAGUUCAAGUGGCAUCAUUUAGAAGGAGAUGCAAGAGCUCCUUCGGAGGAGAUACAUGAUGCAAAAGAACAAAUAACUAAAAUGAAGUUCGAACAUUGAUUCCCUUCAUGUAAAGUAUGGCAAACCGUUGUAUUGUUUUGGUUGAUUUUCAUGAUAGUAAUAACCAAAAUGAUGCAUUUUCUACCGUCCAAUGAUUUUUUUUUUUUUAGAGAAGUCCAAUGAUUUUUUGUUAGUUGAUUUUAAUAAUUUAGAGACUAAAUUGAUGAGAAGUGAUAAUUUAAGAACAAAAUUGAUCAUUUAUUCAAAUAAAAUGGAACAAGUUUUAUGUAUUCUAGAAGGAAGCAUCUCAAUAUAGUAUCUGGUCCACAUAAUAGACUCACGGACCAAAGCUCUAAUCACUAGUUAUUGGAUCAAACAUAACUAUUACUUCCUCCCUCCCGUAAUAAUUGAGUCAUUUGUAAAAAAAUAUUGUCCUAAGAAUUUUGAUCCAUUUCAGUUUUCAAUACAACAUUAAUUUUUUUUUUUUCUAAUUAUAACUCUAAUAAAUAAUACUUUCACCACUCUCAAUUCAAUAUAUUAUACUUUACAUUUAUGAUAAAGAAGAAUAUUACACCAAUACUUGCCAAAGACAUUCAAAAUUAUUUUUAUCUCUCUUUCAUUUAUACAUUUUUCUUAAUCUAUAUGAAAAGGUAAAUUAGCUCAGUUAAAUUGGAACGGAGGGUGUAUGUUCUUAUUGAAAGAUUAACAAAGUUCUAUUAUGAUUAAAAAAUCUCAUUCGUGAACUACCUUGCUCGGAGUGGUAAUGACUAUGUCAUAAAGUUGCUGCUCAAGGUUUGUGACCCUCCCUCAAAAAAAAAAAAAAAAUUAAGUGACCCUAAAUCACUAAUGGCCAACAAGAUUUCAUCUUCAAUAUUUAGGGGAUGUAUUGGAUUAGGAUUCUAUGGGAUUUUAAAAGACUUUUUAAUUAUGAAAAAGUCUUGUGGUAUUCAAUCAAGACUUUUUGCAACUUAAAAAAAGUCUUGUGGUAUUCAAUCAAGACUCUUUGUCAUUUUAAAAAAGUCUUGAGGUAUUCAAUCAAGACUUUUCAUCACUUAAAAAAAGUCUUGUGGUAUUCAAAAUCAUUCAAAUUUCGAAGGAUUGUUUAAUAAAUUAGAUUUUGAUGGAUUUUGUGGAAUUUUGUAGUGUAAUUUUAAUAAGAAAAAGUCUUUCAUAAAAAGAUGAGAUUUCUUGAGAUUGUUUUUCUUUUAAAAGUUAGUAUCUAUUUCUUCUCCUUUCUCCCUCCCUCCCUCCCCCUCCCUAUUCUAUCCUUUCUCUCUUCGUUUCUCUAUCUCUCCACUCUCUCCACUCUCUCUCUCUCUCUCUCUCUCUCUCUCUCUCUCUCUCUCUCUCUCUCAUCCCCCCUCUCUCUAUGUCAUAAAAAAAUAAAAAAUUGUAUUGGGAAUAUUAUGAUAGAGAGUAUGUCGUAAUCAAUGAUCCGCAAAUCGAGUGUUAACUCUCCGAGAUUAUCGAGUUUAUGUUUUUAGGUACAAAAAUCGUGUUAACUCUGAGGUAAAAUCGGUUUCUGAUAAAAUUGGAAGGUUUAACGAGUUUGACUGAGUUAACACUCGGUAAACUCGUGUAACUUGACCGAUUUGUAAUGGCUGACAUAAUAUUUUUUUUUUAAAGAUUUGUAAGUGCUAGCAUAAUUUUAAAUAUGUACAAUUGAAUUUUGUGGGAAUAACAUUUUUAACAAAUAAAAAAUGUGUACUGAGAAUAAUGUGUUAAGAGUGUUUUUUAGUCCCUUAAAAUCUUAUAAAAUUCUUAAAAUUUGAAAAUCAAUAGUAAAAGAAUUUUUUAUUGAUUUUAUUUUUCUUUAUUCAAACGCUAGAAUUUAUUUGUUCAUUAUUUUUAUCAUCCACGCUUGUAAGUUUCUUCUUUUUCCCCUAAAAUUUAUUGAAUCCUUUGAAAUUUUAAAAUCACAUAAAAUCCUUUGAAAUCCUUAAAAGUCAGUGUGAUAAAUCCUUUAAAAUCUUGAGUGUAUAAAGUCUUUUACAUAAAAAGUCUUUUAAAAUCUCACAGAAUCAAUACAAUCUCACAUAGUCUUUAAAAAUCUUAAAGACUUUUUUUAUUAAAAUAGUCUUUUAAAAUCCUAAUCCAAUACACCCCUUAAUUGGUGUUAAGGGAUUUCGGAAUUUAUUUUUUAACUCCAUAAACUUAUAGUAAGUAGUAAAUCUCAAGUGAAAUCUAUUUGCAGCAAGAUUCAAUACAACUUUGAAAAGUAAUAAUUGUAUGAUGAGGAAAUCAUUGGUAAAAUUAUGUAUUAACGAGAACAUAAUGUAAUUUAAAACAAUGAUUUCCAUGUGAAUAAGUCAUGUACCUUGCAAAACACCCACAAGAUGAAGUUAGUUACUCAGGGUUCGUGAAAUUACCACAAUUGCUUCAAAAUAGUUGGUGUCUCCUUUGUGAAAAAACAAAUCAAUAGAAAAAGUCAAAUGAUGAAACAAAUGACAUACAAGAAAUAUUUCUGCAAAAUUACCUGCGGAUUUUGGUAGAAACUCUAAAUUUUCUAUCGGAAUUACCUACGGAUAUUAGUGAAAACUUCGCAGGAAACUUGUUCCUGCGGAUUUUGUCAAGGAUUUAUGCUCCCAGGUAAUAAUACCUUAAUGGAUAAUUGUUUUCUUAUGAUUUUAGAAUCCUUAGCAAACAUUCGGUCAAUGUAUGAGGAGUUUCCUCAUGCCCGUUAGCACUUUGUUGCAUACAUACUCACAAGUAGUUCCAUAGCAAACUACGCAACAAAAUUGAAACAAUAUCAGAGAAAAAUAAACUGCAGGAAAAUCCGCAUGAAAUUGAUUUAUUUUUAAAAGAAUAAUAAUGCAUCUCAUUGCAUUACAAAACGAUAAAAAUAUAAAUUAUAGACGAUACAAUUUCUAUCCAUUUCAGCAAUUAGAACAAAUUCGAAGUGUAAACCAAAAGAAUGUUUAACAAUUGCAUUAAUCAAACAUCAAAAUAAAAUUAAAAGAAACUCAUGUCUCUUUGUAAUAAUUCAUAAUUCAUAAAAGACAAUAAUAUAAUUCAUAGUAAUAUUGAAGCAACCCCUUUAUGCAUUUGUAUUUGAUUUUGCACACUGGACAAGCUUAGUUCCCCUUUCGUGUUUUAUACUCAAAGCAAGUAAAAAGCGUGAGGUAACCCACUUAGGUUGAUCUAGUGGUAUUGACUUGGGACCUGGGAGUGUGCUCCUCCUCGAUGUCUCAGGUUCGAUUAUCACCGAUGUCAAUUUGGGUAGACUAAUUUAACUUCUUAAAAAAAAAAAAAAAAGUAAAAAGUGAGGUGUCCAUGAAAAUGACAUACUUAGAAUGCUAAAGAAGAAAAUGGGAUCAGGAAUUCAUGUUAUGUGACCCUGCAAUUAGUCUCCCAUUAGUGUCCAUUGAAACCAGCACUCAGCACCACCUCCUGCAUGUAUAUCAACUGCAUCUUUCAGAAUUUAUUCAACAUUUAAUCUAGUUACAGAGAACUAAAGUAAACAUUAUAGUUUUUAUUAUCCUAUAUUUUGCUUAAGCUUAAGUUUUAGUCGAAGGAAUAUGAAUUGUUUCUAUAUUGACAUUAGAUACUGACAGCAGGUAGGACGAAAAAUGCAACAAAAAUGAUAAUUGAAGGACCGUUUUGUUUUGUUUUAAAAGAGCAGGACCAGUUUCGUGAGUAGACCAAAACACGAGGACCAAAAAUGUAAUUAAGCCUAUAUUAUAAUUAUUUUAGAAUCUCCUGUCAUGACAAUAGUCAACUUAAAAUUUUGGAAGCUCGUUAUUUUCAAACAAACAAAAAAAAACUUGAUUAAACUGCAGUUUUGACCCCCUAAUUUUCACAAUGUUGCAAUUUUGGUCCCCUAUUAAAAAAAUGAAAAUUUGAAUCCCUAUGUUUUAGCCCCUUUGCAAAAGUGACCUUUUGGUCAAUUUUGAUCGGGUCAACACGGAAGUGGCAUGCUACAUGUGUAUUUUCUCUUUUUUUUUUAAUUCAAAACGCCACCUGUGUAAUACUUGAAUAAAAAAUGGGUAAAGGAUUGGCACGUGAGAGUUUCCAACGGUAAAAAACUCCAACCUUAAAAACCCCCCAAUUCUUCAACCCUUCUUCUUCAUCUUUUCUUCUUCAUCAUUUCUUGUCCAUAAUUGAACCUUCAUCUAUUCUUCUCCAACCAUCUUAUUCAGCCAUUCUUCUCCUUUCUUCCACAUCGAUUCUUCCUCUACAUCCUUUCUUCCUUCCACAUCGAUUUCUGUCUUGUGUUUGCAGAUCGGAAAACAGAAAGUGGCUGGUAACAAUUCAUCUUCAACUGUUUCUGGGUCAUCAAGUAUGGCGAAAUCGAGGUUGGUUUGUUAUUGUGGUGUUGAAUCACCUCUGGUCACUUCUUGGACGGAUGAAAACCAAGGAAGGAGGUUCCAUGGUUGUGGAAAGUAUUUCCAGAGAAGAAAAUGCAGCUUUUUCAGGUGGUUUGAUCCAGAAGUGCCUGAGAGGCAGAAGAAAUUAACUAGAGGACUUUUGAAGAAGAAUGAUGCAAUGAAGAAGAAGACGAAAAAGUUGGAGUUAACAAUUGUAGUUUUAGGGAUGUUGUUGUUUUUAAGUUUGUUUGUGAUUUUCAUUAAGCUUGGUUAACUUAUGGAUUGAUGUAAUAUUGGUAUGAUUUUUUGAUGCAAUGUAUCAGUUAUGUAAUGUUGCUAUGAUUUUGAUGUAAUUUCUGCUAUUGGCAAAGAAUUAAUGAAACAGGUUUUAUGUUUUGGCAAAGUUUACUGCAUUAUAGUACGUAAAUACUUGACAUUGAAAUGAGCAUAACAUAGUAUUACUUCACAUUCACCAAAUGCAAAAUACAUGAAGAGUACUUAACAUUAUAGUACUUAAGAUGACAUAGGUUUAAAAAGUGCAUUAACCUUAUAUAACCAUAACCAAAAUAGAGAAUUUAACCAAAAGAUCAUAACCAGUACUUUAGAGUACUUAACCUUACAUAACCAAAAUAAAAGAUAAAGAGUACUUGACAUUAAACGACCUAAAUUAACCAAAAUAUAACAUCAGUCUCAUUGUCAUUCAUUGCCAUUCCAAACUUAAGUUUUGUUCACUGAUUGUUGAGUCCCCAUAGUUGCCAUCUCAUCACUUUUCCUUUUAGCUCCAGCAAGCCUUGACCUUCUAGGCACAAACAAAGAUGAAUCACCAACAAUAACAUGCUUGCCAGAUGUGUUACUGGUUGUAGCAGUUACAUGAGAAGCAGUCACAUUAGCAGCAUUAGCAUGAGCAUCAGUUACAGGAGCAGCAGUUACAGAACCAACAUGGUUGUUUGUACCAGCAGUACCAGAUGUAACAUUUGUAGGCCCUUUGGUGUUUGACUUUGCAGCAACAGUCUUAGUAUUUUGUUUUUGCUUGUUUUGGGUGCCACAGUUGCAGGUGCAUUGUUGUUGGGAACUUUAUCAGGUUGUAUGACAGAAGAUGUUGCAGUUGCAGGUGCAGGUGCAUUUAUGUUGACUGAAGCUUGUGCAUUUGAGUGUUGUGCAUUUGAAGCUUGUGGAUUUGAAGCCUUAGGGUGUUGAAUAUCAGUAUUAUCCUACAAUAUCACAAAGUGUGUUAUAUAUCAGAAGUUGUGUUAUAUAUCAUAAAGUAUUAUAACCUAGAAAGUGUGUUAUUACCUUGUUCCCUCCAGGUCUAAUUGACCUAUCAGCAGUUGUUUUACCCUUACAAGUCCUCAUGUUAUGUCCAAGUUCCUUACAUAUUGUGCACCUCACAGUCUCCUGAUUUCUCUUUCCCUUCUUGCUAGUUGACUUAGGCUCAUCAUUAUCCUUCCUCCUAAGCUUCUUUGGCCUCCCAGGUGCCCUUCUGACUAAAGGUGGAAGUAUUUGUGGAAGGUUCACUUCUGGCCAUAGCUUUGGUCCAUUUGAAGGCAUGAUCAAAUUACCAUAUGUAUCAAAGAAAGUUUGCUUCCAGUCAUGUGAAACCAACCAGAUUAUACUCAAUUAACCACUUAAAUUAAGAAUACAUAAAGUCAUAUAGAACUAAAGUGGGCAAGGAAUACCACUUAAUUCCCACCUUCUACAUGCACAUGUCCUCUCUUUGAGAUUAAUCACAUAAGUAUCACUUCCAUUAGAAGCACUAAAGUGAGCAUAUUCUCUAUCACCAUGCCAAGUUGGUGACCAAUUAUUUGCAUCCUUCUUAGCCUUGUCCAAUAUUUUUUUGAUCAUUGGACAAAUACCACCAGAAUACCUCAACAUGCAAUCCCUUAAUCUAACUACCCUAUUGGUCAUAUAGAACUUUAGUCCCUCAAUAAGUGAAAUAACUGGUUGCUCCCUUAACUCAAUUAUUGAAGAGUUAAAUGUCUCACACAUGUUAUUGACUUGUAAGUCACAACAUGUGUGAGUACUGUAUCCUGCCCUAUUCCACAUACCUGGUGGAUAUUGCUUCAUCUCAUCCCAAGCUGCCUCACUAUGACUUUUCAGUUUGUCCAUAGCCAUGUUAAAAUCAGGCAUAAUAUUUCCCUAGUUGCAGAGUGCUCACUAACAUGUCUUUUCCAAAAAUUCUCAUACAAAUAUCACAAUCUCAUCAUUUCCAGGAAACUUAAACCUAUUGUAUUUCUUAUUUUUCCUUGCAUUACCAUCCUCCUCACCUGAUUCACAACUUUCUAGAAAAUCUGAGUCUCCAUUCUCAUCUUCAAAAUCUAGCUAAGUUGUGGCCUCAGUGUUCCUUGAUGCUUCAACACCAACAAUAGCUUGACAAGAGUUGGAUGACUGAGCAACAGGAGUUAGGUUCAAAGUUUGGUUAGGAAGCACAGAAGUCCACUCCCAUUCUUCAUCAAAAUCACUGUCAUCAACUGACACUCCAUCAACAUUUUCAGUUUCAGCUUCAGACUCAUGCUCAUCACCCUCAUCACCAACAUACUCAGGAUCAGAUUCUUCUUCAUCUUCAAGUUCAGCUGGUUCUUUCUCUUUAUCUAACACAACAACUUCUUCCUCAUCACUCACAUACCUUCUAUCAAGUCCUUCCAAAUCCUUAUCAGCUUCCACAUAAAAAUCAGCAGCUUCAUGAUUUAUGUGAUCAUUUACGAAUCUAAUGACAUCCCUAUCAGUUUUCAAAGGCCUAAGACCAUCACUCAACUCCAACCUGGACUGACAUAAAACAACUUAUACUCACCUUCCACACCAACCUCUCUCACUAGAUUGUUCAAAUCUUUGAGGUUUGUCUUAUCUAUGUGUAACUCACCACCAAAUUCAUAUACUUCACCCUUCUUAUAAGCUAUAACAGGGUUAGAAAUGAAAUACCCUUGGUGGUGAAACCUUAUCUUCAAUGAAUGGUUCUCAACAACCCUACAAAAAUUGAAUAAAAACCAUUUACUAUUUAAUUCAUAGUGUAUUACAUCUGUAUGAAUACUGUAUUUUCAUACAGUAUUUAUACUCAUACUUCUUUCAUACGAAUGUAAACCAAAAAAGCCAUAUAAAAUUAACAUUUUCCAGUUUUUCAACCGUGCAUAAUUAAAUACAGUAUUCAAUACUUCCAACAACCCUUUUUUAUUCAGAAAUAAUGUAUGAUGAGCUUUGAUUUAUAGUUAAACAGACAUAUGAAAACAAAAAAAACACUUACUUUGAAGCAUCCAUGUCAGGAAUCUGUCCAGAGAACACGUUUCUUUGAGUUGAUGGAACUUCCAUAUUCGAAUCUUUCGUCUUCUCUGAAUCUUUAGUUGUCGUCGCAUCAUUCUUCUUAGUCUUUGUUCUUGUACUCCCCGUCACAUCUUUACUCUUCCUCGUCGAACCCGUACUCGCCGUCUCCUUUCCAUUUUCUUUCCAUUUCAUUUUCAAAACAAACAGAGAUGAUGAAGGAUAUUCGAUUUCGGAAACUAUUUGGGAAGGAGAUUAUGGAUGAAGAAUUGAUUUGGAAACUUACGGGGUUGUGGUUUUUCACUGAUGUUAAAAUUUGGGAAAAAUUUUAACCCUAGAAUCUGAAAGAAACUCUCACGUGCCAAUCCUUAUAUAUUUUCUUUUUUCUUUUUUUUAUUCAAGUAUUACACAUGUGGUGUUUUCAAUUUAAAAAAAAAAAGGGAAAAUACACAUGUGGCAUGCCACCUCCGCGUUGAUCCGGUUAAAAUUGACUAAAAGGUCACUUUUGCAAAGGAACUAAAACAUAGGGGUUCAAAUUUUCAUUUUUUAAAUAGGGGGUCAAAAUCGCAACAUUGUGAAAGUUAGGGGGUCAAAACUGCAGUUUAGCCAAAAAACUUUGCUAAAACUAUACAUAAAAUAACUAGCAAAAUAAACAUGUAUUCUCAUAGAUUUGCUGAUUUUUUCUUGAUAGUUAAGGUACAUUAUAUUAAGCUAUAAUUUUUUUAAAAAUAAGUUAUAAAAUAUUAUUAAAAUACAAUUGAUAAUAUUAUGCACUUAAAUGUAAAAUUUAUUGUACAAUGUAUGUUUUUAUAAUAAAUUGCUAUUAUAUUAUAAUUAUUUUGUCCUUCAAAAAUAAAAGAAUUAUAAAAAAAAAAAAAAAUUAUCAAACCUUGACGAUUGCAAACAUUGUUAAUUAAAUAAAAAAAUAAAAUUAAUAUAUAAAAUAAAAUAAUUAUAAAUAUGAAAUAAUUCACACACAAUUGAUUUUCUCACAUACUCAUGAACUAAACACAACUUUGAAGAAAUGUAUUUCAAUCACAAACUACAUGCAUGAACCACCAACAUAUCUUGCAAAGAAUACAUAUAUGUCUCAUUCUUCAUUUGUCAAAAAAAAAAAAAAAAAAAGUCUCAUUCUUUAUGUAUCAAUAUAACUUUUGGAGUCAUGUAUUUCAAUCAGAGACAAACACCAUCGACAUAUGCAUGAACAACCACUAUAUCUUUCAAUGAACAUAGAUUUUCCUCAUUCUUCAUGUAUUAAAUAAGUCUCAUUGAGACAUGCAAGUCAUAUGAGAAUAAAUUUUAUAUAUGUUCGAAAUACAAAGAAAUUCUCAAUUUUAACACUUUUGCAAACACAUGAGCAUAAAAAAUCGUUACAACAUAUAAUAUUAAAAAUAAUUAGUACACAUCGAUCUAAAUAUUUAUACUAUAUGCAUGUAUUAUUCAACAAAAAUUUAUGCCUUCUACGAAUGGGGCCUUGAGAGGUCGUGCAUCCUUAUCAUGCUCAUGGCGACUACUGGCUACCAUUAUGAAUAUUAUUUUUUUUAAGAAAAAACAAUACAAUUUAAAAUAUAAUAAGACAACAAAUUAUUCUGAUUCCUUAAAAAUUAUAAUUAAAUUGAAAUUUAUCAUAGAGAUAAAGAUAAUAUAUUAUUUGUAUGUUGAUAGAUUUUUCGUAGAGACUCGUAAGGAUGUGCGGUGAUAGGUUAGAAUACAAAAUCUCCUCGUGAUAGAGAACGAGGAUGAGAGAUAUUUUGAAGGGUUAGGAUAAGGAGCGAGGACCACGUCCAGAUUUUCUUCGUUAAACCAAACAAUUUGAAUAUUAUUGAAAGUCAUUUAUUUAAAAUAUUUUCUAGCACAAUUGAUAAUUGAACAAAAAAUAUAUACAAUUAUAUAUUAAAAAAUUCAUAAUUUUGGAGAGAUAUAGACACAAAAAAUCUUGAUUAUGGGACCCAUUUAAUUAAAAUAUCUACUAUCUCUUUUUUAUGUCUAUCUCUUUCCAAAUUGUAUCCUCCAUUUAUUUUGAUAAAUGGAGAGGAUCUUAACUCCCUAUGGAUACUUGUUAACAUUUUCCUAUAUUUUAAAUAUGUAAACGUAAUAAAAAGAUAGACAAUCAUAUGCAUAACCAAAUGUUCUAGAGGGUUAAUCUAAGAAGUUGUCUAUUUUAUAAAAUAUUUUGAAUUGUCAGAUAAAUAUUUUAUUAUGUAAGACUACAUUUUAUUUUCUUUAAGCUUGCAAUUUGUAAGUUAUGAUUUAUGAUAAAUACUCUAUAUUUUUGUAUGGAUGUUUAUGUGAUAGAUAUUUUGCAUGAAUGUUGAUUUAAAGAAUGUUUUAUGCCCUCGUCCAAUCCAUCUAUAUAUACAGUUCAUGAUAUUGUUGUGUAAUUGACGGAUACAUGCAUGAGUUACAACUUAUUUUUGUAGGGCAAUAAUGUAAAUUAGGGAACCACUUAUGUGGAAACAGCACCUCACUUCAAUUACGUUGAGAAUCGUCGCAAAUCAAAUAAGAAUUUCUCAAUUCCUUUUUCAAUAUUUCGAUCAAAAACUAAGUUUUUCUACUGGUGAUAUAUAUUAAUAUUAUUAUAAAUCCUCUUGACGAGACAAGAUUUAUGAAGAUCCAUAGCGAGUUUGAAGUAUUCCAUUGAUUACAAUUUUUCAUAUUAACCAUGUUUCGUCCACAAUCUUGGAACAAAAGUGGUCCCAUGAGGAACAAGCUUAGAGGAGUUGAACUUCUUCGAUUCUUUAGUUUUGUUUAGACAUUUCAAGGUUGAUUGUUUCCUUAUUUCCUUCAGUUUUAUUACUUGUACAAAUUCGAUAGUACACAUUCAAUGUAUAGUGAUAUGUGAAAUAAUAAUAUUCUUUGUCCAUGUCUAGGUCAGUUUGGCAUUUAUAGUCCCCUUUAAAAUUCAUGUUUUGUAUGCCGAAUAAGUUAUAUCUAAUGAAAACUUAAAAUUUUAAAGAACAAGAGUUAAAUAAAAUGUUCGAACUGGUCUUAUAAUAUAACGCCAAUGGUGGAAAUAAAAUAGAUAAGUACAACUAUCAAGCUUAACAAAAAGGAAUGUGUAGGAACUCUUAAAAGAAAAUUAGACUUUACAUAAUAGCACGUCAUAGUUUCAAGUCUAAGAUAAAUAGAAUUAUCUCACCAAGCUCAAACCCAAAAUAAUAAUAAUACCUCACGAAUGACCUGACUAUCCUAUUGUGAAUAAGUGACUCUGAAGCUACUAUACAAAGAUGUAUCUAUGUGAAACACCAAAUAACUAAGAAAAAUUACCACCUAGAUUACGUGAAAGAGCCGUGACAUUUGAUUCAUAUGUUUAAUAGCAAAGUUCGGAUUUUUCUUUAAGUUGUUGUUUGCACAUUAGCAAUAAAAAGUUGAACUACACACACGCACACUUUAUACCAAUGUGGGGUGAAUGAUCCAAGUUGUGUUGGAGUGGGGUGACUUAGAUUUUUGAUGUGGUAUCCAUACUAGAGGGUUAUCUUACUCAUGUCUUAUUAAAUGCAUACUUUCAUUAUAUUUUGCUAGACAUUUGGAACUUUGGUUUAAUGCUUGUUAUUUCCAUCAUUCGAGGAUGAGAAAUGUUCAAGUUUGGGGGUGGGCAUUAUCAUACCCUAGUUUAAUGAAGCCUUUGAGUGAAUGCAUGGCCUCCUUCUUGUUUGUGUUUAUUUAACUCUUGUAAAAAAAAAUAUUUUGCAUUACUCGAGGACGAGCAAUGAUUAUAGUUUGGGGGUGUGAUAAUGGCAAUGUUGUUUUUCGAGCUCAGAAACGUAUCUUUUAAUAAAAUCGAAAUCACCGCCAAAGAUAUCACCACCAAAGAUAUUACCGGGUUGAGUCUGCUUCACGUCCUAAUAAAAUUGGUAUCACUGCCGAAUGGAAUACCGGGUUGAGUCACAACCCGGUCGCUUUCUUUAAGACGUUUCACGGCACUAUCCAAGUUUGUACAAGGUAGACUAACAACUAUGCGGCUCCAGGAUUAGAAGCCCCUAGUUCACCUGUUCGAUUAAGUACUACACCGUAAAUAAUCGUUCGAGAAAUAACACCCUCAGAUAUGGUACUAAGAUCACUCUUAAUACUGAAACCAAUAUGGUAUUGUGACCAUUCUACUAUGGUGCUGCAACCACUCAAAUAUGGUGUUACCACCAUUCUAAUUUUGAACUUCUCAAAAUAUCAAUAUGGUACUUCAACCACUCAAAUAUGGUGUUACGACCAUUCUAACAUCUUAUGUUUAAGAUCAUUCUCAUUGCACCGAAAAUGAAUAUGAUCUUAAAAUAUUAUUUAUUCAUUUUUUUUUUUGGUAGAUAGACAAAAUGGCAAAGCCAUUAUAAAUUCACACACACAAGUGAAGGAACCGGGAUUCGAACCCCAGUCAUGGCAUCCGCCCUAACAAUUUUGGCAUUUUGCCAGUUGAGCUAGGACUUCCGGAUAAAUAUUAUUUAUUCUAAAGAGGCAUAAAUUGAAGGGACUAUGCUCUUAAAGACCAUUCUUAUUUUUGAAAGGACAAUAAACUGAAUAGGGACUAUGGUCUUAAGAACACUCUUAAUUUUGAAGGGGCAAGAUGAGUAGAAAAAGGAGAAGGACUUGUUGACACGAGUCGAAGGAGGGAGAAGAGAGGAAAAACAUAGGAAUCAUCAACUGUGAAUUUCGGUGUGUCGAAUGCACUUUGUGAGCUCUCUAUUUAUAGGGAAAUUCACAACUAAUAAAUGAGAAACUUUGGAAGCAAGUAAUUCUCAUAUUAGAUCUAGUACAAAAAUAUCUCAACUUGAGUAUCAAAAUAUAUCAUAUUGAGUACAAAAUAUAUUAUUCAGUGCAUAAAUAUAUUAUUGAGUAUCAAAAUAUAUUUCAGAUCAUGUACUAAAAUAUAUUAGAUUACCUACCAAAAUAUUUCAUAUUGUAUUCCAAAAUAUUCUAGAUUGCGUUCCAAAAUAUUUUAGCAAAACUUGGGGACUAAAAAAGCACUUUCUAAUAAUGAUUAAAUUAACUAUCUAAUUUAUCAUUUCCAAAUAAUAAAAUGUAUAUCAAUAUAUAUAUUAGAGGUACAUCCCCACCAUAUAAACACUACUAAUGUGUGAUCCAUCUGAUGUGGGACUUCCACUUUUUUCAAUUCACACUACAUUAGUUCUACCCAUUGUGUGAAUUUAUGUUUAGUCAAUUACUCAAAUUUUCACAUAUUUUCCAACAUACAAAUAUGUCGGUUAUUACCUUGCAUUUAUCUCCCAUUAUAUGUGAUCCUCGAGUGCAUGCAAAACAUAUUUAGCCUUUAUUUAGUCUAGUUACCUUGCAUUUUACUUGUUAUGAAUUAAUUAUUAAGAAUAUUUUUGUAUUAAGGAUAUUUUUGUAUAUUAAUUAAAAAAUAUAAAUAAAGAAAAUUAAAUAAUUUGUAUUUUAAUUUUAAACACCAAUGUAAAUUGGUGGUAAUUGCAAAUUAAGUAUGAAAAUGAAAUUGUGUCUGGUGGGAUGAUAAGCCUAUGUGGUCCUGUUGAAGAUAGUAUACCCUCACUGGGGGAGGCUACUUCUUUGCACGCUAUAUUAUUCCAUUUACUUGAACGUUUGUAUUGUCAAAAAUGGGUCAAAUUGAGCUCAACAUAUGAUAUUAAUCAAAUAAAAUUUAAUUUUGUAAAUCUUGAGCAUGGUGUGCUACUGGUUCCACUGACCAGCUCUCAUAAGUUGAUGAAGUGAUUUGACAUUUUUUAUUUUAAGGAUAGACAAUAUUAAUUAUUAAUGUAUAAAACAUUGUCAUUUAUAAUAAAAAUUUGACAAUAUUAGUUAUGUAGUUCUUAUUUUUUACUAACUUUAAGAUUGAUACGUUUGUUAGACCAUCUUUAAUGAAAGAGUUUUAACCUUUUAAGACUUUUUACCUAUUAAGUACCUCUCUAUUGGGGAGGAACUUUUUCGAGAUUUUAUAAGACUUGGGGUCUCACUUAACAUCGCAUUCUUAAGUGAGACCCACACUUUUUUAAUAUUAAAAAAUUGAUAUGUGGUAAUAUAAAGUUAUUAAUACUAGUUGAUUAGUAAGUCUUAUUUAAGAAAUUUGUGUAAGAUGCUGGGUUGGAAGGAUUAAAUUCUUAUUAAGUAUUACUACUAAAAAAUUAUAAAUAAAUUAUGUGUAUAAGUAAGACCCAUUUAAGUACCAAAAAAUGAGUAUCUCUAUUUUGGUUGCUCUUAUAUUUGGGAUUAACAAAGACAUUUUUAGCAUAGGUAUAAUGAAAGUACGUUGAAUCAAAAAUAUAUGCAUCUCCUUUAACCCUCAAGUUGGAUAUAUAUGAUCUCAUAGGUGUUAAAAUUUUCUCAAGGGAUUCAACAUUGUAGCAUUCUUAAUAUUCAAACCCAAAACAUCUUAUUAAAUUGAAGUUUUAAUUUCACUUUUCACCCCUAUCUUUCCAAAAGUUAUGAUUUUGGUCUCCUAGCUAAUUAAAAUACAAAACAGCCCUCUAUGUAUUGGAUCUUUGGUAAUUUUGGCUCCAAGGCCAAUUUUGACUUAGUCUUCGCUGAUGUGGCAAUUUAAAAUAAAUAAAAAAAAUUUAAAAAGUAAAAUAUAUUUUUUAAAAAAAUUUAAAAUAAAAAAAAAACUUUUUUUUAUUUUUUAAUUAAAAAAUAUACUUUUUUAAAUAAUUUUAAAAAAAACGUGGCGUCUACGUGUGCGUUGACCGAGUCAAAAUUUGUCUUGGGGGCUAAAACUGCCAAAGAUUCAAUACAUAGGGAGCUAUUUUGUAUUUUAAUUAGUUAGGGGGUCAAAAGUGCAAUUAAGCUUAAAUUAAAAGAGAGGAAGAAGAUGGAAGAAACAUGACUUUUUAAUUUGAAAUUUUGCUAAAGGAUCUCAACAUAUAUCUUAAGGCAGAUAUUACAUUAACUUCUCAAAUCUCAAUAGAGUGAAUAGUAGUAUAUUUUAAUGUGAGUGUGGUUCAAAGUUCAAACUUUUCUCAUAAUCUUGGGUGUAAUAUUGACUCAAAUUUAUUUGGUCUUAUUAACUAGUGUUUCGGAGCAUUCUUUAAGCAUUCUAAAUUAAGUAAAUAUUCUUUAAAAAUGUCAAAUUUUUAAUUUUCAAUAUACUUUAUUAUUCCCUCCGUCCCAUAAUAUAAGCAAAAAUAACUCAUUUUCUUUGUCCUAAAAUAUAAGCAAAAAAUACAAACUUUUAUCCUAUUUAAUCUUGUUUUUUUAGAAAAUCUCUUUCCCAAGAAAAACUUUUGUUUAUUCUCAUAAAAUUAAAUGCAAAUUACAUUCAAUUUUCUCUCUCUUUCAUUUUUACAAUAACCAAUAGCCAAUGAAAAUUAUUUUUACAUCUUUCUAUAAAACUUUUUUCAAAGAAAACACAAAAAACUACUAUAUUUUAAAUUCUUAUGUUUUAGUUUUCUUAAUAUGUGUGAUUUUUUUUUUUUUUGCUUAUAAUUUAGGACGGAGGGAGUAUAAUUUUUAUAAAAAGUUACUCUAUUUAAAGUUCUUAACAAUACCUUGGGAUAGUAAUUAAUAUUUCCCUUUAUCAUUUUAUGCAAAAUAUUCAUAAACUAUAUCAAAUACUUUUGUUUUGAAUGCAAACUGCACCAAAUACUUACUUCCUAGCAAGUUGCAAUAAUUUAGUAGCUUCCAUUGCAUGGGCAAAAGAAAAAGUAGGUUCCAUUCCACAUGAGCAGACGGAAUAGAUGAGGUUGGACCAUCAGCUAAUUAAGUCCUUCAAUUUUAAGGCUGCUUUCAAGAAGUUCAAUAAUUUUAGCUCACCUAAAACGCGCUUAUUUUAAUAAUUUAUUCCGUCACCACUAAGCAAAUACCUAUUUAUACAUAUAUUCUAUCCAUUCUUCUCAUCAUCCAGUUAAUCACACACACUUGGACUUUGCUUUAUUUAAAAAGAGAAAAUAAUAUUAUCAUCAAGAGCAACUUCAUCUUAACUUAACACAAUGAGUCACAAUAUCAAUCAACAACAAUCUCCUGGUAAGCUUUUUUUUUUUAAUUAUUUCAAUUGAAUAUACUUAAAUAUUAAUCAAUCAACAAUCAUAUUUGAGUACUAAAAAAAUAUCCAUGCUUUAUUAUAUUCAAAGCUAGAAUCAUUUAAUUUUUGUUGCUAGAAUUUUUCAUUUCUAUUAGAAAUAAUUUAGAUUUUUAUUUAAUCUAACUUGAGUUGUGUAUUUUUUUUAAUGAUCAGUUACUGCAUAUCCAGCAGUGAGUCAGAACAACCCUCAAGCUGUUCCACCACCACCUAUGGGUUAUCCCUCAAAGGAUGAUCCACAACAAAGUGUUCCAAUUAAAACAACUAGCAGGGGUGAUGGUUUCUGGAAAGGAUGGUGAGUUUGAUUAUACCUAAUUAAUAACUAUAACUAUAUUAUUUUUUUGAAAGAAUAACUAUAACUAUAUAUGUUUAUCUUAUUUUAUUAAGUUUCAAUAUAUUGAUUUCUCAAUAGAAAUUGAAAACCUUGAGUUAAAGAAAAAGAAAUUAGAGGAAUUACGUUCAAACCCUAACGAAGGUGGAAAAAAUUAGUCUAACAACUAAUUAUAAACAUUUGUCAUUAAAAAAAAAACGAAGUUGAGCUUAGAUUUUGAUAUAUGUAACACUGUAGUAAUUAUAGUAAUAAAAUCAGUGAUUAAAUUAAAGAUUUAUUUUUAUAGUUUUAAUUUCGUCUAUGAAUAUAUAUUUGUAGUCCAAACAUUUUUUAGUAUAAAUAUAUCUGACUUUUGUUUUGUAUAUAUUUUUCUUUUUGCAGUUGUGCUGGAUUAUGUUGUUGUUGUGCCCUGGAUUGUUGUCUCUGAUCGAAUAUCAUACAACUGGAUUUAUAGAACAUUUGUGCUUGUCUUCAUGGUUUUUCUUUAUCUUAAUUAAUGUAUUUAUUUUUGUACCUCACCUAAUAAGAAUCUUUGUAUCCUAUGGGACAGCAAAAAUUCAUACCAAUUUGUAACUUGGAUCUUUAAUUUCUUUUGUACUUGUGUCUUUGCAAAGUGAAUUAAUGUGCGUUAGUUCAUUCAUAAGAAUAUCAUAGUUCUUUAUUGUUUUGAAAGAAGAAUAUCAUAGUUCUUUUUCUUUUUUUUUUCUUUUGUCAAGAAUAUCAUAGUUCUGAUUUCAAGUAAAUGAAUAAUUAGAUACACAUAUUAUAAUAUAGUUUUGUUCAACAACCGAAAUAAUGUCUUUGCUAAUUGAUCUUGACCCCUUUGACUUAUUAGCUCUAAGUUUUGGAUAAGAUUGCUUUUAAUAUUAAUUUAAUACAUUUUGUUGAUUUUUUUUUUUUGACAAAUAAUACAUUCUAAAUAAUAUUUAAAAAUAAGAAUCAUGCAGGACUCGCAUAAUUGAGGUUUUGAACAUGAACCACGAUGAAAAAUGCUUUUGAAUAGAUUUAUACAUGAGAUACGUUAAAGCAACCAACAAUAAGAAUCAUGCCAGUUUGUCAAAAAAAUAAAAUAAGAAUCAUGCCAGUUUCACCUAAAAAAAUAAUAAUCACGCCAGUUUUAUAAAUAAAUAAAAAAUGCCAGACCAGCAUAAUUUAUUUGUCUAUAGAUGCUUUGAACAUGUUAUAAAGAGCGUACAAGCCCGAAGAGAGGUACAUGGUGACUCAUCUUAUUCUAGUAAAAAAUAAUGACUCAUCUAGUUUUUAGAAGGAUCUUUUAGGCAUAUUAUAUUAGUUAGUUACUAAGAAACGUUAUUGUACGGCCGUUGUAGUAUCUUAUAAUGAGGAUCCACAAACCUAUAAAAGCACCGAAUGCCUCAUGAUUAAAAUCAAUGAAAAAUAACAAAUUUUAUUUCUUCUGUCUCUAGUUUUCUCUCUUAAUUUCUGGAGUGCAAAACAAGUUGAGUUAUGCAUAUAUAUACAAGGUGUUGGUUUUGAGUUCUAACAAUAGAUGAAAGUUAGGCAAACUAGGGUUUACCAAAAGAGAGAGAAUCCUUAGGAAAUCAAAGGCUAGGGGUUGGUUCCUUUUGGAUAGAAACUAGGGUUGGAAAACACCGUGGGGGUAAACCAUUGAGUCUCUUAGCCACGAGAAGAGAUUUAGGAAAAUGGUAAAAUUUAGUGUUUGUUCUUAGAGUACUUUUGAAAGUUGAUUUGUUGUAACAUUUGUAUCUCUUUGUAAGAAAUACUAUAAUAGUGACUUGGAGAGAUCUAUUUCCUCCAAACGUAGGUAAAAUUUAGACCGAAUUGGGUGAACAAAUAUUGUCGUGUACUCCUUCUUUUCCUUUAUUUUAUUUUAUUUUAUUUUAUUUUAUGCGAUCACUUUGGUUUGGUUGCUGUUGAUUUUGCUCCAUACAUCAAAGUAUUGGUGUGAUUUUUUUAUCUAAAUUCACAACAACCGGUGCCCACUAUGUGGCAAUCAAAACAAAGCAUUAAGUGAGCGCCAUGGACACCAAAUGGGAUAUCGAGAUAUUCAUCGGAGAAAAUGAUUUUAGGUUGUGGAAGGAGAAUAUCCAAGUAGUCUUGAUCCAACAAAAAGUAUGCAAAAGUACCGAAGGGUGAGGUAGUGUUGUCGGCUACCAUGUUGCAAGAAAACAAGACCGAUAUGGUGGACAAGGUCAAGGGUGUCAUUAUGUUGUGUCUCAAAUUUAAAUUGUUUAGCAAGAAAGUUGCAAAGGUGAAGGUCGUGUCUGUGAUGAGUUUUUCCAAAGUCCUAGUGAGUCUGGAGAGACGUUAAGCACUCAUGAUUCGUCUAUAGAGACGUUAAACACUCAACAUUAGGUUGAAGAGGCGGUGCUAAAAAUACUAAAGGUCAGUUUAGAGAGGUGGAGGUAAGAAAACUCAUGAUCGGCCUUAGAGGUGGAGGUUACAAGGUGAAAGGCAUUGUGAUAUACACAUUUGAAAGUUGAGAUGGAGAAAGUAGGUGGAGACAAAUGGUGACACCAUAAUGGUACACACCAUGACGUCUUUGUUCAUGCUAUAAAGGAGAUCAAGAAAUUCUUUAAGAGGAUGGAGAAGCGCACUUCGGGGGCUGAAGAAUGUAUGGUACAACUUGUGGAUUGCCUAAAAGACCAAGGACAAUUGGAUGCAAUGGGGUUUUUAAAAGGACGAAAUUGAUCACUCUGAGGGAUGAAGAAUUUUGGUAAAAACUUGUGGAGCUAUCUAAAAAUCCUAGUGCAGAUGGAUGCAAAGAUCUUCAAAUGGGUAGAAGGUCUUCUGAGGUUUGAAGAAGUAAAGGUAGAAGCGUGUGGUAAUUUAGACAAACUAAAGUUUAUCAAAAGGGGAUAUUUGUAAGAGAUCAAAAGCAAUAAUCGAGUAUUUUUGUUCUAUUAGUAAGAAAUCACUAUUGUUGCGUCAAAAAGUCACUAUCAUAAUCCACCAUACCAUAUGUUGUGAUAAAAAAAAAAAUAUCUUAUUGAUAAAAAUUUACAACACAAUCAGUAAAUACAACAUAAAGUUAGUACCAAAAAGCAAGUACAUCAUAAAGUCUCAAAUACAAGGUAAACAAAAAACACCCAUCAAAUGGACAAAUAAAUACAUAAUGUCCAAAGAGAUCCUGAUUCAUCUACAAACUACAAAGAAUACAAUAGGAAACAACUGGGAUAAAAAAACUGUGGUAACAAUAAUCUAUGGUAUAAAAUAAUCCAAUCAUAACUUAAAAGCAUAUAUCAAGGGCACAGCAGCAACAUAUAGCAGCACAACAUCCCUUCCAGAAACCAUCACCCCUGCUAGUAGUUUGGUCUGAAAUCUUUUGUUGAGGGUACCCUUGAGAGCCAUCCUUGGAAGGAUAACCCAUAGGUGGUGGGGCAGUUACAUAUGGUGCUGAAGAAUAACCCUCACCUUGUGGUGGAUAUGAUACUGGGGCUUGUUGCUGAUUGUUGAAGUUACUCAUGUUGAUGAUGAUAGAAAAUAUCAAAAGAGUUGUUGAAAGAUAAGAAAGAUAAUGGAAUUGUAUGAGAUAAUAUUGUAAAGUAUAGAGGGAAUAAUGUGUGUGUAUAUAUAUAUAGGUUUAAUUUGGAUAAACGCGUUACAGGUGAGUAAGGAAAGUGUAAGACGGAGUUUACAAUUGAGAUUCAGAUACAUACGCUAUGUGUUUUGAUUUGUGACACAUUUGUCGUUCCUUAUUCUUUAUGUUUCCAAACAUAUAUUCAAGGUUUUCCACGCGUAUGAUCCAAAUAUUCAGAAUUUUCUAGAUUAUAUUGUGUCGUCAACUCCAUCAUAAUAAUGGUCGGUCUAAAAAAAAAAUCGAGCAGUCAUAUUGAUUUAAUGAUAAGAUCAACUUUAUGUGCAAAUUUAAGAGUUGAAAUCCUAUAAUAAUGGUUUCAUAUUUUAUAAAAUUCUAUAAAUAAUAGAGUCAAAUUUUGCUUAAUGUAAAAUUGGAAUAGAUUCAUGCUUAUAAUUAACAACAUUUUUUUUUUAAGGAAUGCUAUAACAACACUUAUUGAACGAUAUUAAAUAUUUUUGUCAAUAAAAAUAGAAUAAUGAUACAUAGACACCCUUAGGUGGCAAUACACCCUUUGACACCCACACAAAAAUCUGACACGUAGUCACGUGGACCCCGCACAAGCACACUUUCUCUUUUAUCUCCUCUUCUCUCUUCCUAAUGCAUGAGGUGUACAAGGGUGUAUGGGAAUAAAGGGUGUCUAUGUAUCAUUACUCAUAAAAAUAUGCCUUAUAAAUGCUGUCAUAUGACAAAUAAAUACACUAUAUGAUUGAAAAUUGAACUAAAAAUGAAACGGGGGCAAAAUUCCAAAAGAAAGUUAAACAGGGGAGACAUAAAACUAAUUUUUUUUUUAAAAGGAGGACGAAAACUUCAAUAAUUUUUGAAAAUAUGGGGACAAAGAUAUAUGUAUUGAUAUAUGAAUAAAAAUAUAGACACAUGUACAAAUUGCACUUUUUUUUUCCGUAUUAAAUAUGAAUAAAAAUAUAAGCAUGUGUAUAAAUUAAAAAAAUCGGUCCCCGUAUUAAUAUAUAAAAGUUAAAAUAUAAACGCAUGUAUAAAUUAAAAAAUAUAAGUUCUUUUAUAUGAGUAAAAAUAUAGACACAGGUAUAAACAUAAAAAAAUUAGGUCUAUGUAUUAAUUUUUUUUUUGAAAAAUCUAAAAUGGAAUAUAUUAUUGAAGCCUGAAAAAAUUUCAGCAGAAGAAGUGCAAAAACCCCAGCCAAAAGAGUAUCAAAUUAAAUAUUUCAUUUGUGUAUGUACUUUCACCAUCUUUUGGCAUUAGUCUUCACUUUUUUCAUUUAGCUUAUAUCCAUCCACUUUGUAAAAAUAUUGUUAUUAGUCAUUCUGUUAGUUUUAUGUUUUAAAAAAAAACUAACGGCUUGCCACAUGGCGUGGAAUAACCAAUUCACAUAGCGCACGAUUAGUUUUUUUUAAUAUGCAGCUAACAGAAGGACCAAUAACACUAUUUUUACAAAGUGCAUAGACUUAAACCAAACAAAAUAAAAAGUGCACAAACUAAUGUCAAAAAGUACAGAGACGAACCACAUGUUUAAUUCAUAAGAUGAAGUAUGUAUGACAAUCAUUUAGGGAUUCAAUUUGGAGAUAUUGAUUUUUUGUUUAAGGAUUAAAGUGACCAUUUACUCUUUUAUAUAAUUAUGUAUGUCAUAUUUAAGUCAUAAGAUGAAGUAUGUAUAAUAAAAGAGGAAAUUAGAUGAGAUUUAAAGAUUUGAGGAUUAAAUGCGGGAUUUAGGGAUUUGAAAUUCAACUUGGGAAUAUUGAUUUUCAAUUCUGGAACUAAAAUGAUCAUUUUCUAUUUUCACUUUAGUCCAUAUGACACCUCAUCAGCUAACGGAAGUUUUUAACAUCAGAGACUAAAAUGAUAACAAAAGUGCAUAUUCAGAGACUACUUUGUAUUUAAUAUUGAAUCAGGACUUUUGUGACAGCGAGGUGCGUAUAAUCAGGUAUCAAAAUGACUAUUUACUCUUGUAUAUAAGAAGAGAGAGUUCUUCUACUUCUACAUACAACUUCUCUCAAUAGUCAAUUGGUAUUCUUUUUUUUUUUUGCAGAGACCAACUAUUUUUACUCAUUCUUGUUGGGUGGACAAAUAUGACUACGAGUUGAAGAAACAAUAUAGUCUAGAAAGACAUGAAUGUUUGGAAGCAUACUACGCGUGCAAAACUAAAAAUUCCAUUGUAAGAAAACAAACAAACAAAUGUGUCAUAAAACAAAGCACAUACCGUAUCAAGCAUUAAUGUAAACGCCGUCCUAUACUUUGCUUUCUUACCUGUAACGCGUUUAUCCAACACGUCAAAUAGAAUUUUUCCAUUUGCAUUAAGGAACCAUAUAGUAUAUAUACACAUUUUUGCUUCCAUAUUUUUCAAUCACAUAACUACAAUUCCAUAAUCUUCUUUCUUUUCCUUCAAAAACUCUUUGAUAAUUUUAACUUCAUAACAUCACUAUGAGUCACUUUAACAAUCAGCAACAAACCCCAGUAUCAUAUCCACCACAGGCUUAUUCUUCAGCUCCAUAUGUAACUGCCCCACCACCUAUGGGUUAUCCUUCCAAGGAUGGCUCUCAAGGGUACCCUCAACAAAAGAUUUCAGACCAAACUACUAGCAGGGGUGAUGGUUUCUGGAAGGGAUGUUGUGCUGCUAUAUGUUGCUGCUGUGCCCUUGAUAUAUGCUUUUAAGUUAUGAUUGGAUUAUUUUAUACCAUAGAUUAUUGUUACCACAGUUUUUUUAUCCCAGUUGUUUCCUAUUGUAUUCUUUGUAGUUUGUAGAUGAAUCAGGAUCUCUUUGGACAUUAUGUAUUUAUUUUUUCUAUUUGAUGGAUGUUAUUUGUUUCCCUUGUAUACGUUAUGAUACAUACAUAUAUUUGGUCAUAGUAAUAUAAUUUUUUUUAUCAAUAAUUAUUUUCUAUCACAACAUGUCAAAUGGUGGUGAUUUUCUGACUUGUGAGUAUCUAAAAACUAACUAAAAUAUUUACCAAAUCAGAACUGCACAGAUUCAACGAAAUGAAGAUUUUACGCAAAAAGAACAAUCUUAUGAUAUCUUAUUACUUGCAAAAAAAAAAAAGAAUUAAUACAAUCUUAUGAUAUGCUGGCAAAUAUAACCAACCAGAGUACUAAUUAGGAGAGCCCCUUCAGUCACCAGUCACCACCGCCUCAAAGCUGAGAAGGGCUUUACAUGUUUUCACACAUCUAACAUCAAAUUUGCUUUACAAAAAAAGAUUUGUAAUUCUAAAUUCGUUUGGGUGGCCUGAAUAGAGAGAUUCAUAUAACCAUAUAUUCAUGGUAUACAUGGUAACUUAAGGUGUUUUUCACUUUCAAUGUCUUCCCUACUGAAACCGUGUCUAGUAAACGUACCAAAAAUUAUACCUCUAGUGGUUCACACAGCCUUGUGAACGUGAACACAUUCUAUUACUACAACAGCAAAGGAAUGGCCAGACAAAGUGAACCAGUCUUGAAAUUUUGAACAAUUGCUUGGUAACUUCGUGUACGGUAUGUAUUAUGAAAUGCCUUGCUGUAUAGCAAGAUUGCUGGACCAAUUAUUGCUAAGGUGACCAAUGAAUGAAAACAAGUGAUGGCUGAGUCGUUUGCUAGUAUUCUAAACUCAAUCAGCAUAAAAUACAAUUUCAACAAUAGGUAACCAACAACAAUGUGUGAAAACAAAAAAAUUGACAAUCUUCUACAUCUCACAAAAAUGGUUCCCAACAGUUUUUUCCCUUCCGACAUACCUACUAAAUUAAUCUCAGGUUUUUAUAAAAGCUAUUUCUUGUAGUCUUUCUCUUGAUCUGUCUUUCCUUCAACUCAGAAGGGGGGCAGGAGGGACAUCAAGGGUGAUACCAGCUUGGAUUUGGCCCCAACCAAUGAGACGCCAAUGCUUCUCAACGCGUCUACUAAGAGCAAUCUUCUCACCCUUGCUGGUGCACACAGGGGAAGUAAGUUGCAACUUUGCCAAGUCAUUCUUCACAGCGGUAACUUUGGCACCUGUUGACAUUGAUCCUAUGUUCAACAUUAGAAUUUCUGAUUUCGUCAGCUUUGAGACCUUUCCUUGUCUCUCAGAACCUUUAGUCCGGACACCAAGAAGCCGUCGAAGCAAGAAAAAGUUUACCUGCAAAACCAUGUGCAUAGUUCAUUUAUAAAAAAUUAAAAAAUAGUGUUUCCUUUCCAGCACAAUAGGGGGGAACUAAGUGCCACAACAGAAAAAAUAUCAACACUCUUGACACUGAAUUAGUACCAAGUGUAAAUUAUCUAAAGACUUCAGAGAAAUGGACAUGUUGAUCUUUGUCCUGAUUUGUCUUAUGAACUGAUAAACCAAGCGAGAGACAAGUAGGUGUGACUAGUCACUUACCUCAAGUUCCACAAAAACAUCAGGCAGUGAUCCAACCUCUCCAAGAACUUGCCCUACCAACCUGUCAGCACGUGUCAAAGUGGGAUCCAUUGUUGUUCCAACACCAAUUAGGCCUCCAGGAACUGCAAAUUGAAGCUCAUUUUGUUCAGCAAAUAGUGAAACAAUUCUGGAGUAGAUUGGUGUGCAUCGGAUAUUUCCACUCUCGUCUUUAACAACUAUUCCAGGUCGAACUUCGAUGAAUUGGUUGACCUUUAAAACACCCUGCAAAUAACAAAUUGUAAGAUGUGCUUAAAAAGAAUGUUAUAUGUAUAAUCACAAACAUGGCUCAAGAUCAACGGGCACAUGGUCUCGGCUAAUUGGAAAUUGAUCAUAACAUAUUCAAUUGAUUUCGGCAAAAAAACAUCAAAGUCCAGUCCCAUUUUCUUGUUUGGAAAUAGAAUGACAAAUGGAGUCUUCUAUCACAUUAUUCUAAAAAUUAUGUAUGAGGUUUUCUGGAAGAUAGAAAGAUGUAAAAAAUUACAAGGCAUUUUUUCUCACUUAUUGAGCAUCCAUGUAUCAUAUUGCAUGUUCUUGACCUUAUUUUCACAACACUGGAAAGUCUGGAAUAAAUGUUAUAAAUCAAGGCAUUGUAAAGGCAAAAAUCUUUCCAAACAGUAAUUGAACUGAAAAUGCUAAGAGCCUGUUUAGUUUGAGAAAAUAUAUAUUUUCAUUUCCACUUUUCAUUUUAAUUGCAAAAACUUCCAUAAAAUAUAUAUUUUCAUUUCCACUUUUAAUUUUAAUUGCAAAAGCUUCCCCUUGUUUUCACUCUGUUGUCUUUUUUCAAAUAUUUUCACAGAAAACAAGGUUCAAAGUGAAAACUACUGAAAACAAGAUACAAAGUGAAAACAAAGGGGCAGUCUUACAAUUAAAAAUGAUAACAGCAUUUGGAAAAUAGUUCAAUUAAACCAUACACAACCUAACAUCUGCAAGUAAGGUCAGUGCAAAUUAGGCCUGUUUUUUGGAAUAUUGACCAAAGAAAGACUUACCCUCAGAAUACUUCCACCAGCUACACCUCCUUUUAUUUCAUCAACCUCAUAACCAGGUUUAUUGACAUCAAAUGACCGAAUUACUAUCAUAUUAGGUGGAGAAAUGAAGUUCCGUUCAGGAAUUGGGAUCUUUUUCACGAUGUACUCACACACAACAUCAAUAUUAUACUUCAAUUGUGCUGAAAUAGGUACUACUGGUGCACUAUCAGCAACAGUUCCCUGGGAAAACACCAAAUAAAGGGGAGAGUAUCAUUUAUGUUGUUCAAAAGAGAUUCACUUGUAUAAUUAUACCUAUUCAUAGAAAACUUACUUGUAUAAACUUCUGAAUUGCUUCAUGCUGGUUGAUAGCCACAUUUUCUUGAAUCAAGUCUACCUUGUUCUGAAGGAUUAUUAUGUGUUGUAGACGCAUAAUUUCCACAGCAGCUAAAUGCUCAGACGUUUGUGGUUGAGGGCAACUUUCAUUAGCUGCAAUGAGUAGCAAAGCUCCAUCCAUGAUUGCGGCACCAUUAAGCAUAGUAGCCAUGAGAAUAUCGUGUCCCUACAGAAAUUGGAACAAUAAAACAAUUAUCACAGAUGGAAAAAAAAAGAUAGCUAAAGAUGUGUUCAAUAAUAUAGCAUAGAUUAGAGACCUAUAACCACCUAAUUUACGUAAAGGAUACCCAUAUGGAAAGAAAAAAAACCACAACAUAUGUAAAAGAGCAAGGCAAAAAAUGUUACAAAUUUAUAGGUGCUCCUAUAGCACCAUAAUUCUCUUAACUCCGUACCAUUGAAUGCAAACCACUUUAAUUGCAUUAAGAGAUGAACUUCAGUGAGAGACAGUGUUGGCUUACAUAGGUGGCCUUGGGGGCAUACAUUUAAUUUAAUAUGCAAUACAAUACACAUAUAUUUCAGGGAUUAAAGAAAGGGAUAAUUCGAUAAGGAGAGCAAACAAUUACAAGGGAAAACAACAGUAAAAUAAAACCAAAUGUGCAGAAAUAUGAAAGUAUAUCCCCCUACAUCAUAUCCAGAAUCAACAAAAUGAUGGUUCAGGACCUUACCGGGCAAUCAACAAAAGAAACAUGUCUCAGCAAUUUCAUCUUGGAAUUUUCAAACCCAGGUACAUCACACAUAGGACUAUCUUCCUUUCCACUUCCAUAGGCCCUACAGGAAGGAAGAAAAAAAAUUGAUCACAUCACCAAAAGAUGAAUGAUCUAAUACUAAAAUGACAAAUCUAAAAUAAUACCCACUUGUAGGACAUAGGCCUUGGACACCGUUCAUCUUCACACUUGUAUAUUUUUGCAUUCGCAUAGCCAAGCUUAAUUGUAAUGUUACGUUCCAACUCAUUUUUAAAUCGAACAGUCUGUAAAACAUUCAUGGGAAAACAGAGGUCAACAGUUUAACUAUACAUUAUUGAAGCUCAAGGAAAAUGUACUAAAAUAAAUAUAUCAUGGUUAUCUAUAAUCCUUAAUCAAAACUGCAAAUGCAAAAAAAAAGUAGAAAAUUCAAUUGAUCUGAAUAUUAUCAAACAACUAUCUAACCACUAGGAGAAAAUACCCAAUUUUUGGAGAGAGGGUUUUCCAUAAACCAGAUAUAGUUACACAAAUGAAGCUAACUACACAAAGUUUCUAUGACACACUAAAAACCAUGUACUGAAACAAGGCACAAGCAUACGUCAUGAUUCUAUCACAGCUAAGAUUUCACAAAUUUCAUGUACCCACUUAGAAAUUCGAUUGAGAAAAAUAUAAAUUGCUGGAGAUGCUAACACUACUUGGAUUUCGAAAAAUUAUAAAUUGUAGGCGAUGAGUUGUGACAAUGACUAAAUGCUAUAUACUUUCUUUCUGUUUGAAAGAAUUCACCUUGGUGUAAACAGAUCCAUCAUUUAGAAUAUUUCCACAUACCAUAUACCAUAAAUUACACAUUUACAAAUUAUAAUGUACAGUUAAACACCACCAUCCUUAGCCAAACACCCCAAAAAAAGUAGAGAAUGACUUGAUACAAGGACAUACCUGAACACCUGAUAUUGCUUUCACAACCGUUGACUUUCCAUGUGCCACAUGACCUAUGGUGCCUGCCAAGAUAAAUUUCAUUACCGAUAAGCAUCAACAGUCAUCAACGAAAAGGCACACAUUUUUUGUUGAAUUUCCAAAUUCUAAUGUGAUUGCAGCAAAUUUGAACAUGUGCCUGUUAAAAUAUUGAAAUAUACAUUACCAAUAUUGAUCGUAGCCUGGCGAGAUAUGACUUCAGGAGAUAGCGGAUGCAAUUUGUUGACAUCCAACGUACUCAGGUCUUGUUCCAUCAACCCUCUCCGAGCCAUUUUGACUGCUUCUUCCAAUAAGAAAUUAAUUGAGUGAAAAAACUGAUUCAUGGCACAAUAUUUGAUAUUAAAUUACAAGACAAGAUAACCGUAUUAAGACCCCACAUUUUUGUUGUAAAAAUCUGUAUAUAAAUAUGACCCAAAACCUAUUUCUCUAAAGUUUUAUUGUAUGAUUGCAAAUUUCUAUAUAAUUUUAAAAAUAAUAAUAAUAAAACCAUUAAGAUUAUUCUUAAGCACCUUGAGAUUUCAGAGAUUUAUAGAUUGAUUCCUAAAAUUUCAAUUUAGGAGUAAAACCCUACAACUAUAGUAAGUCUGUGAAACGGAUAAUGUAAUUUUUUAUUCAAAAUAUUGCAUUAAAUCAUAAGGAGCUUGUAAAACACAAAUCAAUAGCAUUAACAUAUCAAAAUUGAACACCAUUAGAUAAAUUUCACAAAAAAAAUAGAUAAAUUUGAGAAGAAAAAAAAAUUAAGGAUUACCAAAUAGUGGGAUUUGAGAGUGGAUGAGUAAAGCAGCUACAGUGAAUGAAAUUUGCUGUAAAUAGCAAAGAAAGAGAGCUGUAGUGUUAAAGAUUGCAGAAAAAUCAAGAAUCUCUUCGAAAUCGGUUAUAUGAGUCGAGAAAUCGUAGAAGAUUCUUGGUGUAUGUGGUUUUGGGGGUGGCUAGGUUUUUUCUUGAAUUCAGAAACAGAUGAAGAAGGAGAGAUGGGUUUGUGGGUAUUUCGUUUUAUGGGUUUCGGGUUGGUUGUUUAUGGGCCAAGCAUGUAUUAUGGAGUCCAAUAAGCACCCUAGCAUAGAACCCAUCAUAAAUACCUUGUUCAAUAAUCGAGUAUUUUUUCCGAAUAAUUACAAAGACUAAUCUCUUAGACGAGUAAGGUGAAAAAAUUGUCACUAAAGAGAUUUCAUAUGGUUGUACUUUCAAGGCUGAAAUUGGGUUCAUGUCCUCCAUUUAAGUUAGAAUAGAUCUUUUAUCAUCUCAUCUAAAUGAUAUUGAAUUAACGAUAUUCAUUCAUUCAAAUUGAGAGUACAUCAGAUACAAUAACAUUUUCAACAUUGCUAAAAAUAUAAAGGGUGAAUCCACGAACAAACUCACAGCAUCCAAGUUAAUAGUAUACAACGGCAAAAUGCUUACGAUUAGUAUGAUAAAUUUUGAGUCACUAAAAUAUACAUGAUUCUGAAUCUGCAACGUCGACGCCUAAAUCAUUGGUUGAAUCUGUAAUUGACUGAAGUUGAUCUUUCAAUAGGAACCAAACGAACACCGCGACAAGACGCGAAAUCAAACGCCGCACUCAGACAACGAAAUCACAUAAAAACACAAAAUGAAAAACUUGAUAUGUGUGAAAAUCACUUAUUUAAAUUGAAAGAAAGGAGAAAAGAUGCACGGGGUGAUUCCAGGUAAAAAAAAAAAAGACCUAAAACCACUCAUCCUCGAUGAAUGAAUGAGAAAAAAAUUAGAGAGAAUGUGGAGUUUCUCUCACUAAAAAACUAAGGCAGACUAAUUUAAAAUGUCUAAAUGAUAUUGAUUUUUUUUUGGGUUAAAAAUGUUUUUGGUCCUAUAAAUAUGUCAACUUUUCGUUUUAGUCCCUCUAAAAUUUUCCUUCAACUUUUAGUCCCUAUAAAAUUUUCAAUCACUACUUUUGGUCCCUAUUUUUAAGUAAAUUUUUGUAUUUUUUAAUGAAAUGUAUGGAAUAUUGUAAAAAUCACUCUAAAAAAAAUUAGAAUUUUUUAACAAAACAUGAAUUAANNNNNNNNNNNNNNNNNNNNNNNNNNNNNNNNNNNNNNNNNNNNNNNNNNNNNNNNNNNNNNNNNNNNNNNNNNNNNNNNNNNNNNNNNNNNNNNNNNNNGGACUAAAAGUUGAAGGAAAAUUUUAGAGGGACUAAAACGAAAAGUUGGUAUAUUUAUAGGGUCCAAAAACAUAUUUAACCCUUUUUUUUAAGGAAAAUGAUAUUGAUUAUUAUUAAAGUUUUAUUGUUACCUUAUCUAAUAUAUGUAUAGAAUAGUAAUAUACUAUGAAAUUUCCUACCUUACCCUAAAAAAAUAUUAGUUUGUCGAUUUAUUGAUUUUGUACUAAAGUAUUAUUUAGUAUAGAUUCUCUUUAAAAUUAGAGAAGCUAAACUAAAUAGUUCUUUAGUGCAAAAUUAAUAAACAACAAUCUAAUAUUUGAUUAGCUAAACUAUUUAGAUUUAGCUUCUAAAAAAGACUUUAUGAAUGCAAAUGUACUUUCAUCAAAGUACUAUUUGAUUUGACUUCUGAGACACAUUUCAUUCAUGCAAAUGUAGUACAUAUUUGGAUUUUGUACUGAUUACAUGUCAUUUUAUCACUUUUUCUCAAUGCACUCACUCUUACCUUGUACGACCAAAAAAAUGUGGUCUCAUAAGACAAAUUUAAAUAUAUAAAUUAAAUUAAAUUAAACACAAGUGUCAAAAACAAAAUCAAAUUAAAUGCAUGGUGAAUUUGUGGCUACAAUUUUAUUUAAAAAUGACACAAGACUUUCGGCUUUUAUUUAAAAAUAGAAGAGAUGUACUCCAUCCAAUCUUAACUAUAAACCAAGAUUCCUAUGGGUCAACAUAGGAUUUUUCCCUGCUCAAAACUAUGUAUUCAAGAUAACCUUCAAUCUUCAUUCACGCUACAAAUGAAACAUUAGAAAUCUGAUUAACUGAACAAGCUUAUCUAAACAAAGUCCAUAUAUGGAGUCAAACAAGUAUUAUCAUCCAUGGAAGAUUAGCUUGCGGGAUCAGCAAUUUGUGACUUCACCUAUAUAACCCCUCCUACAAAAUGCACAUUAAGCUGCUUAACCAACUACCAGACUAACUAACUAAUCUCCUAAACUACUAAUAAAAAUUAUUGUAUUUUUGCUUACUACAUGCAGUCCUUGCACAAUGUCUUAGUUCAGCUCUUCUCCACUUAAUAAUCAAGUAACAUAAGGAAAAGAGUGUAUUGAUCAAGAUUAUCAUAGCCAAUGCAAGCCGAGGUCCAGACCAAAGAACUGGAUCAAAAUAGUAGAAAAGCUUUCCCAAUUUCCUCUUAGAACAAACUAUUGAGCCUCUCAGCAAGAUAUGCACCAACCAACGUCGAAAGGAACAAACACGUCUAAAAGUCAUCUAAGUGCACGUUUAGCAUUACAGCACAGGUACCAAAAUCACGGUGAGCCAACCUACAAGGUAGAUAACUUUUACAAAAUCACGAGUCUCCUCUGUGAUUCUGCAAAGCUACUGUGAUGUUAAACAUGCACUAAGGUUCCAAUUUUACUCCUUUUAGCUUAAACAUGUUAUAAACAAUAAAACGGGUAAGAUGUAAAUAAAACAUACAUCCAAAUAUCUAAAAAUAUGAGAAUUAACCUUAGCAUAAAAAAAACCAAGAAAGGGUAUGUGUUGUUCUAUUAAUCAAUUUCUAAUUUUUCAUUCUAAACCCAAAAAAAAAAAAAAAAACAGCUCAUAUGUAGCUUAAAACACACAAAUCAAAAUCCAACAAACAUAUAUCAUAUAACCCAUAAAAAGGUAAAUUUUCUAAAGGAUAUACUUUCAAACACGUUGUGAAUCAAUGUUUGAAUUAUAUAUAAGAAGAAAUAUUUAUUUAGUAUCGAACACAAUUCAAAUAAGAUUACCUUAUAUGGAGAGAAAAACAUGUGAAAAAAGUUGGUUGACAAGUUGUACCAUUUAUACAAUAUCCUUAUAUGGAGAAUAAAUGUCACGAAGUAUGUAAUGCGUUAACAUAUUACAUAAACCAAAACGAAGAAUUAUUCGUAUACAUGUCAUUGAAAAUAUAGAAAUUAAUUUUUUUCGAUAUUUUAUAAAAUAUGAGAUUUUUUUAGCGAUAAAAUAUGUGAGAUAGGUUCAUGGAUACAAUGCGAUACUUCAUGAUCUUACUUUGGUGAGUGUGGGACGCAUGUCAUAUGUGCACUUUUUAUCACUUUACUUUUCCUAAUUUAUGAUUUUAAUCUCUUCGUUUCUUUUUUUGGUAGUGGUCGGGAUUUGAACCCCGAACCUUGCAUAUUUUAUACAUUAUCCCAACCAACUGAGUUAAGCCCACGAGGACAAUCUCUUUGUUUCUAAACAUUAAGAUAUAGUCUCUCAAUUUGAAAAACUACAAAAAAAAAAAAAAAAAAAAAAAAGCCUUCACAGCUGAAUUUGGGGUUUAUUUUGGUUGAUAUGUCAAGUUGAAUAAUGAAUUGAUUGGUGCAGUAUUACAUACGUGGAUUAAAUCAUAACACUUUAUUUUUCUUUUCAUACCACCAACAUGGUGUGGACAAUUGACAAAUAGUUAGUUUUUAAGAGUUUAGUCAUGAGUUCAGUUUAUGGUCAAAGCCUAUAUAUGGAAGAACAUCCAUCAGAAGAGUUUAACCAUUUAUUAUUGUUUAGAGGUAUACAAAAAAUUGUCAAUGAUUUUUUCCUUAGAAGUAUUCUACCAUUUUUUUAGAGGUAUUUAUAUAUCCUCUCAAAAAAAUUAUUUUAUAUUGUUAUACUCUGAUUUUGGACCUAAAAAUACUCGUUCAAAUUUCUUUUUUAACACUGAUAUUUGUCAAUUCUCUGUUAUUUUUUCUCUGAAUCUUUACUUUCUUUUUAAAACAUAUUUUACUGCCUCUGUCUGUCUUUUCUUGCAUUACAAGUCAUUUAAGAACUCUCUGAAGCGUCGCAUUACUUUUCUCACAUUUUUAUUUCAAAAAAUCAUAUAAAAGGGUAUUUUGGUCAUUUCCUGCAGUGGAACCCGUUUUAGUCCCUGUGUUUGCCUCUGAGCCUUUUCAAUUUGUCUGUACAAAUCAUUGUUGAGUCUUUGUUUAAAAAAUCAUUUCAAAAAUUGCAUCUGAGUCAGUCUGAGUCAGUUUAGUCCCUAGGGGCAUUUUGGUCUUUUCCUGUCAAAAUUUCGGCAGAGAGGUAUUUUAAAAUACCUCAUUUUUGUAGCUGGUUCAUUUUAGUCCUUUUGUUGAUUUUAUUUUUGGUUUCACUUUACGUUUUUUUCAAAUUACCAAUUUUAGUCCAAUUUUAUUUUUUAAUUGCAUUUUAGUCCCUGAACAGUUUCUAAAAUUGCAUUUUAGUCCAAAAUUCUUAAAAUUACUUUUUAGUCCCUUUUUUUUUCAUAUUGCAGUUUAGUCCUCAAUUUCACUUUUUUGCAGAAAGGUCCAAGUCCAGAUGGCAGCGCCUCAUUGGUCCAAAAUUACACAUGGCAGCCUAUAAAAGGCGCAUUCAAUGCACAAGUAAAAAAAAAAUUUUAGUCACGCGCCCUCAUCACAAACACUUUCCAACUUUCUCUUUCUGCUCUCAAAGAUCAAAACUCAACAAAUUCCAGAAACCACGAAGAACACCAAGAAUACUCAAACCCUAACCGUUUCCAAAUUCCACCAGAAUCAUCACAAAUCAACACAGAACGUCACAAAUCAGCGCAAAUCAACGAAGAAUCAACAAGAUCCCUUGCGAUUCUCAGAGAUUCAUCACUGAAUCUUCAUCAUCAAAUUUUUUUUCUCUUCGCAAUUCAAAGUGCGAGUUCGCCAUUGGCAAACUCUAGCACUGAUCACGAAGGAAUCAGUGAGAAAAGGAAGAAGAAGGAAAGAAACAGGAAUCUAAAUCGGUGAAGGAGAAGAUAAAGAUCCGAAUCUGUUUCGAAGCAAGAAACCUCACCAGAAACGAUUCAAGUUCUUCCUUAAAGAUCUCCGUUUGAAUCUCCAACUAAACCAGAGGUAAAACGCGUGAACCUUAUUUUUCUUUCUCGAAAAGCAUCAACAAGAACGAAUCGAUGUAGAUCCCUAGGGUUUUCAAAAGUUUCUUUCAAAAAAGAUUGAAAACCUAAAAUGUUUUUCAAAACCGUAAAUAAGAAGUGUAGAUCUACAAAGAUUCAAGCCUUGCAUGCGAAAACUAAUAUCAAAUUCGUGUUUAGAUUGAAGGGACGAGUGAUUUAGGUUUAGUUUGGGUGAGAUCUGGAAAUUUAGGUCACCGGAAACUGCAUGAUCUCGCCGGAGAAGAUGAAGCUUCCGGCGGACCUUCAAGGUCUCCGCCGUCACUUCAUCCUCACCGGUGGUGAGUUCUAGAGAGAAGUGAGAGGGUUAGAGAGAGAACGCGUAAGAGUAGAGAGAGAAAGAGGAGUGAAAAAAUGAGAAAACCGGUGUUCCAUCCUUUAUAUAAGCCAGUGAACCGGACCGGUCCAAGACCGGUCCAAUCCCCUUCGUUCCUGGCCGUUGGAUCUAGGGUUUCCUUCCCUGGAUCAAUCCAACGCUCCUGGUGAAUCCGGAUCUUUUGUUUGGUUUGGGCCUAGGGUUCUUUGCGUUUUUGCUUUUUUUUUGCUGCUAUCUGCACCCUGCUUUUUUGCUACUUGAACCUCUGCAUGCUCAAUCUUUUCUCUAAAAAUUCCAAAAAAAAUUGUUAUAUGUUUCUUAAUACAUUUUAACACUUUUGUGAUAUUUUCCAGUGGUUUAAAAAAUGAUAAAAAGGUGUGUGUUAUUUUUUCUUGUUUAAUUUUGUGUUUGAUCUAAGUUUGUGUAUUUUCGUGGUAUAUUUUCUCAUAAAAUGUUGGCAUGUAAUGUGGAUGAUUGGUGUGUAAUUUCAUGAUGAAUAUGUUGCUGAUCAUGUGUAUAUCUUGCUGAUUGUGGAUGUAGAUUUUCAUGUCUUUCUUGUUUUGCAAGCAAUGUGUGUUUUAUCAAGAAAUAAAGUGCAAAAUAUCUUUGAAAAUGUGUCGUGAUUCUUGGCUUGAAUGUGUCCUAUUUGUUCCCCCAUUAUAGCUCAAAAUCAAAUCCCUUUAACAUUGCUAUAAUGAGGGGAUUAUAGGUCAUGUGCAUUGUCUAAGUGUCAUAACCAAUUUUAGGUAUAUUUUGCCACUUUAUUUCAUUUCAUUACCUUUUUUUCUCUUGCUGUUCUAUUCAAUUUUGUUUACCUUUCUACUAUUUUUAUGCCUUAUGAUACUAACCAUUUCAUCUCACAUUUCAUUCAUCCCAUUAGUUUUAGCAUCUUUUUUUAGUUAUUAUUCAUUUCUAUAUCAGUUGGGUUUGUAAUAAUUUUAGAUAGAUUAGUUCCUUUUUAAUUUCUUUGCAAGACCAUAGCAUGUAUCUAGGACUCAAUGUAAGGGACUAUGGACAUUAUAAGGGAUGUACACCGACACAAGCACCGACACGCACACACGUUGCAUGAUUACCGUUUAGAUGUAUGCAUAGGAAACGCGAUCUUUAGACAAAUGCCAAUUUUCCAAAAAAUAAUAAACUAAUUCCAUCACUCAAAUUUUUUUCAAACAAAUCUUGGAGUCAAAACUCCAUUGAAUUUCUUCUUUUAUUUUCUUAAACAAAUCCAAAUGAAUCCUAAUUUCUACUUAGACUUUUUUAAAUAACAAUUGAACCAACCAUUCACCAUUUUUCCCUCUUAUGCCUUUAAGGCCUCUUUCUCUUCUUCAAAACCAUUUUCCAACAAAAACUAAAAUCAACCAAACACACAAAAAAAAAAAACAUUUUUUGAGAAUGAACUACAUGGAGUUUGAUCCCUUAAAUGGGUAUGUAGGCAUGACGUCAAAACCUCUCCAAGUCCACUAAAAUAAAACCUCAAACACUUUCUCCCCCCAUUCUUCACUCAAAUAAAACUUCCUUUUUUUUAAUAAGUAGGCAAUAAAAAUAAAGCGUAGAAAUAAACUUAGGAGAACGGUUCUUAUGGAAUACCAUAAUCGUUCCGGGUGCCUAACACCUUCCCGUAGCGAAAGCGACCCCCGAACUUAGAAUCUAAGGGUUUUUUCUCAAUUUUGCCCUUCCCAAGAAAAAAUAGAGAAUAUCAAAGAUUGAAAGGUUCAAGCCUAAUUAAUGACUUGACACCCGAAAUCGCGAUAACAGAAAUGGCGACUCCACUGGGGACAUUUUUAGCGGGUCACGCCUAGUUUUCCUUAGUUUAUAUUUACACUUUGUUUUAUUGCUUACAUAUGUGAAUACUUGUUUAUUUUCAUUUGACGUGUGGGGUGAGAAUAUCAAAAGUCCUAUACCCGGGCUGAGUGAACUUAUGAAUAGGUAGAGAUAUAAUCGACAAUUCGAUCCGAGGGUUGCCUCGUGUAUUGGAUUAUGCGAUCAAUCUCACAUAGCUGAGGCAUUUUGGAAGUAAUAUUGUCGGCGUGUGUUGUCAUGCUUAGGCACUUUGCUUUCAAUUGUUCGAUGAUGCUAUGAACCGUAGUUACCAAACCCAUCCCUGGCCCUUUUUAGGACGUAGUGCGGUGGCUAAACCGAGUGUUGUCUCGAGUUUUAGUCGUCACGCGAUACUACACUCAAACUAGACCUUCUUGCGGAUAAACAUGGAACGGACGUUGUCCCGUGCUACCAUGAUAUACGAAAGAGAGGUUGCAGUUUGGGAACUUGAUUAGAACCUUGGUUACUAUUAUCCUAAGCCUUAGUUUACCAGGCACCGUGUCCGCCCGUGGCUCCUCGACUUUAAUCUCAACCCUCCAUGUUUUCUCUGUAAUUGAAAAAACAAUCAUGCAUGCAUGCAUUCAUGCAUAAAUUUUUUCUCAUGCAUUCAUCGAAGGAUUGGACAAAUUAAAAACUUUGUAAACAUUACAGGUAUGAAGAAGACUAAAUCCUACAAGUUCAAGGAGGUUGAUUUGGUUAGUUUGAGAGAGUUGGCACUCAAGGUGAAGAAUCAAACAGGUUUCCGACUCCGGUAUGGUGGUUUGCUUACUAUUCUCCGGACUAAUGUUGAAGAGAAGCUCGUGCACACUCUAGUGCAAUUCUAUGACCCGAGUUUCCGCUGCUUCACUUUCCCGGAUUUCCAGUUGGUCCCUACUCUUGAGGCUUAUUCCCACUUAUUGGAUUCACCUAUAGCCGAGAAGACGCCUUUCGCCGGUCCCGGGGCUUCUCUUACUCCUCUGGUUAUUGCUAAGGAUCUCUAUCUCAAGACUUCCGAUGUCUCUAAGCAUCUGACUACCAAGUCUCACAUCCGAGGGUUCACUUCCAAGUAUCUACUUGAGCAAGCUAGUCUCGAAACUACUUGUCAGGACGCACUCAAGGCUAUUCUUGCACUGCUUAUCUAUGAGCUCAUUCUCUUCCCGAAUCUCGACAACUUUGUGGACAUGAAUGCUAUUGAGAUCUUCCAUUCUAGGAAUCCGGUUCCUACCUUGCUAGCUGACAUGUAUCAUGCUAUCCAUGACCGGACUCUCAAAGGUCGUGGGUAUAUCCUUUGCUGCGUGCCUCUCCUAUAUAGGUGGUUUAUUUCUCACCUUCCGAGCUCCUUCCAUGAUAACUCGGAGGAUUGGUCCUACUCACAGCGGAUGAUGGCUCUCUCUCCUAACGAGGUGGUCUGGAUCACUCCCGCCGCUCAGGUUAAGGAGAUUAUUACUGGUUGUGGAGAUUUUCUCAAUGUACCUCUUCUUGGUACCCGUGGGGGAAUCAACUACAAUCCGGAGCUUGCUAUGAGACAGUUUGGGUUCCCUAUGAAGACAAAGCCCAUCAAUCUUGCCACAUCUCCAGAGUUCUUCUACUAUUCGAACGCCCCAACCGGACAGAGGGAGGCUUUCACAAGGGCUUGGUCUAAGGUCCGUAGGAAGAGUGUGAAGCAUUUGGGUGUGAGAUCUGGUAUUGCUCAUGAGGCCUAUACUCAGUGGGUAAUAAACCGAGCUGAAGAGAUUGGUAUGCCAUACCCUGCUAUGAGACAUGUGGCUGCAUCUGCUCCAUCUAUACCUUUACCUCUACCUCCCACAACUCAGGAGAUGUAUCAGGAGCAUCUGGCCAUGGAAAGUCGUGAGAAACAAAUGUGGAAAGCCCGAUACAAUGAGGCUGAGAAUCUAAUCAUGACUUUGGAUGGUAAGGAUGAGCAGAAGACUCAUGAGAACCUAAUGUUGAAGAAGAAAUUGGUUAAGGUCUGAAGGGAACUUGAAGAAAAGGAUGAGCUACUUAUGCGGGACUCCAAGAGAGCUAGAGGACGACGCAACUUCUAUGCUAGAUAUUGCGGUUCGGAUUCGGAGUCUGAGUCUGAGGAUCAUCCCACUACUUCCUAUGCUUGAGAGUUUUAUUUGUUUAUAUUUCAAAAGUCUUCCCUUAGCUUAGUAUUUCAAAGGGAUUCAUCUUGUAAACGCUUCGUUUUGCUUUGUUUGUUUAGAUGUUGUUUACAAAACUCCUAAUUUGUCUAAAAAAAUCCUUCGAUGUCCAAAAACAACUUUUGCAUUUGCAUUUGUACAUAUCAUGCAUCAUGUGCAUCAUUCAUCAAGCCACAAAAGGUUUACAAGUGCUCACUGCCUCCUGGUUCUUCUGCCACAGAGAUUGAAAGGUGGCUCGUGCUCGGAAAGUUUACGAAUCAGACAGAAUACACCGGACUAGACUCUACAGAAAGAAGAAUUCGGCAGCCAUGGAAGAAGAGAAUGCUCAGCUCCGUACCGAGUUAGCCACUCUAAGGGAAGAAUUGGCUAAAGCUAAUGAUGUCAUGACCGCUCUGCUAGCCGCUCAAGAACAAUCAGCCACAGCUAUCCCUAUAGCCACAGCUAUACCGGUGACUACAAGCAUGCUCCCAACCGCAUCUGCAGACGCUCGCUUUGCUAUGCCAGCUGGGUUUCCAUAUGGGCUUCCACCGUUCUUCACUCCCAGUACUGCAGCGGGCACUUCGGGCACUGCUAACAAUGUUCUGAUCCCUGCAACAAAUGCUGUCUCCAUCAAUGCUACUGUGCCACAAACAACGGCAGCUGUCACCGAGCCUCUUGUGCAUACCAUGCCUCAAAGUGUUAACAUCAACACACAACACGGAAACAUCCCCGUGACCAAAACCAUGGAAGAGAUGAUGGAGGAACUUGCUAAAGAACUCCGUCAUGAGAUCAAAGCCAAUCGAGGAAAUGCGGACUCUUUCAAAACUCAAGAUCUCUGCUUGGUGUCAAAGGUGGAUGUCCCUAAGAAGUUCAAAAUCCCAGAUUUCGACCGAUACAACGGGCUGACUUGUCCCCAGAACCACAUCAUCAAGUAUGUCCGAAAGAUGGGCAAUUACAAAGACAAUGAUUCCCUUAUGAUCCACUGCUUCCAAGAUAGUUUGAUGGAAGAUGCUGCAGAGUGGUAUACUAGUUUGAGCAAAAAUGACAUCCAUACCUUUGAUGAAUUAGCCGCUGCUUUCAAGAGCCACUAUGGGUUUAACACCCGAUUGAAGCCGAACAGGGAAUUCCUCAGAUCUCUCUCCCAGAAGAAGGAGGAAAGCUUCGGUGAAUACGCACAGAGAUGGAGGGGGGCAGCUGCCCGCAUUACUCCCGCUCUUGAUGAAGAAGAAAUGACCCAGACAUUCUUAAAGACCUUGAAGAAGGAUUAUGUUGAGAGAAUGAUCAUUGCUGCCCCGAAUAACUUUUCGGAGAUGGUCACCAUGGGAACUCGUCUGGAAGAAGCUGUCAGGGAUGGAAUCAUUGUGUUCGAGAAAGCUGAAUCCUCUGUGAAUGCAUCAAAGAGGUAUGGUAAUGGACACCACAAGAAGAAAGAAACGGAAAUAGGGAUGGUGUCAGCUGGAGCCGGUCAAUCCAUGGCUACUGUUGCUCCUAUCAAUGCAGCCCAAAUGCCUCCGUCAUACCCAUAUGUGCCGUAUUCUCAGCAUCCUUUCUUUCCGCCAUUUUAUCAUCAGUACCCUCUGCCACCGGGUCAACCUCAAGUACCCGUUAAUGCAAUCGCUCAACAGAUGAAACAACAGUUGCCAGUUCAACAACAACAACAAAAUCAGCAAGCUAGACCUACUUUCCCUCCGAUACCGAUGUUAUAUGCUGAGUUGCUUCCAACUUUACUCCAUAGAGGGCAUUGUACAACCAGACAGGGCAAGCCCCCACCUGAUCCGUUGCCUCCCAGGUUCAGGUCCGAUCUCAAAUGUGAUUUUCAUCAAGGCGCCCUGGGUCAUGAUGUCGAGGGGUGCUAUGCUUUGAAGUAUAUCGUGAAGAAGCUCAUUGAUCAAGGAAAGCUGACUUUUGAGAAUAAUGUCCCACAUGUCCUCGACAAUCCUCUUCCAAAUCAUGCCGCUGUAAAUAUGAUCGAAGUAUGUGAGGAAGCUCCUAGACUUGAUGUCCGUAACGUCGCAACUCCUCUGGUGCCUCUACACAUCAAGCUGUGCAAAGCUUCUCUGUUCAGCCAUGAUCAUGCCAAGUGCCUAGGAUGCCUUCGUAAUCCUUUGGGUUGCUAUACUGUUCAAGAUGACAUCCAAAGCUUGAUGAAUGAUAAUUUUUUGACUGUCAGUGAUGUCUGCGUAAUUGUGCCAGUUUUUCACGAUCUGCCUGUCAAAAGUAUGCCUUCGAAGGAGAAUGCUGAGCCUCUGGUGAUAAGGUUGCCCGGACCGGUACCGUAUACUUCAGAUAGGGCUAUCCCGUACAAAUACAAUGCUACCAUAAUCGAAAACGGAGUAGAAGUGCCUCUGGUGUCCUUGGCUGUGAUGAACAAUACCGCCGAAGGAACUUCAGCAGCCCUAAGAAGCGGAAGAGUCCGUCCACCGUUGUUUCAAAAGAAGGCAGCUACGCCUACUGUGCCACCCAUUGACAAGUCAACCCCGACUGAUGUUUCUCCCGUUAACAGAGACGCGAGCCAACCAGGCCGGUCUAUAGAGGAUUCUAAUCUGGACGAGAUGUUGAGGUUGAUCAAAAGAAGUGAUUAUAAGAUUGUGGAUCAGCUGCUGCAAACUCCGUCGAAGAUAUCCAUUUUGUCUCUACUUCUGAGUUCCGCUGCCCACAGAGAUACCCUUUUGAAAGUAUUGGAGCAGGCUUAUGUGGAUCAUGAAGUCACUGUGGAUCACUUUGGUAGCAUAGUGGGGAACAUUACCGCCUGCAGCAACCUGUGGUUCGGUGAAGAUGAAUUGCCCGAAGCAGGAAAACAUCAUAAUCUGGCCUUGCAUAUCUCUGUGAAUUGCAAGUCCGACAUGAUCUCAAAUGUGUUAGUAGACACUGGCUCAUCUUUGAACGUGAUGCCCAAGUCAACGCUGGAUCAGCUGAGUUACCGGGGAACUCCCUUGAGGAGGAGCACUUUUCUGGUCAAAGCUUUUGAUGGAACCCGCAAGAGCGUUCUCGGGGAGAUAGACUUGCCCAUAACUAUCGGCCCCGAAACCUUUCUAAUCACCUUUCAAGUCAUGGAUAUUAACGCCUCUUACAGCUGUCUCUUGGGUAGACCUUGGAUACAUGACGCGGGGGCGGUGACCUCUACUUUGCACCAAAAGUUGAAAUUUGCAAAAAGUGGAAAGCUUGUUACCAUUCAUGGAGAGGAAGCAUACCUGGCUAGCCAGCUAUCAUCUUUCUCUUGCAUAGAAGCAGGGUCUGCAGAGGGGACCGCCUUUCAAGGAUUAACUGUCGAAGGUACGGAGCCCAAGAGGGAUGGAACUGCCAUGGCUUCUUUGAAGGAUGCACAGAGAGCCGUCCAAGAGGGUCAAGCUGCCGGCUGGGGCAGGUUAAUACAGCUUCGUGAGAACAAGCAUAAGGAAGGUCUUGGCUUCUCCCCAACUUCAGGAGUUUCCACCGGGGCAUUCUAUAGUGCUGGGUUUGUCAACGCAAUCACAGAAGAAGCAACUGGAUUUGGCCCGAGGCCUGUAUUUGUUACACCAGGAGGCAUUGCGAGAGAUUGGGAUGCCAUUGACAUUCCCUCAAUCAUGCAUGUUUCUGAGUAAUAUACCUUGUUGCUUAAGUAUCUUGUUUUUUUAAAAUAACAAUCAUCUCGCUCUGCCCAAAGCGAGAGUGAUAUUUUCUGUAAGGGCAUGUUUGUUUCGGCAUUGCCGUUGAUUAAUAAAAAAUUUGUCGUUUCUUUCACGACUGCUUUUUAGUACCUUUUUUUCUUGGAAAUAAUGGUAAUGCCAGAAAAAACCAAAACAUCUGUAUUUUCUUAUUAAUUUCAAAAAUCUGCAUAAAAAACCUCUUUCUAAAAUCAUCCAACCAUUUUACGCAGAUUGAACUAUAAUAAACCCGUUGGGCACAGUAAUCCUGCAUUCCCUCCGAAUUUUGAGUUCCCAGUGUAUGAAGCCGAAGAUGAGGAAGGUGAUGACAUACCAUAUGAGAUCACUCGGCUACUUGAGCAAGAAAAGAAAGCCAUUCAGCCUCACCAGGAAGAGAUUGAGCUUAUCAACAUAGGUACCGAGGAGAACAAGCGAGAAAUCAAGAUCGGUGCUAUUCUAGAGGAAGGGGUUAAAAAGAAGAUCAUCCAACUCCUCCGGGAAUAUCCGGAUAUUUUUGCAUGGUCGUAUGAAAAUAUGCCAGGUCUAGAUCCUAUGGUUGUGGAGCAUCGGAUCCCCACCAAGCCUGAAUGUCCUCCCGUCAGGCAGAAAUUGAGAAGGACUCAUCCAGAUAUGGCUCUCAAGAUUAAGAGCGAGGUUCAAAAACAGAUUGAUGCGGGUUUCCUCAUGACAGUUGAGUACCCUGAAUGGGUUGCCAAUAUUGUACCUGUGCCAAAGAAGGAUGGUAAAGUCCGGAUGUGUGUUGACUUCAGAGACCUGAACAAAGCCAGUCCAAAAGACAACUUUCCAUUACCUCAUAUUGAUGUGCUUGUUGAUAAUACUGCUCAGUCUAAGGUGUUCUCCUUCAUGGAUGGUUUCUCCGGUUACAAUCAGAUCAAAAUGUCUCCCGAAGAUAGAGAAAAGACGUCUUUUAUCACUCCAUGGGGUACUUUCUGCUACAAAGUGAUGCCGUUCGGCCUAAUAAAUGUUGGUGCUACCUACCAAAGAGGGAUGACUACUCUGUUUCAUGACAUGAUUCACAAAGAAGUCGAAGUGUAUGUGGAUGAUAUGAUUGUGAAGUCAACAGAUGAGGAGCAACAUGUUGAAUAUUUGACGAAGAUGUUUGAAAGGUUGAGAAAAUACAAGCUUCGAUUGAAUCCCAACAAAUAUACAUUCGGCGUCAGAUCCGGGAAGUUAUUAGGCUUCAUUGUCAGCCAAAAGGGCAUUGAAGUCGAUCCUGAUAAAGUCCGGGCCAUCCGAGAAAUGCCAGCUCCACAGACCGAGAAGCAAGUCAGAGGUUUCCUCGGACGUUUGAAUUACAUCUCCCGAUUCAUAUCUCACAUGACCGCAACCUGCGGGCCGGUCUUCAAGCUACUCAGAAAGAAUCAACCUAUUGUAUGGAAUGAUGAAUGUCAAGAAGCUUUUGACAGCAUCAAGAAUUACCUGCUGGAACCACCUAUCCUUGUCCCACCCGUGGAAGGAAGGCCCUUGGUUAUGUAUUUGGCAGUAUUUGAUGAGUCCAUGGGAUGCGUACUUGGUCAACAAGAUGAGACUGGAAAGAAAGAACAUGCUAUCUACUAUCUAAGCAAGAAGUUCACCGAUUGUGAAACUCGGUAUACAAUGCUUGAGAAGACUUGUUGUGCUUUGGCCUGGGCCAGCAAGAAGUUCACCGAUUGUGAAACUCGGUAUACAAUGCUUGAGAAAACUUGUUGUGCUUUGGCCUGGGCCGCUAAACGCCUGCGUCAUUAUUUGGUGAAUCAUACAACUUGGUUGAUAUCCAGAAUGGAUCCGAUAUAGUAUAUCUUUGAGAAAGCUGCUGUUACUGGGAAAAUUGCACGCUGGCAGAUGCUUUUGUCUGAAUACGAUAUUGUGUUCAAAACUCAAAAGGCAAUCAAAGGUAGCAUUCUUGCCGAUCAUCUUGCGUACCAACCUCUUGAUGAUUACCAACCAAUUGAGUUCGAUUUCCCCGAUGAAGAGAUCAUGUAUUUGAAAUCCAAAGACUACGAAGAACCGUUGAUUAAUGAAGGUCCAGAUCCCAAUAGCAAGUGGGGUUUAGUCUUUGAUGGUGCUGUCAAUGCUUAUGGUAAAGGAAUUGGGGCAGUCAUUGUAUCCCCACAGGGGCAUCACAUCCCUUUUACCGCCAGAAUUCUGUUCGAAUGUACAAACAAUAUGGCUGAGUAUGAAGCAUGUAUCUUUGGGAUCGAGGAAGCAAUUGACAUGAGAAUCAAACACCUCGACAUCUAUGGAGAUUCUGCGCUCGUCAUCAAUCAGAUAAAGGGUGAAUGGGAGACCCACCAUGCUAAGUUGAUUCCUUAUCGUGAUUAUGCGAGACGUUUGCUGACAUAUUUUACAAAGGUUGAGCUGCACCAUAUUCCUCGUGAUGAGAACCAAAUGGCUGAUGCUCUUGCCACUCUAUCUUCCAUGUUUCGAGUGAACCGUUGGAAUGAUGUGCCAGUAAUCAAAGUGCAACGCCUUGAAAGACCUUCACAUGUGUUUGCUAUUGGGGAUGUGAUUGAUCAGGCUGGUGAAAAUGUGGUUGACUAUAAACCCUGGUACUACGACAUCAAACAGUUCUUGCUGAGCCGUGAGUAUCCGCCGGGUGCUUCCAAACAAGAUAAGAAGACCCUGAGAAGAUUGGCCAGUAGAUUCCUGUUAGAUGGAGAUAUUCUGUACAAGAGAAACUAUGACAUGGUAUGGUUAAGAUGUGUUGAUGAACAUGAAGCAGAGCAGUUAAUGCAUGAUGUACAUGACGGUACCUUCGGGACCCAUGCUACAGGGCAUACUAUGUCAAGGAAGUUGUUACGGGCAGGUUACUACUGGAUGACCAUGGAGCAUGAUUGCUACCAGCACGCCAGAAAGUGCCACAAAUGUCAAAUCUAUGCUGAUAAGAUUCAUGUGCCGCCGCACGCUCUCAAUGUUAUUUCAUCCCCAUGGCCGUUCUCAAUGUGGGGCAUCGACAUGAUUGGAAGAAUUGAACCGAAGGCUUCAAAUGGUCAUCGUUUCAUCUUAGUGGCAAUUGACUACUUCACCAAGUGGGUUGAAGCAGCAUCUUAUACCAAUGUGACCAAGCAAGUGGUAGCUAAGUUCAUCAAGAACAACAUCAUCUGUCGAUAUGGUGUUCCCAGCAAGAUUAUUACCGACAAUGGUACCAACUUGAAUAACAAUGUGGUGCAAGCUCUUUGUGAAGAAUUCAAAAUUGAGCAUCAUAACUCUUCUCCCUAUAGACCUCAGAUGAAUGGUGCAGUUGAGGCCGCCAACAAGAAUAUCAAGAGAAUUGUCCAGAAGAUGGUAACCACUUACAAGGACUGGCAUGAGAUGUUACCCUAUGCUCUGCAUGGCUACCGUACUACAGUGCGCAGUUCAACCGGGGCAACCCCUUUCUCUCUUGUAUAUGGUACGGAAGCAGUUCUUCCUUUGGAAGUGGAAAUCCCAUCUCUCCGUGUGAUCAUGGAAGCUAAGUUAUCCGAGGCUGAAUGGUGCCAGAGCCGGUAUGAUCAGUUGAAUUUGAUUGAGGAAAAACGUAUGGAUGCCAUGGCUCGUGGACAGUCAUAUCAAGCAAGAAUGAAGACUGCUUUUGACAAGAAAGUCCAUCCUCGAGAAUUCAAGGUAGGGGAACUCGUAUUGAAAAGGAGGAUAAGCCAGCAACCCGAUCCAAGGGGCAAGUGGACGCCUAACUAUGAAGGUCCUUAUGUUGUCAAGAAGGCCUUCUCCGGUGGUGCUUUAAUCCUUACACACAUGGAUGGUGUAGAACUUCCAAAUCCAGUGAAUGCCGAUAUAGUCAAGAAAUACUUUGCCUAGAAAUGUGAAAAGAACAGCGUGGUAGGUCGAAAACCCGAAAGGGCGGCCUAGGCAAAAAUGCGCUUCCCGGUGGAUCGAAAACCCGAAAGGGCGGUCCAGGCAAAAAUAAGGGACAAAAAAAUAUAUAUGAAAAGCUCGCUGAGAUUGUACACAACUCAGGCAAGAAUGAGCGUCUCGAUGAGCCGAAAACCCGGAAGGGCGGUUCAUGCAAAAAUGAGAUUGAAACAAAAGGCAAGUAACUAUAUCUGGCCAACCACCGUCUCCCUUGGGGCAUCUGCAGCUGUUAAUGACAAUCUUCAUCAAAAGCUCUUAUGCUUGCGAAUUCAAAGUUUCUAGGAAAUGUCAUGAUUGCUGUGUUCAAUGUACCACCAACCAAUAAAAUUACCAUUUUCCAAGCUUUGUAAAUCCGUGGAGUCGCGCCUUCGGCUGACCACCACUCUUAUACAUCAAUUUGAGCCUGUGCUUUUGUUUGAAACUCUGCUUUCUUUUUACUUUCAAAGUUAUGUACAAAAACAUUUUCCUUCUAUUUUUAAUAAUGACAAAUGCUCGAAACAAACAUCUUGAAAAUUGAAAAAGUUUUUUUGAAAAGCAAACCUGAGCAACAGGGUACAUUCAAAUGAACAUGCAUGAGCGAGUGUGUGUUGGUGUCUAUUUCAAUAUAUGUUACAAGCAGGUUCUCCUCCAGGAUAGUCUGUGGUCAAUGGCAAGAAUGAAAAAACAGAAUGAAAAUGCUAAGUUGAAAACCCGGAAGGGCGGCUUAGGCAAAAAUGAGCACCCCGCUGGAUUGACAACCCGAAAGGGCAGUUCAGGCAAAAAUGGGGCAAUAAAAAGAAUUUAUCUCCCCGGUGGAUCGAAAACCCGAAAGGGCGAUCCAGGCAAAAUGGGAUGCAAAAAAAAUGAUGAAUGAAAAUUGAGAAAAUAACAUGCAAAAAGCAUUGACCACAGAUGCGACGUCCACGAUACAUCCGGCAUUAUUCCCAGUAGAGUCUCCCGAGAUUCUAUCCCCAGCAAGUUGCAUAGCUACCUGCCCUCAGCCAUGGUCCCGAUACGUCUCCCAACGACGUCAUCUCCAAAGAGGAUUUCCAGGAAUGUGUAAUAUAGCACGAGCCACUACAUGCCCAAUACUCCAACAUCUUGUCUGUCUCUGCGAAACUGUGUCUACAAAUCGCCAACAGUCAUGCAUAACAAGCAUUCAUACAUGCAUAAUCAUGCAUAUUACACACCCAUGCAUUUAAUAAAACUGUUAUAUCAUCCAUACAUAUUGCAUUUCCAAUGUUAACAUCAAUCUCAAUUCAAUACUCAUGUCAGGUUCUCCGUCAAAACCUUGUGAGCCAAUAAUUUUGGUCAGUUUCUACCUUUCAAAUCAAAUCGACGUCAAGUCAGUUUCAAUCUAUAUUUUGUCAAAAAACAAUCCCCUGUGAAUUUGUUUCUGUUCGGUCAAGUGGCUAGUUCAAGUCCAAAAACAGCUUGUACCUAUCAAUUUGCUUAUGUUAUCGGUCGAGUGCCCAGCUCAAUCCAAGAGCAGUUCGUACCUGUCAAUAUGUUUCUGUUUGGUCAAGUUAGCAGUUCGCAUCCAAGAACGACUUGUACCCGUUUACUUUUCAAUGUUAUCGGUCGAGUUACCAGUUCGAAUCCAAGAACAGCUCGUACCUGUCUAUGUGUCUAUGAUUUUGGUCAAGUGGCUAGUUCAAGUCCAAGAACAGCUUGUACCCGUCUAUCUGUUUCUGUUCGCUCAAGUGGCUAGUUCAAUCCAAGAGCAGCUUGCGCCUGUCUAUUUGUCUUUGUCUCCGGUGGAGUAACCAGUUCGCAUCCAAGAACAAGCUCGCACCUGUCUAUUUGCCUUUGCUUUCAGUCGAGUAACCAGUUCGAAUCAAGAACAACUCGUACCUGCCUACCUUUCUAUGUCCCCGGUCGAGUGACCAGUUCGAAUCCAAGGAUAACUCGCACCUGCUUGUCUGCUUUUAUCCCCGGUCAAGUGCCCAGCUCAAUCCAAGAGCAGCUUGUACCCGUCAAUUUAUUCCUAGUCUCCUAUCUACCCUGUUAUCUGUUAUCUUGUCAAUGUCUACCAAUCCCGCAAUGGAUACGACAUCUUUUGUUAAUUCCAGUUUUCGUUUGUCUUGCACUCAUAAUCCAAAUGUUGCAUGGCAUUCAUGAUAUUUGAAAAUGUACAAGCGUAUUUUUACGUCCAAACACAGGGCAAAUGUUAAUAUUUAAGUAUCUUCGUCCCGUCAAGCCAAAGACUCCGUCUCUUGACCCUCCAGACAAAGAAACUUAAAUAGGGGCAGCUGUUAUACCCUGAUUUUGGACCUAAAAAUACUCGUUCAAAUUUCUUUUUUAACACUGAUAUUUGUCAAUUCUCUGUUAUUUUUUCUCUGAAUCUUUAAUUUCUUUUUAAAACAUAUUUUACUGCCUCUGUCUGUCUUUUCUUGCAUUACAAGUCAUUUAAGAACUCUCUGAAGCGUCGCAUUACUUUUCUCACAUUUUUAUUUCAAAAAAUCAUAUAAAAGGGUAUUUUGGUCAUUUCCUGCAGUGGAACCCGUUUUAGUCCCUGUGUUUGCCUCUGAGCCUUUUCAAUUUGUCUGUACAAAUCAUUGUUGAGUCUUUGUUUAAAAAAUCAUUUCAAAAAUUGCAUCUGAGUCAGUCUGAGUCAGUUUAGUCCCUAGGGGCAUUUUGGUCUUUUCCUGUCAAAAUUUCGGCAGAGAGGUAUUUUAAAAUACCUCAUUUUUGUAGCUGGUUCAUUUUAGUCCUUUUGUUGAUUUUAUUUUUGGUUUCACUUUACGUUUUUUUCAAAUUACCAAUUUUAGUCCAAUUUUAUUUUUUAAUUGCAUUUUAGUCCCUGAACAGUUUCUAAAAUUGCAUUUUAGUCCAAAAUUCUUAAAAUUACUUUUUAGUCCCUUUUUUUUUCAUAUUGCAGUUUAGUCCUCAAUUUCACUUUUUUGCAGAAAGGUCCAAGUCCAGAUGGCAGCGCCUCAUUGGUCCAAAAUUACACAUGGCAGCCUAUAAAAGGCGCAUUCAAUGCACAAGUAAAAAAAAAAUUUUAGUCACGCGCCCUCAUCACAAACACUUUCCAACUUUCUCUUUCUGCUCUCAAAGAUCAAAACUCAACAAAUUCCAGAAACCACGAAGAACACCAAGAAUACUCAAACCCUAACCGUUUCCAAAUUCCACCAGAAUCAUCACAAAUCAACACAGAACGUCACAAAUCAGCGCAAAUCAACGAAGAAUCAACAAGAUCCCUUGCGAUUCUCAGAGAUUCAUCACUGAAUCUUCAUCAUCAAAUUUUUUUUCUCUUCGCAAUUCAAAGUGCGAGUUCGCCAUUGGCAAACUCUAGCACUGAUCACGAAGGAAUCAGUGAGAAAAGGAAGAAGAAGGAAAGAAACAGGAAUCUAAAUCGGUGAAGGAGAAGAUAAAGAUCCGAAUCUGUUUCGAAGCAAGAAACCUCACCAGAAACGAUUCAAGUUCUUCCUUAAAGAUCUCCGUUUGAAUCUCCAACUAAACCAGAGGUAAAACGCGUGAACCUUAUUUUUCUUUCUCGAAAAGCAUCAACAAGAACGAAUCGAUGUAGAUCCCUAGGGUUUUCAAAAGUUUCUUUCAAAAAAGAUUGAAAACCUAAAAUGUUUUUCAAAACCGUAAAUAAGAAGUGUAGAUCUACAAAGAUUCAAGCCUUGCAUGCGAAAACUAAUAUCAAAUUCGUGUUUAGAUUGAAGGGACGAGUGAUUUAGGUUUAGUUUGGGUGAGAUCUGGAAAUUUAGGUCACCGGAAACUGCAUGAUCUCGCCGGAGAAGAUGAAGCUUCCGGCGGACCUUCAAGGUCUCCGCCGUCACUUCAUCCUCACCGGUGGUGAGUUCUAGAGAGAAGUGAGAGGGUUAGAGAGAGAACGCGUAAGAGUAGAGAGAGAAAGAGGAGUGAAAAAAUGAGAAAACCGGUGUUCCAUCCUUUAUAUAAGCCAGUGAACCGGACCGGUCCAAGACCGGUCCAAUCCCCUUCGUUCCUGGCCGUUGGAUCUAGGGUUUCCUUCCCUGGAUCAAUCCAACGCUCCUGGUGAAUCCGGAUCUUUUGUUUGGUUUGGGCCUAGGGUUCUUUGCGUUUUUGCUUUUUUUUUGCUGCUAUCUGCACCCUGCUUUUUUGCUACUUGAACCUCUGCAUGCUCAAUCUUUUCUCUAAAAAUUCCAAAAAAAAUUGUUAUAUGUUUCUUAAUACAUUUUAACACUUUUGUGAUAUUUUCCAGUGGUUUAAAAAAUGAUAAAAAGGUGUGUGUUAUUUUUUCUUGUUUAAUUUUGUGUUUGAUCUAAGUUUGUGUAUUUUCGUGGUAUAUUUUCUCAUAAAAUGUUGGCAUGUAAUGUGGAUGAUUGGUGUGUAAUUUCAUGAUGAAUAUGUUGCUGAUCAUGUGUAUAUCUUGCUGAUUGUGGAUGUAGAUUUUCAUGUCUUUCUUGUUUUGCAAGCAAUGUGUGUUUUAUCAAGAAAUAAAGUGCAAAAUAUCUUUGAAAAUGUGUCGUGAUUCUUGGCUUGAAUGUGUCCUAUUUGUUCCCCCAUUAUAGCUCAAAAUCAAAUCCCUUUAACAUUGCUAUAAUGAGGGGAUUAUAGGUCAUGUGCAUUGUCUAAGUGUCAUAACCAAUUUUAGGUAUAUUUUGCCACUUUAUUUCAUUUCAUUACCUUUUUUUCUCUUGCUGUUCUAUUCAAUUUUGUUUACCUUUCUACUAUUUUUAUGCCUUAUGAUACUAACCAUUUCAUCUCACAUUUCAUUCAUCCCAUUAGUUUUAGCAUCUUUUUUUAGUUAUUAUUCAUUUCUAUAUCAGUUGGGUUUGUAAUAAUUUUAGAUAGAUUAGUUCCUUUUUAAUUUCUUUGCAAGACCAUAGCAUGUAUCUAGGACUCAAUGUAAGGGACUAUGGACAUUAUAAGGGAUGUACACCGACACAAGCACCGACACGCACACACGUUGCAUGAUUACCGUUUAGAUGUAUGCAUAGGAAACGCGAUCUUUAGACAAAUGCCAAUUUUCCAAAAAAUAAUAAACUAAUUCCAUCACUCAAAUUUUUUUCAAACAAAUCUUGGAGUCAAAACUCCAUUGAAUUUCUUCUUUUAUUUUCUUAAACAAAUCCAAAUGAAUCCUAAUUUCUACUUAGACUUUUUUAAAUAACAAUUGAACCAACCAUUCACCAUUUUUCCCUCUUAUGCCUUUAAGGCCUCUUUCUCUUCUUCAAAACCAUUUUCCAACAAAAACUAAAAUCAACCAAACACACAAAAAAAAAAAAAACAUUUUUUGAGAAUGAACUACAUGGAGUUUGAUCCCUUAAAUGGGUAUGUAGGCAUGACGUCAAAACCUCUCCAAGUCCACUAAAAUAAAACCUCAAACACUUUCUCCCCCCAUUCUUCACUCAAAUAAAACUUCCUUUUUUUUAAUAAGUAGGCAAUAAAAAUAAAGCGUAGAAAUAAACUUAGGAGAACGGUUCUUAUGGAAUACCAUAAUCGUUCCGGGUGCCUAACACCUUCCCGUAGCGAAAGCGACCCCCGAACUUAGAAUCUAAGGGUUUUUUCUCAAUUUUGCCUUUCCCAAGAAACAAUAGAGAAUAUCAAAGAUUGAAAGGUUCAAGCCUAAUUAAUGACUUGACACCCGAAAUCGCGAUAACAGAUAUGUAUACAACUUUCUUUUAAAAUUAAAAAUUUGUUAACAUAUUUAAAUUCCAUCAAGAAUCAGGCGGUCUUUAUAAAUGUUAACUGAGUCUCUAAGAUUACACUAUCGAUGACCCUUAACCGGUUAACUAAUACUUUGGCCAACACCUAUACAAACUUCCAACUAAAGAAGUGGGUCGAAAAUCAUUUAACAUCUACGAAUGGUCUAUUUUAGAAAUAAGAGCGAUGAAAGAGUUAUUUAUCCCUUUCAGAAGUUUCCCAUUUCAAUGAAAAUCCAAGACAAAUAUCUUAAGAUCAUGCUUUAAGUCAAUCCAAAAAUCUUUAAUAAACCCAAAAUGAACAUCAUCUGAUCCAUCACAUUUAAAACUAUCGCAAUCUCAAACCUCAAUUUUCACCUCUUUCAAAGAGAAAGGCCUAGUCAGAUCGACCCCUUCCAUAUAAGUCAUAGAUUGGUGCAGUAUUAUAUAUGUGGAUUAAAUCGCAAUGCUUUAUAUAUUUUUUUCAUAUCACCAACAUGGUGUGGACAAUUGACAAAUAAUUGAUUCUUUUAAGUAUAGUCAUGAGUUCAAUUUAUGGUCAAUGUGUAUGGAAGAACAUCAACCAUUUAAAUGAAUUUUUAAACAUCUCCCUCCAAUGAAAUUAAGGAGCUCAAAACUACGACAUGUUAUUAAGAUCCAAGUAAACCUUAACAAGUGAUUAUAUUAUUAUUUAAAAUAUAUUAUAAUUUAUAGAAAAACUCUCCAAUUUUUAUUUCAAUCACAAGUAUUAUUUUUUCUAAAUUAUAAGUAUUAUAGUUUAGAGGUAUACAAAAAAUUAAAAGUUGGUUAACAUAUAUAUAAAUUGUAUCGUAUCAAAAGAUUAAAAAAAAAAAAAAAAAAAAGAAGAAGAAGGGGAAUGCAUAGAUAAUUUAGACAAAAGAAGAGAAAAUAAAUAUAAUAAAAUCUAAUUUCAAAAUAGAAUUUACCAUUGCAAUCCUUUCUCAUUUCGCUAUCUUUCUGUUUCGUAAAUAUCUUUUCUUUUGCCGCGACAAUAUGAUACCGUCUUCAACUCUCCUAUCCCUCGCCGGCGCCUUCGCUCCGGUCAGCUUCUCCGGCGAAAUGGGUCAUCCCCAAACCAACUCUUCUUCAAAACCCAGAAAGGUUUUCACCAGUUUCUGCAAAAAGGCACUUCCUUUGCAACGGCACAGUAUCAAUAGUUUGAAUUUGAAGAGAAGGAACUCACUUUUGAGCUUUGCUUUCGGUAAAGAAGCCAAUGACAACUCUUUCUCGGUAUAAUAAUUUCUUAUUGUUGCAACAGUUUUUUUCCUUCAAAAAUGAGUUCUGUUUAGAUUUUGGGCUCCAUUGAAAGUGAAGAUAUUUUGAAAGCAUACUCAAAUAUAAAAUAUGUUCAUUUAUGCAAUUUAGAAAACUUUGAGGAGACAAAUAUUUUAUACUGUUGAAGGCGUGUCUGGUGUACGACACAACACAACUUGUGUGUUAUGAUUGUCUGACACUAAUACAUUAGUUACAUUCAAUUACUUUCAAUUUUUUAGUUAUUACUAGUGUUUAUGUUUAGGUGUUAAUGUUGUGUUCGGCGUGUGUUUGUGUUGGUGCUUCAUAGUUCAUAGGAGCAACUUUUUUCCUAUAUAGUUAUUUUUCUUUGAUAAAAUUCAUUGUCAUAUAAUCAUAUCUUAUUAGCUAUGUGUAUAGAUUCAGAAUAAGAUGUUUAAAUCCUUUUGCUUAUGUCUAAAGAUAAUUUUAAUGUUCAUACAUUAUUUGAAUGUUGACUAUAGAGGAACAUAACAUAAUGUAAAUGUUAACUGAGAUAAGGUUAGUUCCCCCAUUCCACCCGAGGGUUCCGAUCGCGGCCUUUACUAAUGUCAGUUAUUUUGGCAGUUUGAUUAAUGUUUUGUCCUGAUUUGAGCAGUUUAAAGUAGUUACACAAUGUAUUGGAAAAAACCCAAAUCCCACAUUGAAAAGAUAGGGCUCUAGAUAAGAGUUUAUAAAAAGAGACACUCCUCACCUUACAAGCCGGUUUUGUAAGGAUGAGUUAGACCCAAUUUCAACGCUACGCUCCAGACCUCUCACCGUUGUAUUGUCUGGUUUGGUUUUGUAAGAAUGAGUUAGACCCAAUUUCAACGCUACGCUUCCAGGUCUCUCACCGGUGCAUUGUCUGGUUUGGUUUUUAAAACAUAGGUUUUAAACUACCAAACCACAACCUUUUCCCCUUCAUCUCCUCUUUAGUGUCUAGAAAUUGUCAUUUGUUUUUCAUCACUUUCUUUUCCUCUGUUUAAUGUUGAUUCUUAGAGACCUGAAUUUUAACUACCAAAAUUGAGAAAGGAAUCUAAUUCCUAUUAAGGAUUUGUUUUACUCAUUUAAUUUAUUUGUGCACUGAAUGAAUUUAUAUAAUCACAAUGGUUCGAUCUUGUGUAAAAUUUCAACUGCCUGUUUUUUCUAUCUGUCAUGCCUUUUGAGAUUAACGUUUCUCAUCAAGGGUGCGUAAAUAACAAAUUAUAUGAUUUUCAGGAUGUAGGUGAAGAUACCGAUGAUAUGUAUGAUGAAUUAUUAAGUAACUAUGGACAAGUAGUAUAUAAGAGAAAAGACCAAAAGCCUGCAAGUGCAGAGAUUGAUGAUGAUUCCGAAAGCCUAUCAUGUAAGCUAAUAAAAAGUUUUGUAAAUUAAUUUUCUUCUACCUUGUUUACAUUUCUUUUUACAAUCUGUCUUUUUAAACAUGUUUGUGCCUUAUAUCAGGUUUCUUUGUAAUUGUAUUUGUUCUACUGUUACAAAAACUUGUUCAGUUUAUGUUUAUAUGAAUCUAUCUAAUGUUGAGUAUGUUAACUGUUGUGCAUCUAGUUGCUGUGGAACUGGCCACGGUUGCAAGUGAGGUUAAGGCAGGGGAUAUAAAGGUCUUGUUUGUGAAGCCACUUGUUUACUGGACUCGAUUUUUUAUCAUAGCUACAGCAUUUUCUCGUCCCCAAAUUGAUGCUAUCGGGUAUGGAACCUGUCAUUGAUCUUUAUAUAUUUAUUUAGCAAUGUUCAUUUUUUUUCUUUCCUCAAAGGAUGUAUAUUUAAUCCUAUUUAUAUUGAAUUUUAUUUAGGUCAAGAAUUAGAGACCGAGCUGAAAAGAAAUAUGGUAAAAUUCCAAAUGGAGACUUGAAACCCAACUCAUGGACCCUGUUGGACUUCGGUAAGUCACUUUACAAUACAAUAGAGCCCUCUAAUUGUCUGCAUUUUAUAAAAACAAAUCCCUUGAAGUUUCCCAUUGCACUUGUAGAAGAGGUACAUUCACCAAGAAAGACAUAACUUCUAGAAAUUUAACAUUAUACUCUAACAAAAUGCAUAAUCAGAAGCAAAGAUGCAGGAUACCUCAACAUGAUUCUCCCCUUUGUCCCUAUCAAAACCUUCUAAAUCAAUCAACAUAAAUUGCAUUAAAUUCCAGUUCCAAAAGCCUAUAUUUGACACAAUCAGACAUCUGUAUUGCAACAUAAAUUGCAUUGAAUCGUAGUCAUAUCAUGUAUAUUGUUUGGUAGCCGUGUUUCUGAAUACAUUCUGAUACAGGUUCAUCUUAAUGAUUGUUUCUUGAUCACAGGUGAUGUUGUUGUCCAUUUAUUUCUUCCCCCACAAAGAGCUUUCUAUAAUUUGGAAGAGUUUUAUGGUAAUGCAACAUCAGUAGAGCUGCCUUUUGAAAAUCAACCACCAUUUCGCAAUGAGGGAGCCUACGGUUUUUCGGAUGAUGCAGAAAGUUGAUUAAUUGUUAGCUUUGAGAAGACCAAUAAUCACUGUCAAUUUAAGUUUGUUUACAUUAGCAUGAUGUAAACAAUUCAACACACUUAUCCACACAAGACUUUGCUUGUGUGAUGAGUGGAGGCUCAUUCCAUUGCAGAAAGGAAAGUGACAGUAUCAAUUGAUUCAAUGUUCAGUUUUUUCUUUCUUUCUUAGUAUGGUAUUUCCUCUAAGAAAACUGUAAUAGAUGGGUUUGGAUAAGCAGGGAGGGAAGGGGUAGAAAACUAGAAAAGUAGAUCAGAAUUGUUUGUAUUCAUCAAAUUGGCCAUGUGAAUCUAUCUAUAUUUAUGCAGUAUAGUUUGAUUUUUUUUUUUUUUCUUGUCCAAAAGUUGGUUUCAACUAGUUCAAUAUCAGGUAGAAAAACAAUGGUGAAAUAAAAAAACUUUUCCGCAAACAAUUGAAUUCGAUAAUCCACCGCAUUCACACAGUCGACACAUGUGUGGUCGUUGAAUCAAGAUCGGACAGUCAAGAUUUCAAGCAUGGUAUUUUAGUUUUUACUUUUAAAUUAUAAUAAUUUGCAUUAAAAUCUAAAUCGGCUGAUAUGUAUAAAACAAAUUAGGAAGUUUUUAAAAAAUAAUCGUUACAAACAAUUUUACUUUAUUUCUCUGAAGUGGCGCUCAACUUAACCCAGAAACAAACUUGCUUAUUGUUCAGUUUACUGCCACAAAUUUCUUUUGAAGAAUGCUAGCAACACUCUCUUUUGAGUACUCUCUUUAGCACUCACUCUUUUAUUGGAUGAAAUCAAUGUAGGAUCUACACUUUGGAAAUGAAACCCACAUAAAGUGGUGGGACAUACAUUGAUUUCACCCAAUAAAAGAGUGAGUGCUAGAGAGAGUGCUCAAAAAAGAGUGUUGCUAGCAUUCCUCAUUCAUUUUAGCAUCUAGAGAACUAAUUUUUCUUGUAUAAGUGAUUAAUGAGAAUAAUUGGUAAGUAGUUCUUCGACAGAGAAAAUCAUUUCUGACCAAAUUUCAUAGUAACAAAAGAUUACAAUCCUUUGGCAGUUGGCUGGUAUGCAUCUAGCUUAUUUUUCACAACUAUAAUUACACAACAUAGGAAAACAUAUUAAGCCACAUUUUCGCAUAGCAUUGUAAGGAAUGACAUUUUCAUAAUGAUGAGAAACUAAACUAACAAAGCAGGCUGGAAUGCUAUCUCAUCACAUAAAGCUAUGGUAUUCACACAAAUUGAAUAACUUCCUCUGUGAUAGACACAACUCAAGGACAAAUGGUAGGUUACAUUUAAACAUGAUGCAGAGAUCGGAUAACAGUCAUUCCAUUCCUCCAGCCGAUAAUAGAUGAUUUGUGCAUGAUCAUGACCGACCAAGAGAAGCUCAAUUAUUCUAUUAUUUUGUAGCCUGUUGUUGUUUUCUCUUUCAUUUUAUAGAUUCUGGAUCUGGACAGUUAGACCUCCAUCAGCAUGAGCAUUCAAGUCCAGCUGAGUCUAAGCUUCAUUUUGAUUGGAUCGGCGUCUCAUAAUCCUAAGAAGUUCUAAGACUUCUAUAACAGAACACAUCUACAGAAUUCAAUGCUGCAAGAGUCUUUCUUUCUUUCAUUUGCUUCAAAAGCUGCACAAUGGCAUAUAUAAAGACAGACAUAAACUCUUAAAACCUAGCCAAAAAUAGGUUCAGAGGCCAACAGAGAACUAUUGGCCUAUCCUCAUCAGACCUUCACAAUUUGAUAACAUGUUGUCCAUAUGGAUAUCAAGGGGACUGGUUCCUGCACACACCAGAAUAUGUAGAUAAGCUGUUAAUAUCCCUCGAAAGAAAAUAAAAUUUGAUUGUUAAGUUAAUCAUAAACAAUAUAUAGACUGAACUUCUCAGAAGUUAUGCGGACCUGACACAGACACAAGUAAAUGUAUCACAAUAUUAGUAUGCACAAUUCUUAGAGGUUUCCUUAAAUCUAGGCAAUGCAUAUGACAAUUAUUUUCCCAACAUCCAUGGUCCUUUCGAUGUGCAAGAAAGAGUUCUCAAAAUGCUACCAAAAGUGUAAUUCAACAGCUUCGAACACGUUAGACAGUGAAGAGAAUUCUAUUAAUUACAAUAAUGUGAAUUAGUAAUUAAUGUUGAGCUGCCGCUUCCCUUAACCUUUCCAUUACACUGAAAACAAAGUAUAUGCAUGUCCUAAACUCUGAAUACAUCACACAAUUCACAACUAUCGGAGUUGACAGAUAUAGAUACAAACUAAAAUGUCCAGUGUCAUGAAACUUGCAAAAGGAUAGUUACAGUAGAUACAAACUAAAAUGUCCAGUGUCAUGAAACUUGCAAAAGGAUAGUUACAGUUAAAGAUAUCUGAGUGUUGACUAACCUGUCUAUGUUUUGAUGCGCUUCUGUCCAACCAGGUUCAUAUGCCUCAAGAAAUCCCAGCUUUGCUUUAUUAGGCAAAUCAUGGGGAUGUACAAAUGGUACACCGGGUGGCCACCCUAUCUCCAUUCGUAUAUUUGCACACGGGCUAUCUAGGGUGUGAAUAUGAUUUUCACAUUCCUUGAUAUUACAAAAUCGCAGCUUGAUGCCUUUCUUAUCUGCGAUAUCUUGGACUCUUUCUUUCAAAACUCUCUGCGCUUCAAGCCUUAAUCUCUUGGAUGGUGGCAGAGGUUUGCUUUUAGGAUUUUGCUUCCUCCUCCGUACCAAAGUCUUCAUAGAUCCUGUACCAGCAUUUCAUCGAUCCAAUGACCUGAAGUUAAAAACUUUCCACUAAGGACUACUCGCAAAGUACAACUGACACUACUUCAACAUCAAUACAGUCAAACUAAGGAAACAAUAAAAAAUUUCAAGAACUACCAAAUAAAGGCAUCUAAGUUUAAUUUUUGGAAUAUCAGGAAAUGGUAAGCUACCAAAUAUCAGGAAACAAUAAAAAAUUUAAGAAGCACCAAAUACAGGCAUCUAACUUUAAUAUUUGGAAUAUCAGAAAAUGAUAACCUACAACUCUGGUCAUUUCUCUGAGCUAAGUGCUGCCCAUAUCUCCUAUUUGGGGGUUGUAUAUUGGGGAUAUAUUUUUGUACAAAAUAUGACCUACAUAGGAAUUGACUUGUAAUAUCUUCCUUAUUUUCUUUUGAUUGAACACGUAGUUAAUCACACUAAGAAUUUCCUCCAUAAAUUGACCAUCUUAACUUUUGCCUAGUUGCAAAAGGGAUGCUAAAGCAUGUGGCCAUGAUUACAAUGAUACAUUUUCACCAGUAGCUAAGAUGGCUUAUGUUAAGAGCACAAAAAGGUUUAGCAUCCAUUGUCUUUUCAAUUUUCUCAUUAAAGGGAUUGAUGUAUUAGAAAUGGUAUCUUUUCCAAAUUUUAUUUUCAUCAAAACUCUAGAAAGCCUGAAGCGAUUGGAAACCAACAUGAGCAUCAUUCAAUUUCAAAGUUUCUGAUGAAUCUUUGGCCUAUAAUAAUGAAUCAGAUUCUUAAUAAUAUUAAUUAUUAAUUAUAAUAUACAUACCGUCAUGUGUUGGUUGGAAAUUGAAGCACUGGAAAGCAGGUCUAUUAAAAAGAAGAUCAGUUGGAUGGGAUCUUUGCAUAAAAUCAUCCACGGGAACAGGAAGCUGAAACUGAGAGUCGACUCCAUAACCCGCAGCUCUCAUUUCAGAACAGUCAAGACUAGUCAUUGAUUUAGGCAAAAGUUUGAACCCUAAAGAACACCGCCCAUACAUAUUAGCCUCCAUAUUAGUAUCAGUUUUGUGCAAUGCAGGGUUUACAUAUCCCGCUGUUGCUUGAUAAAGAGCAAGCCCAGGAUAAACAAUGGCUUCUUGAGGCCCCAAAUCACCAUCCACAAGAAUCCACCGACCUUGAUAGUCUCUGACAUGUAAACCCGCCCUGUCAGACUUCACAAGAGAUAUCAAGCUUUUAUCGACUUGGUGAUCAUUAUCAGGAUACAUAAGCAAUUGACCAUCCUCUUGAGUAGCAGCUAUAUUAUGAUGUUGUUGUGGCCCUUGAAAUGAAGGCCUAGCAUGGCAGCAAACAGACAAAACUGAAGAUGAGAUUUCCUGAUUUCUCAAGGGAAUAUUAUCCAAUAUUUCUACAAAAGGAGAACUUCGCAAGUUCAAAUGGUAGCUAAUUGCAUCAAGAAUAUCCCUUGCUGCUUUUCCAAACAAAGAAAAGAUAUCGGACAAGCCAGCCGGAGGUAACUCAAUUGAGUUAUUCGGUUCCAAAGGAGUUAAACCUGGUCGAUAAUCAUACGUUUCUUGCCACAAAUUAGGAUCUGCAUAGUAACCGGAGGUUUUACACCAAUCAAGAGAGUCACUAUUAUGGAUCAUAUCUGCAGGUGGAUAUGUUUCUCGUUGAUUGAAGUACAGACGAGCAGAUUCUAAACCAGAUCUUAGAAGUGCCGCAUCAGUUGCUGGAAACUGAACAAUGACAGCUGAAAACUGAGCUAGUGAUUGCGACAAAAUUGAAACCGAAAUUUUAUAGGAAUCAGACGGCAACCCAUCUGAAGGAACUAAAUCAGAGAGCUUCACACGACCUAAAGCUGGCAGGCCAGUGGCUGCCAUGAAAUCACCUUAGCCUACACAAAUGAAACCAACUGAACUAUCAGCAUACAAAAAAAAACAAUUAAUCUCAGAUCAGAAACUUAUACACAAAUGCAUAUUAUUGAAACCUGAAAAAAAAUUGUGACUGCAAUAAUAGCACGAAAGGCUUGUCGGUAUAAACAGUUUACUUAAGCGUUUAUCAUUAUAAGUGCUUAUGUAUAAGCUAUUUUUAUAACAUAAGUUAAAAUAAAAUUAAACUGUUUUCAUAUAAGCUAUAGGGUCUGUUUGGCAAGCACAAUAAACAGUCUUCUAGUUGAUAGCUUAUAGCUUAUAAGCUCAUACGACUGAAAAAGAUCAGUUGGUAACUGUUGUUUUCUCACCAACUUAUUAUAACUUAUUUUGACUCAAUUCUACACCUGUUAUCUUAUAGAAAAAAUUAAAUAUUAAUUAAACUUAUCUAGUUUAUUUAUGUCAUUUCAUAUUUUCAACCAGACACUACAAAUUCAACCAGAUAGUUUAUUUGCAUGAUCUAUCAAAAACAAACAGUGACAAGUAGUUAUGUGAGUAGAUAACCUCAAGACCCUAAAAGCAUUAUCAUUUACAAGAGAUAUUAAGCAUGAUCUAUCAAAAACAAUAAUAAUUUUAUUUUUUUUUCUAUCACCAUAUUCAUAUGAAAAAAUUCACAAUCAAAUCAUCAUGACCAAUGACCAUGAAGAACAAUUAGUCUCGCUCAGCUCAGCUCAGAGAAACUGAUACACUAAAACCUAUGUUGUCAACCGCGCCGCUUAAUCGCAAUGCUCUAGCGAGUUGCCUAUUGCAGGGGCGGCCGUAAAUCGCGGUGCUACAGGAGAGGAGAAGGAAAACUCGAAAGAAGACAAAAAAGGAGAAAUAAACCUUUUGGAUGACUGUAUCUGACGACGGACGAAAAACUCUGGCAGCGUUUUCCGGCGAGGUGAGUUCAGUUCAGUGGGACUUCAACUUGUUUAUGAAAAAAGGGAAAUUUGGCAACUGCUGCAUAUGUAGAGGAGAUGCUUAGUUUUUUUUUUUUUUCUUGUCAAUUGUUAAAAUGUGUUUAUUUUUGUCUUUAGUGAAUCAAGGGCUUUUAAAAAGAUUUCAUAUUUUUUUUUAUUGUUUAUUGUGUUUUUCUUUUAAAGAAGUUGUAAUAAUUUAAAAUUUGAUUGAAAGUUAAGUAAAGUCUAAUUAAUAAUUAGAUUUUUGGUGAAGUUUAUUUUUUUUUCUUCUAAAUCAUAAAUACAAGUAUAUUUGUCAUUUCUUUGAAGAAAAAAAGAAGAAGGAAAAUGUAUGUAUUUAUAUUUCCUUUAUAAAACUUUAUUGCAAGUGAAUUCAAUCAAAUUACGACAUAUAAUUUUGAACAUAAAUUCAAUUAAAAUCACUCCUGUAUACGUACAUAAUUGAUUUAAAAUUUACACUUGUAUAUAAUUUAUACUCCUUAAAUUUCAAAAAAUACAUUAAGUCCUUAAAUUUCAGAAAAUACAUUAAGUUUGAAAUGAAUAUUGAGAAACAAAAUUCAAACUAAAAUCACUCCUAUAUACACACAAACACAAAGAAACGUUCCUCAAAAGUAAAAGUUUAAAGAAAUGAAACAAUAAAAAAAUAUCACUAUUAAGAAGAAUCGAACCUAGGACCAGCCCAGGUGGGUUUCACGUGUUGUUAAAGUGGAGUGUCUAGUCAUAUAUGUGUUAGUUCUCCGUAGACUACACACCAUUAUUUUCUAUUUCCUCAAAUGUCUGUCUAUUAAACUUUUCCCCUUUUUAUUAGAGAAAUGAUAUUUGACAUCAAAUUUGAAAAAACCAUUUUUUUUUUAAGUUCAUUACAAUACAAAAUAUAAAUUUUUAAUACUAGAACCAGCAAAGGUUAACGGAGAGGCAUGUCCGCAUUUCCCAUUCAAUAGUGUCCCAAGUUGAUCACUACCAAAAAAAGUGUCCCAAGUUGAAUUACCUCUUGUGAUGUUUUGAAGAAUAAGAAAAGUUAAACAUUAGAGGCACUUUCUGAACACGAAUUUCAUUAAAUUUUUCGUGGUUCAUUUAGGGAGCUCCUAAUAUUCAUCCCAAAACUAUUUCAUAAGUUAACGUGCAGGAUUUUUUUUAAAACGUAAGGGUAGAAAAGAUCUUCCAAUUACCUUAACAAUUUUCAAACUCUGCAAUUCAAUACAGAAAAACAUUUAAAAUCGUAAAAUUAUAAAUGGCAUGCAAGGCGUUGCAUUAUCAUAUGCCUGUUUGGUUAGGCGGUUGCAACCAACAAAAGCACGGCUACAGGAUUUCUAAAGCAAAAGUGCCAUGAUUUCAAGAAGCUAGCUUUUGAAGUUUUUGCUUUUAACGUGGUGAAUUGCCGCGGUUUUAAGGAAAACGCAAAGCAAACAGGUGCAUAGUCAGACAAAUAGCUCACCUAAGUUUGGCAUUUCCCACUAAUUCUAAAAAGCAUUGAUACAGAAAUUUCCAACUAGAUCCACACCAAACAUACACAUUAUUUGCACACUCAGAUUGUCAAUUACAUAGAACUCCACAGGUGCAAGAGGUUAAAAUACCGUCUCCCAAAUUUUGUAUUUCAGAACAGCAUUGCAAAAAUCAACCGAAAUGCAGAUUAAUAAAGUGAAACACGGUUUUCAAACUACUUAAAGCACUAAUUUGAAAACAUGUUAGGAAACAGACAGCCAUGAAGAAAUGCGACAAAUAUCCCUUAACAACUUAACCUAGAAUAACUUCUCGUUGCUGGUACACAAUCCUGAUAAAUGUAUCAAUAUAGAGACAGUAGAUAUACAGGAAUUAUCUAUGGUUUGCGAGCUGGGGGUGGUGAACUGCUGCUGCUACUGUUGCUACUGGCUCGUCCUUUCAAAGGCCUGAAUUAGAAGGCAGUUUACAUUAGUAAAGAAUCCAAAAUGAAGAUGCAGAUCAUAAAACCAUAAAACUGAAAGAAACAAACGUGAUUCUAAGCAAAUUUACAAAGUUAAAUUUAAAGCUGUCAUUACUGAUGACAAAAUAUCCUUUAAUGAAAAUGUACAAAUGCCAACUCUUCUAACAAGGGUAUAUUUUAAUUGGUGGUAUAAGGUGGAAUGGACUGAAAUAAGAUAACAUCCAUUUCUUAAAAUCUAAUCUGUCGUAACCCACAUCGUUUGCAAUCUGCAAUCUUUCCAUAGCGCUAUAGCAUAGCUGAAUUUGAUACGAGAAUGUCAUUCAAAAACCAUGGAACACAAAAUCCAAUGGCUUAAAAUGCCAAUUGAGGAGAGAUAUGAUAUCAAUCCUAAGCAUAUGAACAUCUACUUAAAAAUGCAUCCUUGUACUGUGUUUGAACAAUGAAACACCAAAGUUAGGCGACAAAUUCCGGCUUAAAUUCGGCAGAAAGUAGGAGUCUGACAGGCACCAAAAAAGAUGCUGCUCAUUCAAUUGCAUUUGGUUAUUACGACUUUCAAGCUUUAAAUAGUGCUGUUUCAUUUGCAUUAUAUUUUAUAAGGUUCUCCAAAAAAGAGAGUUGCCAGUAGAAAUUCUUCAAAACAACUCGAAUCUUACAUGAUCUUGUUUGAGGUCAUAAUGAUUGCAUUAUAAACAAGUUAAAAAAAUAUGGUAGUGAUAAAUGUAUCAGAAGUAACUAUAAAAAGGCACCAGAGAUUGUAAUCAGAAUAGAAGAAAAGACGGCAGUGAAUGUUACCAAACAAAUAAAAAUAAUAACAAAAAAGAUUAGACAUGAAAACCAUUAUACCAAAUAUUGUACACAUUACCUUCUUGGACUGCGACUCUUUGAUCUCCGGGAUACCUGUUGUCAAAGUUAUGAAUGUUAGAAUCAUUGACCAUGUAAAAUAAUGACAUCUACACCAAGUAAAAGGCACAAACCUUGCGAGGACUUGGCGAAUCAGAGUAAGAUGAUGACCUUCCCCGUCUCAUAGGUGGCCUGCCUCUGUCAAUAAGAAAAUUUUACCCAGGCGUUGGUACAUUUUCAAAGUAUUAUCAUGCAAAGUUCAAUCAAUCAAAACAUGACUAGGAAUUAAAACUUUGCAUUUAUGGAUGCAUAUGCACUACAAAUGUUGGUGGACACUGGAAGUAUUCUGUAAAAUAAGCAUUUCUUCCUAAGAAACAAGAUUUUUUUUAAAGGAACCUUGAUUCCUAAGAAACAAGAUCGAAAUCCCCAACUGCCAUGAUUAUAUCACGUAAAAAAUUCAUUUUUCAUUUUAUAAAAUAUUCAGUCCUACAUAAUAAGCAUCAAUUAAAUCUUCACUAAGGACUACAUACAUGACCAUUCAAGGGAAUGUCGAAUUUUGGAUAACUACAAAACACCUCGGGUCCAAACAUCAUAUAAAAUAUUCAGUCCUACAUAAUAAGCAUCAAUUAAAUCUUCACUAAGGAUUACAUACAUGACCAUUCAAGGGAAUGCCGAAUUUUGGAUAACUACAAAACACCUCGGGUCCAAACAUCAUAUGUUCACAUGCUCAUUUACAACACUUUAUUUUAUGCUUCUAUCAAAAUAUUAUUAUGCUAAAAAAAAAUAAAUCAUUUUAGAGAACUGAGAUAUUGCAUGAGACAAAAUUACCUGCGAGGUGAGAAUGAUCUUGAGCGUGAGCGUGCAGAUCUACGUAUUGGAGAGCGACUACGCCUACGACCAACUGGAGAUCUUCUAGGAGGACUACGGGCUCGUCUAGGAGGUGAACUAUAAAAAAAACAUUUAUUUUUCCAAUGAGCAAUCAAUGGCAUGUUAAAAUGCAAAUUGAAAAACAAUAAACGAGGAAAAUAAGCACUCAAAAUAUGGUUACCGGCGUCUUGGAGGUGGAGGAGGAGAACGUCUCCGACCUGGGCCUGGGCUUCCACGCAUCCUUCGAGGUGAUACCCUACAAAAAUGAAAAUUAAUUGAGUCGGCUGUAUAAUGAAAUUGUAUAUGAAAAACAUGCAUGCAAUCACAAGCCAACCUUGCAGGGGAUCUAAGGCGCCUUGGUGGUGGAGAUGGAGAACGACCUCUUCCGGGAGACACAGGUCUCCUCCUAGGAGGUGUGUCUCCAGCUCCGCGACGAUAAGGAGAGUCUAAUCGACGACGAACAGGAGAAUCUGCACGGCGGCGAGGAGAUUCUGGUCGUCUUGGAGAUCCAGCUCUUCGAGGCACAGGAGAUCUUCUUCGUGGUGAGGGAGGAGGUUUUCUCCGAGGAGAAGCUGGUACCAUGAAUAAUUAGUUCAAUACCAAUAUAAAAACCACCAAUAUGAUAAAUAUAAAACAAAAAAAUGUUCAACAAAUAUCAAGCAUAUACAUUCUCUUGGACGCUUUGGCCCAUCUUUUUCAACUUCUGCACCAGCAUUAUCAGUCCUGGGUGCAUCUCUCUUUGGAGCAACAGCUUUUGGGGGUGGUGAAGCUUUCUGUCUUGGAGGUAGAGUAAAUCUUGCCUUAACAACAUUGCCAUCUAUUUGGGCCUGCAUAACAAAAAAAACAAAGGCAUCAAUUUCCAAAUGCGGCAGCCAACAAGCUUGAUUGUGGAAAUUAAUCCAACUCGGGCAAAAGCAACCUACACCAUCCAUGUACAAUAAUGCUUUUUCAGCUUCCCCUCUUGUCUUGAAAUGCACAUAUCCAUAUCCUUUUGGAAGAUUAACCUGGAAAGUUUUUUAAAAGAAAUUUAAAAACCUACGACUCUAAAUUCUUCUAGAACUAUGAUGCCAAAUUAAAUGCAAACUUACAGCUCUAUCCAUCACCAACUCCACACUUACAACCUCGCCAAAAUUACCUGAAAACAGGUCAGCAAAAGAGGAUAUGAGCUCCUUAAGAUAUAAAGGUCACUAAAAGUUCCCUUCCAAUUACACACACAAGCUACUAGAGGCUACUAAAAAGUUUCUCUCGAUUAUUGGUAUUUCAAGAGUGUAUGCAUAGAUAUGAAGCAACUAUGCUCCCAGUUAAUAAUAUGAAUACUUAUAUUGAAGUAUAAAUGACAAAAAGAUCAAAACUAAAAUAAAAGAAACAGAAAAAUUGCAUUGGGCUUAAAUUUUGGAUCCUAAUACCAUGAGACACUGGUUUCAAAUGAAAAAUGUAUCUCGAUUCACAGUUGAAGACGAAAGCAGAAGUGAAAGAGUUUAACUUACUGAAAAUUUCUUUCAAAUGGCCUUCAUUGACAUUCCUGCUGAGUUUCUCAACGUGGAGAACAAGAGACUCACGUACAGGAGAAGGUUUCCUGAGAUGAAGCAUGAUAAGUAAACAUAGCAAAAGAUAGAAGUUACAAAUCGAAAGAAAACUUGUCAAUUGUUGAACUUAGAAGGCUCACAAUCACAGCAUGUUUAAUUAAAUUUAAAAAUGUGAGAUGAAAAAUAAAAAAAUAUUCUAACAAAUUUACCACAUCUUAAAGAUAUGAUGAAAAAAGUCCGCACUGAAAAUUAUAAAAACAAACUUAACCAAUGUAUAUUCAGUAUUUUGAAAAUUGGGUCCGCUACAUAUAUCAUGUCCACUCAUACCACACAUUCAAUGAAACAUUCUCAUCUCCGCUACACUUAUUUUACUCUCUCUCUCUCUCUCUCUCUCUCUCUCUCUCUCUCUCUCUCAUAUUGUCAUUUCUAAUUCUAUCAUGUCCACUCAUACCACACAUUCAAUGAAACAUUCUCAUCUCCGCUACACCUCUCUCUCUCCCUCCCUCUCCCUCCCCCUCUCCCUCCCUCCCUCCCUCCCUCCCUCCCUCCCUCCCUCUCUCUCUCUCUCUCUCUCUGAAUGAAACAUUCUCAUCUCCGCUACACUUAUUUUACUCUCGUGCUGGUUCUUUACCACCCAACACUAACUCAACCCCACAAAACUAAUUUAUAAAGUGUGGAGAGUCCAUACUUCAUAAGAUCUUAUGAAGCACUAUCUCUAGUAAAUGGCGGACGCUGUUUUUCUAAUACACAUCAUCCUCGCUCAGCACUACUGAGUUUGGAGUGUGGCCAAUAUAGUCGGUGGUCGAACAUCAGAUCUAAGAUACCAUCUUAAAUUUUGGGCAAAUUCAACUUAAUGACAUAAAACAAGCAUGUAAGAUGAGGAUUGCCUAAGUUUUAUAAGAUCUAUCUAAGUCUUAUAUCUCUUGCUAACAUGUGACUAGGAUUUUUUAUAAUUGUGCUAUAAUGUUCCAUUAUAUCCCUUCUUUUAUAAUUACAUUCAAAUAUAAAAUAAAUUUAGAAAUUUCAACAAUACAAUAACUACAAAAUAAACAUCAAAAUUCUGACUUGAGUUUUAAAAGAAAUAUUACUAUACUUAUUAAUUAAAUAAUUUUGUUAUCAUGUUUAUAUUACAAUCCUUUGUCUCGUGAUCUCACGUUUUACAAUCUUUUACCCCUUUUCCAAUCCUAUGCAGAAUCUCAACUUUGACAACCUUGUAUAUAAUCCAUAUCCCUGGCCAUCUUACAUAUAUCACUUUAGUCGGUGAUGACCUCAAUAUAUAGUAGACUGUUAACAGUUGACAAUAUAAAUUGGCUACUGCGGUUUUCCACUACUAGUUUGUAUCUUAUUACCUAACAAGACAUACCAUGCUAAACUUCAACAAGAGUUAAGAUAUAGUAUAUAAAAAGCAAAAAUGAAAGAAUAAUUUCAUAUCUCCAACGUCAAGAUAUGGCAUAUGAAAAAUAUGAUUAGUAAUAAAAACUCCCAGUCUCCAUCUCCACGAGGGACAUACACAAAUACAAGAAGUGUCCUAGAAAAAAGUUGGAUUGAAAUAGCAAAUUUGAAAUGAGUUUACCUUGGAGGAGGAGAAGGUCUCUUAGACUGUGGAGGUGGAGGAAGAGGAGGAGAUCGACCUCGCCUAGCUGGUUCAGCAGAACUACACAACAAAAAUACUACCCUAUCAAUAUGAACUGAAAAAUAUAAACUUUACUAAAAUCAACAACAUGGAAAUUACUCCCACGAAAUAUUUAACCAAAAGAACCGUGAUUUGUGCGUACAGUUCAAAAUAUAAUGUACAGUGUACACCAAUUAACCACAUUUACAUUACAGUGAUCAAAAUCAUAUUCAUCAAAACAAUAAUUUGGACUAAAAUUUAAAACUGGGCAGAUUUCCAUUUCCAACUUCUCCUAUUUGAAAACCUAAACCGAACUCAAAAUUGAAAAUUAAAAACUGAAAAAUAUGACAUUCUCAAAUUAACAUCUGAAAAUCAUAAUUGUUUUCAUCUUGAACAUUUUCAUGCAUGUUCUUCUACGCAAAAAAUCAAAUUGACUUCGAUUUUUCUAAUGGUUCAAAAUUUGAACGAUUUGGCAAGAAUUAAAGUUGAAUCGAAGGAUGGAUGUACCUUUUGCGUCUUGGAGGAGGAGGACUACGGCUACGGCUCUUGGAACUGCGGGAGGGAGAGCGAGAAGAGGAAGAGAAGGAUCUGGAACGGGAGCGGGAGCGAGAAGAGGAACGGGAAGAGGAGGAGAGAGAAGAAGAUCCGGAGACGGAACCUGAUGGUGGUGAGCGACGAGCUCGACCAGGUUUCGCCAUUGUUGAAGAGAGAGAGCGUGAAACCCUCUAUAAACCCUAGCUGGUAGUGAAGUGUUGGAUUUGUGUGGAGUGAAUCGAGGUAAGAAGAAAGAAAGAAAGAAAAUGAAUGAACGAUACAGAUUUUAGUUUUAUUUUAUUUUAUUUUUACCCAUUUUUUAUGGGUCAGGAUGAAGUUUGAAUGGGUCGGGUUUACCCGAGUUUCAUGGGUUAAUUUCAUUCAUGGAACCAUCAUCAUAACCAAGCAAGUUUAUUAAUUAAAAUAAAAAUUUGAGACUUACUUUUUAGUUCCACUUAUUUCUUGAAAAUUACACCCCUUUCCAUUCGGGUUAGGCUGGUGGUAUUAACUUAAAAACAUGAGAGUGGAUUAUCUCCGGUGUUAAUUUAGCGGGCUAAUUUAACUUCAAAAGAAAAAAAAAUUGAAUAACAUCAUAAUUAUUUUUCAUUUGAAUGAAUAAAUUUGGACGAAUGUUUUUUCAUAAUUAUGCGAGUGUGUUUAUGUAAGAGUUUCAAGUUUGAAUACUUUAGAUGUCAACAUUUAUUGUUUCGUUAGUCAUUACGACGUUUAUCCUUCAAAUUAGCAUAUCCUUAGACCCAAAUACCAAGUUUAAAAAAAAAUGGCGGAAAGAAUGAUUUAGAAGGCCAAAUCCUUUUUUGCUCAAUACAAAGGACUACUUUUGAGGUUGCUUUUUGCAUUCAUAUUCUUUCCUUAAGCCUAAAAACAUUUUAGGUCAGUUCUAAGCCAUCACAUUCUUGGCAAAGUCUGCACACGUUAAUGAGAAAAGUAACUUUACAACAUAAAUUAAACCAUAGUAAGAUUUGAAUGGCCCUCUGUCCACAAUUCACUUAAAACUUCAUAUUGUGAGUUCCACUGAUAUCAUUGUCAUUAGCCUCUGUCAAAGCUGCUAAAUCAUACAAAUACAGUAUCCCAAAUUCCCAAUGGUCAUAAACAACGCAUUCCAGGGUGAUUAACUGUUAUAACAAGUCAGUUUUUCAAGCUUAAGCUAAUAAUUUGUUUAAUCAAGGUUCCUCGGUACUAGUAGAUGCCUCAGAACGUCUUCUCUUUGCUUCAUUAUCACCCAGCUGCAACGAAACACAUAAAUCUUCAUUACAGUCAUUCCUCAAUGAAGAUAAAUUCUCUGCUGCUGCAGCUUUGUCAUGCACAGUGUGUUUGUGCAACGGUGACCGCCCGAUGAAACUCGGAAUGAACUGAUGUUCAAUACUGGGACCACCUACCUUGAUUCCGUCUUCUAAUUUAAAUUCAGCCUCCAUGGUUGAUGGUUUCAUUUCCUGGCUGUUAGGUUCAACUCCUAAGGGAAUAGACUGGAUUUGAAGACCAAGAGGCUCAAAUUUGUCUUCCACUCUAUCUUUCUGAUGCAUACCAUCAGGAGUUGAGGAAUCACCAACAAUAGAGCCCAUAAAUGUAGCCGAUGCAGUCCUUUGUUCUUGCACCGCCACUACACAAAAAGAUAUUGAUUUUAGAAUUUAACCUCUAGUUUCACUUCAUUAAGAUAAUCCUGAUCAGUUGAUAGAAAAUUGUUUUCAACAUUUUCAAUGCUAUCUUCACUAUUAGGAGACAGAAACAUAGGAAUAUAGUAAAUUAAAAAAAAAAAUGAUUAUAUGCUAGUUGGUUUUUAACAAGAAAACAAUGCUUUAAAAAUCGAACCAGAGAUCACGGUUGAACCAAAUGAUGAAUAAAAUAUAAAUUUAAAAUGUGUGUGGUUGAAUCAAACUGUGUUUGACUAUGGUUCAACCAGACUGUGGUAAAACCGGGAUCAAACCAACCAGCGAACUUGUCGGUUCCCGUUUGAACUGGACAGUUCAAUCUGGUUUUUGAAACAUUUAAGAAUACAGCUGAUCAAUGCAUAGCUAAACACACUAUUACCCUACCAAAUCAUAUCAUCAGAUUAAUUCAUUCAAUUACCCACCCUAUGCCCUAUAGGCAUCAACACAAUUUCAUAUAUGAGAACAACAACCUAAUAUAAGUUCUAACCCCGUAUUUGAGAAUUAUAAAUUGAAAUAACGAUGAUGAUGAUGGUGAUAGUGAUAGUGAUAGUGAAAGAUAGACAAACCUCUAAGUCCUUCAUCACUUGUAAUCAAAUCAAGUUCAAGUAGAUUAAGAAGACGUCCUAGAUCAACCCCACUAGUCCAAUUCUCCGGAGGUAGCCCAAUUUUUAACUUAAGGCGGCCCCUAUUAGCAGUCCCUCCCCAUAUGAUCCCAAUUGGUCGUGGCUUCUCACCGUUGUCACCUUUAAACAUUAUGAGACUUCCACUAUCUCCUUCAAGGUCAAAAGUUUGUUGGUUUUCACCAACAACAAGAAAAUCUGUUAGAAAGCAUAUACCCUUCUCAUCAUUGUACUCUAGGGCAUACGCCAAAACAAUUCCUGUUGUCAAGCCAGAACUUCUUCCAACCUUAACUACUUGUUUUCCAAUAAGGGUACUAAUUGGAGACUGUAGGUCAAUAAUUUUCACAUCACCGAUAUCUCCAACGCCUCUCACUGAGGUAGUAACAGUGCACAUGUCAAAGUCAUCAGCAAAAGGAAUGAAUGCUCCGUCGGCUCUCACGAACGUCUCUGGAGGGGAAACACAUCAUGAUAUGUGAUGAGUAUGUGUAGCGAAAAUAAUGCAAGUAAUCAGAUUAAAUCAAUCAGACUUUUGAAAUUAUGUUACCUGGGUUUAUUCCGGCAAAUAUUCCAUACCAGAGCUCAUCAGUUAUAAAUGAAGUUGCUCUCUCUACUGCCCCAAGAUAAACCCCGGGUCCCAAUGUGGGUGGAAGAGGAUGAAACAUCUUUUGAUUUGGAUAAUCUAAAUCGACUGCUACAUGACGAUUUGUGAGAAAACCAACUUGUCGGCUACCUGUUUGGCUCCUCACAAUGGCACCCAAAGUUCCGUAUGUCUCCUGGCUUGCCACCUAGACCAAGGAAGUAAGUGGUCAGAGGUGGAACAUAUUCACCAAAUAGAACAGAAAAAUGAGAAUGAGAAAUAUUGCUAUUAACUCUGCAAGCUGGCAAUCGCAAGAGAUUUUGCAAACCCUGUAAUUUCACUCUUUAAAUAUCUCAAAUGACUUCUUUUGACAAGCCCGAUAAAACCACAAGAUCUAUAUUUCUGGCCUCCCUAAAUUUUUCGUUGUUUAUUCAGGACAGAAAAUUUUGAAAUAUAAACUGGUAGAGAUUAGGCUGAAAGAAAAUAUCCCGAAAUGUCUGGCCAAUGACAUUCGCAUAAUGAGAUUGCCAAAGAAAAGGCAUUGGAAACCAGAUUUAAGGUUUAGUUCCAAUUAAAAUACUAAAACCAUUGUUUAGUAGCAUAGACAUCCGUCUACAGGUACCAUAUGAGAAUUAAAAACAUGUAAAGAUAUAAAAACAGGUUCAUUGAAGCACUAGAUACUGCAUGUAACACGAUGAAGCUUGAAAUCUAAGGUCUAAAAUUUAAAGAAAUUAUGAAUCUAAUAGCUAUAUCUCCACGAGUCUAUCGUAGAAGGUCAAGUCCAUGCACUUAUUAGUUAUGUCAAGUUAAAUGAAUCUUGACAAAAGAUGUUUUGUUGAAUUUGCAUACACAACCUGCAACGUUAGACUCGUGUAGGCAUGGCUAAGCUUCCUAGGACAAACCACUACAGCAUAUGAAUAUGAUAUAAAUUAAGGACAAUAGUGCAGUAAUUACACUCUGAUUUUUUAGUGGAAGAGAUUGCCAAGUAUUAGGCUAAAAAUGCUUCUUUAAUCAUCACAUGCAUGCGAUAUUAAUCAAAUCAAAAAAAUUCUUUUGUAAACCAGAUGAUUUGUUUCCAUAGGAAACAUUAAAUAAGAGAGCAAAAAAACACCUGAGAUCCUGAACCAAUGCACGGAUCACCUCCACGCAAGUCAUCCACAAUCUCUGUAUAGUGUUGUUCUUUCGGAACUGGUUCAGGUGCACCAAAAUAUGAGAAUUCCACCACAUCUACAUCACACCAUACUCCACCAGGCCCCUGAUUCACAAAUUAAACAUCUAUUUUAACUGCAGCAGCAGACACUAGAGAUCACAACAAAUAUCUAUAUAUAUAGGUUAAAGCUGAACCUCAAGGGCAGUAGGAAGACACUGGAUUGGGCUGAGCCAUUGCUUGUGAACUUUCCUGGAAACAAACACCAGAAUGGCGGGAAUAUCUGUCAAUACACCUCUCCGAAUACGAAAACCAAUCGCUGUUCCAAGGCUGUAACAACGCAGUAUCUUGCUGUGAAAUGCUCUGAUUGUCAUGAGCUCAAGUAAUGUGGUUGCCUGCUGCCCCUUCGGCAGACGACCAAGGGUUUCAGGUAGGACCCCCUUUUGUAGAUUUAAAAAGUAGUUUGCUCUCUCUUCGGCAGCAUCAGGCAAACGGCUAGGCCAUGAGAAGUAAGCAGCAUUGCUUUCACCAUGCUGUCCAGCUGAAGCAAAAGGUUGUAGCGUCGGUGGACUAAGUGAAGGUAGAUUAGAAUGACCAUAGCAAUUCCUUUCAAGAUCCAAAGCAGAUUCUUCUGAGGGAGUUGAACCAGAGCACCGAACCCUCGAGUUAAGUCUUGGGCGCUCCAUCUUUUGAUUAACCUAAAGCAAUGUUCUAUUUUGAACCCAAAAAAACAUCAAUUUAGCACAUAUAGUCUUUAGUUUAAUUCAAAACUCAUGACAGUGAGAAAUAACAUCAAUUUAUGGCAAAAGAACUAUAAAUUAUUUUAGUACAAAAGAAACAUGUUACUAUAAAAAAAGGGGAACCUCAUGAGAUAAAUUCAACACAUAAACUUAUACUAAUUUAUAAAUAAAGGUUGUUUUAAAGAAGUAAUAAUAAUAGAAGCAUGCAAAAAAAAAAAAAUGGUUCAGGAGCAACUCAUUGCAUCAACAACAACAAAAAUACACUCCAAGUAGAGCAUAAUUAUGAUGUUCCCCACUCAAUUUAAGAAAAAACGUUCUUUUAUCAAGUUAAGCAAUUAACACAUCCUUUUAAGAAAACAAUACAGUUCAAGUAAUGAACAAAAUAAAUAGAUAAAAUAAAUAAAGAAUAAUUCCCUCAAUGGAAUUGGGAACAGAACCUAAUUUUAUACAAUUUAAUUGUCAUAUUCAAGCACAUGGAAAGUGAUUAAAUUAAUCAAUUUACCAUGAGAAAUAUAAUUAAACAAGCUAAACUAAGUUUCAAGCAUGUUAAAAACAUUGCAAAACAACGAGGCUCAAGUUCAGAAUAUUUCAUCCACACACACACACACACAAAAAAAAAAAAAAAAACAAUUUUGUUUACUCUCAUGAACAAAUCAAGGUCAACAAACCACAAAAAGGCAUAUCCUUGUUGUAUUUAUGGUUUUUCAGUUUAACAUUAAAAAAAACAAAAAGCUAAGAUUUUGAAGGUAGACAAAAAGACCCAGAUAGGUAAAAAAGCAAAAAAAAUGAACAAAAUGAAAAGCCAGAAAAAAGAACAUGAUUUGAACAUACACAGUGUUAGUGGUCGGUUGAGGAGUGAAGAUGAAAGUGGAAGAGCUUCCUUCAUUGAUAUACAGAGUUCAUUUGAAGAAUCUGUAGAGAAGAUGGAGAAUUGAGAGAGGACGGAGUUUACUGUAGUUGAAUUUCAGAAAUUUCUAUGCAAAGUUGCAUAGAAAUGUGGUAAAGUAAAGUCACCUCAGCUCAGUGUCUGUCUGUCUGUGCUGGGGGUGUCGAGACAGAUUGCAUGUUUUUAGUUUAUUCUUUUUCUUUUAUUUUAUUACUUACAUUUAUUAAUUAAUUCAACAUAAAUAAAUCAAUUUUUAUAUAUCUUGGCGUGGUGUUUACUUCGUGACAUGUUGCCGACAAAAAACAACCUUCUUGGCCGCGACAUUAUCACAGGUGCAAGCACAUCUUGUUUGGCGGGAUGUGGACAGGUCGAAACAGCUCAGCAUAUGUUUCUUCAGUGUGAUAUAUCUAGUUCUCUUUGGCAGCAGGUUCGAUCUUGGAUAGGUGUUUUCGAUGUAGCCCAUCAUAGUAUUUAUAAUCAUUUUGUCCAGUUUACUAACUAUUGUGGUGGUCUGAGGGAGCGUUGAUCUUUUAUGCAAUUAAUUUGGCUCCUUUGUAUCUGGGUAGUUUGGAAUGAGCAUAAUAAUAGGUUAUUGGCUUAAAUAUGCAAACCGUCCCUGUAAUUUGGACGAAUUUUGAUUUUCGUCCCUGUAAAAAAAAAAAUUUUAAUUACAUCCCUGUAAAAUUUUUUUUGUUUUAAAAAGGUCCCUGGCCCCACUUCGCUGGUGAUGUGGCAACAUUUUUGGCCACGUGGCAGUUGCUGACUGUGCAACUUUUGCCACGUGGCGCUGACGUGUCAUGCCACAUAAUUAAAAAUUUUUUUUUUUCAAAAUUCUAAAAAUUCAUUUUUUAAAUUAAAAAAUCCGAAAAUAAAUAUAAAAAUCAUAAAAAAAACUGAAAAUUAAAAAAAAAAUUCUUCAAAAUUCUGAAAAUUCAUUUUUUUUAAAUUAAAAAAAUCUGAAAAUAAAUUUAAAAAACAAAAAAAAAACUAAAAAUUAAAUUGACGAAAAUUCAUUUUUUUUUUUAAUUCUGAAAAUUAAAUUAUAUUUUCAAAAGUUAUAAAUUUUGAGAUUAUAUAAUUUUUAAUUUUAUUUUUCAAAAAUUUAUUUGUAGAUUUUAAAAACACUAAUUUCCAAUUAUUUUUUUCACAUUUCAAAAAAAAAAAAUUGGAAUUUUUUUUAUGAUUUUUUUAUUUAUUUUCAGUUUUUUUUUCAAAUUUUUAAAAAUUUGAAAAAAAAAAUAAAUCAAUUUUUUUAAAAAAAAUAAAAAAUAAUGACGUGGACCGCCACGUGGCAAAAGUUGCACAGUCAGCAACUGCCACGUGGCCAAAACCUUGCCAAAUCACCAAGGAAGUGGGGCCAGGGACCUUUUUAAAACAAAAAAAAAUUUACAGGGAUGUAAUUAAAUUUUUUUUUUUUACAGGGACGAAAAUCAAAAUUCGCCCAAAUUACAGGGACGGUUUGCAUAUUUAAGCCUAGGUUAUUUAACAAUUCUCAUAGUUCCUCUUUAGAACUCUUGGAGAAGGUUAAAUUUCAUUCCUAUUGGUGGUUGAAGGUUAAUAAUGCCUCUUUUGUUUUUGGUUGUCCGCAGUGAUGGUCGAACCCCUUGACAUGUCUGGGUAUCGGCUAACUAUUAUUUUCUUUUAUUGUGACAGAUAUUGUAUUCUUUGAGAGCCUUUUUGGCACGCCUUGUGUCAAGGAGGAGUCUCCGUUUCUGUGAAUAUAAAUUCCCUUUUUGUUUCUUGAAAAAAAAAAUCAAUUUUUAUAUAAUGCAUAUAAUACAUCUUAUUUUAUUAAAAAAAAUAUAAUUCGUAACCAAAAAAAAAAUAUAUAUAUACACACACACAUACAUACAAUUCUUAUUAAAAAAAAAUGUGCAUAAUAUAUCAUAUGUCUUAGACAAAACAAAAAUAUUUUAGAAAAAUACUUAUAAUAUUGUUGGUCUGUAUUUUUAAUGUUGAUUUUUUCGACAAGAAACUUUCUAGUCGAAGCUAAAACUUUACUUUUGGUGUUAGUCUAGAGAUAAGUUACCUUCAAUACGUUGUAAUGAGUCUUGGCAUAUUCAAAAUCAUUCAGUUUCGACAUAGGAAAUUCAAAUUGUCGGUAAAGAGGCAAGGUAGAAGACACAUGGAAGCAUGUUGGAGUUGUCGAAGACUUAUAGUUUAAAGACCGUUAGUUUCGGUUACUUCUUAUUGUAUACAUAUAGAAGAUUUACAUAGGAAAUAAUGGUUACAGAUCAAAUACAUGAUUCUUUAUGCUCGAAAUAUCCAAGUUACAACGAGAAAAUUGUAUCAAGAUAAUGUAUGUGUGAUUUGGUGUACCAACUUUCGUUUAUGCAAUGCAAAUUCUUUUCUUUCAAUUUGUUUACUUUCAUUCUUUGAAGUUUCAUUCAUGUUGAUUUCUUCGUGAAUUAUUUCAAAAAACCUCUAAAAUUGAUAUAUUUCAAGAAAACUAGAAUUACAGACUCAUAUAUAGAAAACAUUACAAAAGUUCGAAUAUCAUAGGCAAUUGUUCUAAUACUCCUCCUUUUUGUAGCUAAAACCUACUGAAAAUGACUGAAAAACAUGCUAAGAAUAACGUAAAAUGAUUUGUCAUCACAACCCUAAACUUAAAUUGUUGCUUGUCCUCAAGUAACGAAAGAAAAACAUAUUUUAUUCUUUACAUUUUUUUCUUUAAAAACAUAUCUUUCCGGGAGUUGUGCUUAGGACAUCAUUCAUCACAUUUAUAGCAUAACAACAACUAACUUACCACGAUACAUUCAAGCGGGUCUGGCUUGGUAAAAGUAACCUAUAUUAUCAGCCAUACUCUUUUCCAGGAUACACAUAUGUAUCUCCUAAAGCCAGUAGAGCUGGUCACGGCAUUUUCCCACUCCAGUCGUCACGUGAAUGUAUCUUGCUAUAAAUUUGAAACAAUUCUAAACAGAUAGUAAAAAUCAUAUUAUUUACACACUUAGAGGAAUUUGAUGGUUAUAACUUGACAUAGGUUAAGGGUGGAUAUAUUUUGGAAAGUAGGCUAACAAAAGAACUUGGAGUUACUUCACUAACCUAGGGAUUCCUACUAAACAUUACUGCAUUGUCAUCCUUCCUUCCUUGAUUCAAACAGAACGGGUAAAACGGUAGAACUAUUUGUCUUUUUAUUUUUGACAAAAAGAUACUUUUUUUUAAGAGACUGCUUUAUUUUCGCUCUUGAUUUAUUUUAUUUUUUUCUAUUUUUUUAUAUUGAUCCAUGGUCAUCUACAUUUUUUUUCUUCUGACAAAUGUGUUCUACUGUUACCCCACCCCAAACUUAAAUUGUUGCUAAUUUCAAAGAGCAACUCCAAACUUAGUUUCAAAGCAUGUGCAGUCACAAUAACCCGUAUCUAACUCCAAUUGAAAUCAGAUAGGGUGCAUUUAAAGUGUAGGAUUGUGACAUGAUUCGUCACUAAUAAAGAAAUAAUUUUUUGUCUUGAGGCUCAAACUGGUUUCAGGAAGGAUAAUAAGAAUAUAUAUACUAGACCUUUGACCCGUGCAUCGCACGGGUCAUACCGAUCGUAACAAUCAUCAAUAUGUUAUGCCAUAGUAAAAAAAUAGUUCUCAAAUCAAUCGUAUGAUAAACAAGAUCCACGUUAAUCAUAUCUCGAUAACAAUCAUAUUUUGGGAAAUCGUAAGAACAACAUAAGUUAUUAUUAGGAAUUACAAAAUACUUCUCUAUAGACCACAUUUGACAUUAUGUUAAUAUCUUCACCGUCUUCAUCGAUUAUCAAUAUCUUCAACCAUUCCUUUGAAGAUAUUGCAACUAACAACUAACCAUUUGAAACGUAAGCGUUGAUAGAUAUAUCCCAACAUGUAUUAGAGAUUGACAUUGACUCUUAUUAAUAGUCGUUGCAAAUGAUGCAAUUAAAGGAAAUCGUCUCCGUUAAAACUUGAAUGAAAUUCUUAUGUCAGAAAGUGUCGAGAGAUAAUCUGACUAUAAAAACUUCGUUGCCGAUAUUAGUUUCGGAUAUCACCUUUACUUCAAGCAAAUGUUUUUCCAUCAUUGUUACAAUCUACCUUGUUUCAUUGAAUAAUCGUAAUCUCUUAUCUACAUUCCUUGAUAGCAUCAUUGUGAUUUGUAAAUCUCGAUGUAGUAAUUGUGUUGAAAAAUUCGAGAGUAUAAAUCAUCCACUGCAUCGACAUUAAUGUUCCCUUGUAUAUGAUAUCAUUACUCAAAUAUAUUAUCUCUUCUCGUAGAAUCAAAUCCAACACAUAAUCGCUGAUUUGUUCAACAAUUAAAUUUUUAGAAGCUUAGAUAGCUCUAUUUUAGAAAUAAGUUGUAUCAUUCAUGUUUUAAAAAAGUUUUGUAUAAGUGAUAAUAGAUCUUAGAUGGUCACCUGAACUUUGAAUAAGUAAAACGGAUGAAUAUCAAAUGACUCUUACGAUGUGUCUAACUUGUCUAUCUUAGAUUUUUCUUGAUGUAAUAUAUCUUGGAAAAUACAAAGAAACCCUUUUUUUUUUUUUUUGAAGCAACCAAAAUGAAAUAUUAUAUCACCAAGAGCGAUUCAUCACACACAAGGUGUGCAGAGAGAAACACUCUUCAAAAGAAUACAAAUCGAGUAUCUGGAGCCAAACAAAAAACACAUCUAAAAAGAGGAGAUGAAAACUACUCCAUAACACCCAUACAAAGUAAAGGGUGCCGCCACCAGUCAUUAUAACUGAAAGCGGAAGUUAGCGUAUUAGCCUUUAGCCAAGAAAAAGAAACAAACUUUACAGUGUCUAAUAAUUGAACAAAGUCCCGAGCAUUGUUAUUGAAAAUCAUGUUGUUUCUUUCAAGAAACCCUCAUUUUUGUUAGGACUCUUCUAAGCAAUACCAAAAGUUCAAGAACAUGAUGGCUAAGAAAUGACGCAGUCUAGUUUCAAUUUUGGCAUUUCAAACCAUAUUAUGGUAGCUUGUUAAAAAAAACCCAUUAUGUCAGCUUAAGGUGAAGAAAAAAGCACUAAUUAGUCCUUAAGAAAACACUAAUUAGUAUCUGGAAUAAAGGACUAACCUGCAUUGAAGUUUAAAGAAAAAAGAAUCAUCAAAAGAAAGUUUUUAAACAUUACAGUUUAUGAAACAGAAAAAUUAUUUUACCGCUACAUGGUACCUUUUCAUCCCCAACUUUUCUUUUGUACGCUAAUUUUUUUUUGAAAAGAAAAGGCCUUUCAAUUUUUGUACAGAAAUUUGUUUCUCCAACAUUAUUAUAAAGGAACGUGCAUCCAUUGAAUUUAACUGAAGAGAAUGAAAAUGUUAACCUUGCUAUGAAUUUCCUUAUAAAAUACCUUGUUGUGAACUUGGUAAAAUGGAAUAAAUACCAAAAGAACCAUAGAAUUGGUGCAAAUAUUAAUUGAGACCGGUCUAACUAUUUCAAGGAUAAAUAAAUACAGCUUAACAAAUAUAUAUAUAUAUAUAUAUAUAUAUAUAUAUCUCUUCAAACCAAAUAAAAAGAGUCCGAUUCUUAUUGAAAUCAAUCCCUUUUUUUUUUAAAUGAAAUCACACAACAUUUUUUAAAGGCUUAACUAUGGAAAUGGUCCCUGCAAAUAUCUGAUGUUUUGGUAUUAGUCCCUAUAAAAAUAUUUUUUGGUUUUAGUCCCUGCAAAUAUAGAAUAUUUGAUUUUGGUCCUUGGUAUUUUGUUUUAAUCCUUGUAAAAUCAUUUCAUAUUGAAACUGGUCUUUAUAAUAUUCAUUUUAGUCCUCGUUUUGAGGGACUAAAAUCAAAUAUUCUACAUAUUACAAGGACCAAAUCCAAUAUGAAUCAAUUUUACAAGGACUAAAACAAAAUAUCAAGGACCAAAACCAAAUUUUUUAUAUUUGCAGGGACUAAAACCAAAAAAAUAUUUUUACAGGGAUUAAAACCAAAAUGUCAUAUAUUUGCAGGGACUAUUUUCAUAUUUAAGCCUUUUUUGAAAUAUUACAAUGUUCAUACUAUUUUUUAUACACUUGCUUCAAAAAUACUCUAAAAAAUUAACAAUAAAAAAAAAAAUUAACAAAAUGUUAAAGUUCAAUAACAUUACCAACAAACAUCUAAUCUACUUGUCUCUACUGCUGCAACGCCAAUUAUAAAGUAUCCCAGUGGUUAAAACCUUAUUUUAGAUUAAAGACAAAAGCAGAACAACUAAAAAAUGGUUACUUUGUAGAGCUUAAUAUAUAGGACCACCAUAAGUAAAAAAAAUAAUUCACACUACACUAUAAAAGUAAAAAGUAACAAAUAAAAUAGGAAAAGAAAUCGAUAAUCUAAUGAGAAGAAGAUAAAGGUACAAACCUUGUGCGACGGAGACACCGUCAGAUUUAGAAAUAAAUUCAAACUUGAGAACAACAAUGAUGGAUUUUAGAGAUAAUUUGUCAACAACAAUAAGGAACAAAAAAUGAAAAAGAGAGAUAGAUAGAGAUGGGAGCAAUGUAGAAGAUUAAAUCAGUCCUUCCUUUCUAUUAAUGCCUUGAUUAAAUCUUGAAGUAGUUAUGACUAUGGAGUACUCCUUGGUAACACGUGAGUUUAAUGCACCCUCACCUAGAUAAAUGAAUAGUUCACUUAAUUGAAAUUAUGGUUGAAAUUGUAAUUUGGAAAUCCGUUGGCAUUAAUAGUUUAUGUAAACAAUGAGUUUAACACGUGUGUUUUCUGCUUUGGAAACAAUUAUGGUAUUGGCUUUGGAAACAUAUAAACUUGUGGGAGGAAAAUUUGAAUUACAAAGUGGAAUGCUGAUUAGGAUUACCACUUAGAAUGAUUAAUGCUAACACAAUGGAUGGAAAAAUUAGGUUAAGAUUAGGGUAAACAAUAGCUUGACCAGACAUGCUUUAGUAAGUAAGAUAAGGGCGGCUUGGAAGGCUCAAGGUACCAAAGAAAAAAUGCCUCGUGUGUAUAAUAACCUAAUCGAUCGUCCGUAAAGAACGACCGUAAAUUCAAGCAAAAAUAGCAUUCAUAUGGAACACUCAUAAUGUAUAUUAGAAGUAUUUAAGUAUAUAACAACCUAUAAUGGAUAUGGAAAUAUUUGGCUUUGAAUCUCACCAGUUAUGCUAUUCAGAAAAGAGAUGGUGAUCCUAUAAGUACAUUUACUAGCAAGCCCUAGAAAGUUACCUCAUUCGGUGGAAGAAGGAAUUUCUGCUCUUCAAUGUAAGUAUAAAUCAACCCUUACCUUAAAUGUUUUGAAAUGAAUACCUAAAACUAAAACAAAUUUAAGUAUAAAAGGAAAGGUUGUAAAUGUCAUGCAAAAGAAACAAAAUUUUAUUAGAUAAUACUUGAAAGAUAGGCAACAGAAAAAAAAAAAAUUGAUUAGUCAGAUCAUCUCAGCUUAGCAAAAAGAAAAUGCAGAAAAUAAAAAUAAUGGGUUGCCUCCCAUUCAGUGUUUGUUUAACGUCUGAGUCCCGACGAUUAAUAGGUGGCCUCCUAUUCAUCACUUCUUUUUAGUCAUUAGCUUGACGAAAUAGGUUGCCUCCUACUCGGUGCGUGUUUAGCGUCCCGAGCCUUACAGAUAGGUCUAACUUGUGCUUGGGAGCCCAUGUCCUUCAAGCUCCUUAAUUUCAUCAUCCUCCUCAACCUUCAGAUUAGGUUUUAAUUUCGGCACUCCGUUUUGCUUAAGGUGACGGUCUUGUCCAUAAACUUUGUAGGUGAUGUAGUCUUUUCCUAAUCGAAUGAUAAUUUCCCCUUGAUCCACAUUUAUAAUAUCUCGAGCAGUGACGAGAAAAGGUCUCUCUAAGAUCAUUUGAGCUAUAUUUAAUCCCUUUAUUUUCAUAACUACUACCUCAAUAGGGAAAGUGAAUCCAUCAAUGUUGAUAUUCAUAGUCUCUAUCACACCUUCAACUUUUUUUAGAGAACCAUCACCAAGUCAUAUUCUUACUUCGCAAGGUUUUAACUCCAUUCCUCCAAUCUUAUUGAAAAGUGAUAGUGACAUCAUGUUUACGCUGGAUACGAGGUCACACAUUACUUCACUGACAUAGAAUCCUCUAACCAUUACCGGUACACUGAAACAGUCAGGGUCUUCAUUUUUCUUGGGGGAGGUGUCCUCAUACUUCUUGCUAAAUUUUUGGGUAACAACUACCGUCUUAUCACAAAGUGGUUUAUCCGCUGGUGAGAAUAAAUAUUCUAGAAGGUUGUUGCAACAUUGGUUUCUGGUUACUUUCCUGGUUUGUAAGACAUCCCUGGGAGUUUUUAAUUCCUUCACAAGUAGCUCGAAUUCUUCUAAAAACUUGACGUCGUUCAUCAUAAGAUCACUCUCUUUCUCUUCAUCCUUUUCCACUUCUACCAUCUUGCAAGUUUCAUUCCUAGGAUUAUCUAGAGUUGUUUCAGAUAACCUUGUUCUUGUAGCAUUUGCAAGGUCAGUAGACAGCUGUCCCAUAUACACUUCCAAGUUCUUCAUACAAACCUCGUGUCGCUUUUUCAUUUCAUCAACCUGCUUAGUUAGUCUGUCAAUCUGCCCUUGGGUAUUCUUCGCAUUUUGAGAUAUCAUCUCUUCUAGACUUGACCUUGGUGGUUGUUGUUGAGUCCCUUGAGGGAGGGGGUGGGGGGCGGUUUGUCUGUUGUGGUUGUAGAACAUUGUUGCUUCGGUAAGAGAUUUGGACGUUCUGCCUAACUUGGAUUGUAAGUGUUGGAGUAUGGAUUCCUCUACUGCCUAGAAUAAUUUCCCAUAUACUUCACUUGACCUUCUGAAAACCCCAAACUUGCUGGUAAACAUGCACCACUUUCAUAAGCUUGCUCAUAGAUGUCACAGUUGGUUUUUGCAUAUAGGUGUGCAACUUUGUGAGCUUCCGACCCUUUUGCUAAUGUUUCUAGUUAUAUGCUGAGAAGUUUAUUGUUAGCAAGUAAAGCAUCGUGAGUGUUUAGAUCUAUUAUACCUUUUUCCUUGGGGUCACCUCUUCCUCGGUGUUUCCUCGAUAUUUAUUCAAAGAUAUGUUGUGAAUAAGCUCGUGUACUUCAUCAGUUGUCUUGAUUUUCAUGGUUCCUCUUGCAGAAGCAUCUAGUAGCAUCCAAGUAUCUGGUUUUAGUCCCGUAGUGAAAGCUUGCAUGAUAUCCAUUUCUGACAACUUGUGACCAGGAUACCUCUUGAACAAUAGUUUGAAUCUCUCUCAUGCAUCAUAAAGGACUUAUCCUUCUUGUUGCUUGAAGCCGAUCUCCUUCUUCCACGCCAAGUAUUUUGCAGUUGAGAAAUAUAUGUCCAAGAACUUCCUCUUUAGAUGAUCCCAAAUCUCAAUCGUGCCGCUUGGUAAUGCAUCAAGUCAAUCCCUUGCCUUUUCGAUUAGAGAAUAAUCAAACAACCUGAGUCAUUUGUCUGAUUCUGACACCCCGACUUCGUUGAUUGUGCUGCAGGCAUCCAGAAAGUGCGUUAAUUGAACGUUGCAAUCUUCCUUCUCCUUACCUGAAAAUUGGUUAGAUUUCAAAUUCAUCAUAACACUGUUCUUGAUGUCAAACACCACCGGGUUUGCUGGUUGGAAACCAAGUGAACCUUCAUCCAAGUUGUCAAGUCUCCCAUAGUCUCAUAGGGUAAUGCGGUGUUAUUCUCCCAUUUCGGACUCGUCUGAUGAAUAGUCUUGAAUUAGGAUUAUAUUAUGUUGUUAUGUCCUUUCUCUUGCAAGUCGGGCUACUUUCUAAAGUGCCUGUUCAAUUUUGUCUAUUUUUGAAUCAAAUUGCAGAACACAUGUUUUGGUAUUACUCAUAAAACAAUUUGAAUAAUAUUUUUGGUAUUUUGAUUUUUUUUGGUAUUUUUUUGAAUUUUUGAAAACAGAAAAAUAAAAUGCAUAAAAAUAAAUGAUAGAAAAAUAAAUGACAGAAAAAUAGAGAUAGAAAAAAUAAAUAAUUUAAAUUGCUUAGUCGAAAAUAUCAACAAUCCCCGGCAACUUGAUGGUCGGAUAUGGCAAGUGUACUAAAUCGUUACCAAGUAAUAAAGUGAUAAGUAGAGCGUUGUAUCCACGUGGAUUGUCGUUUCGUCCAAACAAUUCAUGUUAUUUAUUUUUGUAAGUUUGACGAUAUAAAAGAUAAAGGGUUAGAAAGCUUGCAAUUUUUAUUUGUUUGCAACAUAGCAAGUUUACCUGUUUUGGUUGCAGAAAAGUAAGCAGAGGUUAGGAUUCUUCGAAUCCCCUAUGCUUAUAUUGUUGGAUGCUCCCUCCGUCCCGGAUUAACUAAGUCCGAAACUCAUUUCACACGUAUUAAGAAAAAUGUAUAAAUAAAGGAGAGAGAAAAAUAGUUUUAAGUGCACUUGUUAAGUAUUGAUGCAUUCUCCACUAUCAUAAUUGUAAAGUGAAAUAUAUUGAAUUGGGAAUGAUCAAAACAGUAUUAAUUAGAGUUAUAAAGGGAAAAAAGUAAUUAAUAUUGUAUUGAAAAAUGAAAUGGCUCAAUUAUUUUGUGCAAAUGGUUCAGUUAUUAUGGAACAGAUGGAGUAUUAAAUAAAAUUCAUGUCGCGUUUAUUUAUCUUUCUUACUAAAGCUUGUCUGGUCAAGCUAUUAGUAACCCUAAUUCUUAACCUAAUUUUUCCCUCCACUAAUCACACAUUUAAUUCUCUUAAGUGGUUUUCCUUAUCAGCAUUUCACUCAACAAUUCAAGUUUUCAUCCCACACGUUUCUAAUUCUGUCGAUCCAUUGUUUCUACUACUGUAUUUAAUGCAUUCAAUCAUCUAUGUUGUUUUCUCCAAAAUCAUGCGCCAUUUUCAAAUCUAACAGCCCUUUUGUUUUCCCAACAUGCCAAUUAUGCUCCCUAUGCAUCUUAAAACUCCACCGGCCCCUUUUCCACUAAUGCUGGCAUAUUUCCCAUGCAUAUGCACAUGUUACAACACCAACCCUCUUGCCCAUAUAUAUACAUGAAACGCAUAAAAGGCACCUCAUUGCAUUCCUGUUUAAUUUUAGUGUUUUCUGUCAUGGCUAACUCUCUCUAUUAGAAUAUAUAUGAAGAAAUUUGUAGUAUUUUUUAUGCUUUUUGAUCCUGGUGGUUAUGCUAUGUUGAAUAUAUGGACUGAAUCCAAUGUGACUCGAAAGGAUAUAAUUUUGGAUGGAGCAAAUAAGGAUGGUUUAAGUUAUGUGGUGCAAUCACGGAGGGACUGUUCAACCAACCAAACUAUGUGUAGUUACACUAAUAUUUUGAGUUUUUUUAUAUCUGCUUUUUGUAACACCCCGUUACCCAAAAGCAAUUAAAUAGCAUAUAAACAUCAGAGUAUUUCACCAAACGGGCAUGCUACAUUGCAAAUUCAAAAUUUCUUAAAUAGAAAAUAAAACUAUUUAAUCAAAUCAACUUAUAUAUAUGAAAACAUAGCAGCGGAAUAGUUUUCAAAAUCCAUAAUCUCCUGAACAACCAACAAUAGUCUAAGGCAUUAAAGGCCUUACAUAAUUCAACAUCAUAAUUCAAAAACAACAAAAGGCUCCACACCACAAGUUCCAAAAUUUGAUACAUGGAAAGGAAAAGCAACAAUAACAAUAAAGAUAAAUCCCAUCCCACGUAUCAGAGCCCUAGACACGACUUUGANNNNNNNNNNNNNNNNNNNNNNNNNNNNNNNNNNNNNNNNNNNNNNNNNNNNNNNNNNNNNNNNNNNNNNNNNNNNNNNNNNNNNNNNNNNNNNNNNNNNAAUAAAUAUUAAAUAACUCCCCUAACUCCAAAAUAACUAAUAUUUCAUACUUAUUUUAAUUAUUAUUAAAUAAACCAUAUAUUAAAAUAAUACAUCACAUAGAACAUCCAAAAAUCACAUAUAUAUAAAUACAUGCAUAAAAUCCACAUAAAUCACCAACAUCAUAUAUAAUAAUAUAUAUAUUUACUCCACAUAAUAAAAUAAUUAAAUAAAUAACUAGGGCGUUACACUUUUUGUUCAUGUCCUUAAUUUGGUUUUUGUUUCAAAAAAAUUUCUGUGAUAUUUUCCAAGUAAAUAAAUAUCAAAUUUAGUUCAUUUUAAUUUUUGAAUGUGUUUUGCUUUCAAUCAUUUCAAUGUGUUUUUCUAUCAUGUACAAUUUUCUUGCUCCAUUUAUGCCUUAAAAGAAACUGAUCUUACUACCCUACAACUUCAUCAAUCAUCAUGCUAUAUUAUGGAAAACUCUUUCUUCCCUGCAAUCAGUCUCUAUCAGUAAUUGCAGAUUUAUCAUCAACAAAAAAGACUGGAGCAUCUACAAGUUUGUUUGAGAUUUAUUGAGAUUGAAGUCAUAUCUUUCUAUGGUUGAGAGAAGAGUUUCCUGGUAGUACAAUACUCCAGCAACAACAUAGCAAUGCUUUGGUCGGCAAGUGCUUUUGUUCUAAAUACAAGUUUUUAAUUCAUGUUUUGGCUGGCUGUUUGUAUGUGUGACAUGCUGGAUUAUAAGUAAGAAAAAUAGUUUUUCUUGGAAUUUUAGUAUGAUGAUAAUUAACUAUAAAUCUAUUUGUUUUGCUUUUCAGUUUAGUUAAUAGAGUUAUAAUAUUUGACAUGUUCAUUCAAACAUCAUCACUAGCGUGAUAGUGGCAAUUAAUACAUUUUCGCUUUUUUGAAUUGAAACCUAAACUAAAAACACCUCUACAUACAACAUUUACCUUUCAUUUUUGUUUACUAUUAAUUGGUCUCAAUAAAAUGUCAUGGUUGAUCUCCAAAAAUAUGUGCAGAGUCAUAUGGAUCAAUAUGUUACUUGGUACCUUUAAUUUUUGUUUAUUUUUAAGUGUACUACAAUGCAUAAACUUUUGACAGUUGUUAAAUGUAGUUUUUAAUUGAAGAAUAUCAAGGUCCCACUACUCAUACAUAUAUAGCAUAAGAAAUGGUAGAAGUGAAAAGAUAGUACAUAAAUGAACUCAUAUAUACAAACAUGGUUUAUUUAUUUAAGAAUCGUAUAUAAUUUGUUUGAAAAAAAAAAAUAAUCAUAUACAAUCAUCAUCUUAAUAGACUAUAGCUUAUCUCUUUAUAAAAGAUUCAAGUUAACAAAAACAUGUAACUUUCACAAACACCUUAUGUGUAUAUCACAAGUUUGUUCAUAAAAAAAAGUAUACCACAAGUUUAAGGCCCCUACAUGGUGCAACAUGUUGACUGUGGCACCUCCACAUAUAUCAUUUUAUUUACUAUAAGCAACUCGAAGAAUUCUACACAAUAAAAUUGCUUUGAUGUUUUCUCACCAUUACUAAUGCACCUUCAAGUUGUUGGUGUGGAACUGGUGUACUUAUUAUUAUGUGGUUUAAAAUAAUUUGAAAGAUUAUAUAACUCACCUGUUCAUCUCACGAGCGAGUUAUUUAACAUCAAUAGAAAUAUAUAAUAUAACUUAUUGAUCUUUAUUUAAGUCGAUAAGACCCGUGCGGAGCACGGGUCGAAAGUCUAGUCUUAGUUAGACUAUACAAGUGAUGAGGUCGUUGGGACGUUUCUAACCUAGUUGGUCAUCAAGUUGCACCUGCUGAUCGCACGGUGAUCCUUACGUGUGGGGUCUUACUCUCUCAGUUGAUUAUAGGUUUAUCUCUCCGGGGGCUAACUGCACAUGCUGAUCGCACAGUGAUCCUUACGUACGGGAUCUUAUUAAUUCAAAGGUAAUUGAAAUAUAGAUUUAAAUUGGCGUUGCAAUUUUUCCCAAGGCAAUGAAGUCCAAGGUAUCAUUAGUCUAGUCCAUCUAUGAAUCUUAGGACACUCAUAAUCAACCCUCUCUCACACUUAGUAGUUCUACAAACGGGUAACUCUAUCUCGUCUACCUUACCAAGGGUUUAAGAGGAUGGUUUUAUCUAGGUAUAUUUCACGGAGUUGCUUGUUUCCUUAAUUACUAAGUAGUUACAUCAUAGGUUCAGCAAAGUUACUGCUCAAUCUUAGUAAUGUCACCUCCUAAGCAUUUACUACUAGGAUCAACUCGCUUUCGGUAUCUUUUGCUAGUUACUAACAAAUUACUUCCUAGACAGAUAGUUACCAGUAUAAUGUUAAAAAUAUCAAGAUAUAAGCAACAAGAUAGUAAUAACAAUAUUAGACCCUGUCACAACUUAAGUACCUAAUCUAGGGUUAGUCUCCUUUGAAACAAAUAACUAAAUAAAACUUAAUAGCAAACAAAAAAUAAAUAAAAUAUAAACGACGUUAAAUUAAAUAAAUAUCCAACAAAAAUAAACAGAGGUUCAUCUUAGAACUCUAACCUAAAAAAGAAUUAGUUACACAUGGUAACUAAAAACAAAUUGCUAAAGAUAAAAACAUACCCUAGAUAAUCAAGGAGAAGAUAGAAACUCUUCUUAAGCUCCAAAGUUGCCUUCCUCUUGAAAUGCCACAAUUAUGAACGAGAAAUUAUGAAUGAGGAAGACUGGUAUUUAUAGUGAGAGUUUCUAACUGGGUUUGGGCUAAAAACGCGGGCUAAACCCACAAAAAUGCAUAAAAUUACACAUGCGCCCCUGACAUUUUCAAAUGCCCAAGGCGCAUGGUAUUGCUUCCUUUGUCUAGUUUCUCUGAUUUUCGUCGUUUUUAGGUCUUCGUCUUCAAAUAACUUGUCUUGGAACUUGGGAACAAAAUUCCUCCAACUGUAAAGUCUUCUGAGGCCUCUUGAAUAUUCAUUCUUGGUCUUCCCAAAGUCUUGACAAUUCUUCAGAUGUUUUUGAUUUGCCGAUUUGCAUGAUUUCUUCGUGAAUUACUUCAAAACCCCUCUAAAAUUGCUAUGUUUCAGAAAAACUAUAAUUAUAGACUCAAAUAUAGAAAACAUUACAAAAGUCCCGAAAUCAUAGGCAAUUGUUCUAAUAUUCCUCAUUUUUGCAGCUAAAACAUACUGAAAAUGACUGAAAAAACAUGCUAAACAUAACGUAAGAUUACCUGUCAUCGGUACCACAAUGUCCAAUUUUUUAUCUCUUCACUCUUAUAUUCAUGAGAAACUUCACUAUUUUUUUAUCUAGCUAAGAUGUCAACGUACCAUCAAUUACGAGUUAGAAAUAGAAAGGUCACUAGGCCAUUCCUCAAGUAACGAGACUAAGUUUUGUUUUUGAUUUGUGCUUAUUCCCUUAUUCACCUAAUAUUACCUACUAAUGAUGUAAGUUUUUUCCAGAAAAAAGCUACACAUAGACUUGUUGUUGAUCAUAUUUUCAUCCCGUCUUAUUAAAUUGAGCCAAGUGUCUUAAUCAUUGGAGUGUCUUUAUUUAUGCAUCCCAAUUUAGAUAAGCAUCAACUUGUUGUAAGUGGGAUAUGCAUCUCACUUUGCUUAAGCUUCAAUAUUUAUUUUCAAUAUGAAUAUGAAUAUGAAAGUGAGACUUUGUUUUAAUAAUGGCUUAAUGAUUAGUUUUUAAUUCAGCGAUUAAACCAAACCAUGACUAAACAUCAAGUUACAGAACUGAGUCAAUUUAAGGUUUGUCUUUGUUAGCACCAAAAUCAUAAAAACUCUUAUAUUUUUUUGGUGACUAGGGUUUGAACCCCGAAUAUAUUAUGCAUUGUCCUUACUAGCUGAGCUAAGCUCACGGGAACAUAAAAAUACUUAUAUUAAUAUUACAUGUUUAAAAAAAAGAGAUUACUUUAAACUUAAAAAAAAAUUGUUAACGAGCGCCUCCAAACACUUUUAAGUAUUUUAAAAUAAGUAGUUAUUUUCUAAAAAGUUAAUAUUUCAAUUUUUAAUACAUCAAAUACACAUGUUUUCAUAAAUAUUUACCAUUUAUUAUGGUCUUCAAGAUUAAAGAAUGUCUCCAAGACAUUCAUUAACAUUUAAAACAAAAAGAGUUUAAUUAAUAUAUAUCAUCAGCAUAAAAAGUUUUACAUAUUUAAUGAAGUAUGACAAUGACAACAUGUGUAAAACUUCUCUAUAAAUUAAACUCCUCUUAAAAUAAAAUAAAAACAACAAGAAGAAAAUAAAGGGAAAAAGUAAGAUUUUUUUUAAGGACAUAUGAAAAAUGUUAGUUAGUAAGUAGUUUUUAUGCUUUUUUAAGGAAGUAAGUAAUUUUUAUGUUAGUUUUAUGUCGGUGUUUAUUCUCUUAGCUCAAUAUAAUAUAAUAUAUUGGAAGAAAGUGUAAAAAUUGUCGAAUACACCAUUGAAAUCCUCUUAGGACAGUAUAAAACUAUUUCACAUUACUAGUGCAUCCAACUGAACUUUCAUAUAGUUGAAUUUUUUUUCACCUGUAAAAUAGUUCAAAAAUAUAUUUUUUUAUUUGUUUUACAAAAUCUCAAAUAGUAAGUAUAGGUUAACUUUUUGCCACAUUAGACUACUUAAAUGACUUAAGUAGAAAUUUGAUGGAUGAGAUUAAAGUGAUGUAAUAUUUUAAAACGUGUAAGGUUAAAAUGAAAUUUAAAAUAAUAUAAGGGACGAAAACUUAAUUGAGCCUAAACUUUAGAAUAGACACGUCAUAAUUUUUACGUGUCUUGAAUAUCAUCAUGGUGAAACCAAACUUUUUUUAUAAAUAACAUUUAAGAUGCCAAAAGCUUCACUCUUGAAAAUGAAGUUGAGAAAGUCCAAAUAAUUAAUACCUAACUUUGAAUAGUACAUUUAUAUACAUAAUACAAGUUCUCAAACUUAAGUGUUAUACAUAUUUAUCAUGUCAAUACUUGGAUGCUAUAUAAAUUAAUUUUUUGCCACAUUAUAUUACUUUAAUGACUUAAGUGGGAAACUUAAUGGAUGAGACGAGAGUGAUGUAAUAGUUUAAAACGUGCAAGACCAAAAUGAAAUCUAAAAUAAGUAUAAAUGACAGAAACCUAACUGAGCCUAAACUUUUGAAUAUGCACGUCAUAUGUUAGACGUGUCUUGAAUAUCAUCAUGGUGAAACCAAACUUGAUUGUUUUUACAUAUAACAUUUAAAACGCCAAAAGCUUCACUCGUGGACAUGAAGUUGAGAAAGUCCAAAUAAUUAAUACCUAACUUUGAAUAAAAGAUGAUCAAUCUCACAACAAAAACUAAUACGAAUAUCUAUCACAAUUUUGCACACAAGAAGACAUCAAUAUUGAUAACGCUUAUAAACAACUUCAAGAAAAAUACAAAAAAAUUGUGGUCGAUUUAGUAGACAAUUAAUCACAAUUGAAUUAUAAGGAGGUGGAGCAUUCAUAAAGAUCAACAUCAGAUGCACUACGACUUUAUUGCAAACUCAAGUUCUAAAUUCUAGUAUAAGGUGCUCUGACACUUGAUCUCUUGUAAGCAUGAAUUGCAUAUUCGUGUCUCCUUACGAUUACAAAUAAAGGCGCAAUUAACAUUAACUAAUAUGAUUUUCUCUAGACACUUUCACAAAUUCUUUGAAAUCUACUAGGAGAAGAUGCAAUUUGAGGAGAGAAAGAGAAAAAAAAGACAACGAAUGAAACAAAUUUUGAUUUACCUUUUUUGUGAAAGAGUAUACUUUGAAUUUAUUUAUUUUGCAAAGAUUGCAUUUUUUGUUUCUAGAAUGUAGAGACAAAAAUUUAAUUAUAUUAUUCUAUAAUCUAUACCCAAAAAAAAACUUUAAUUUAAUUUGUCCCUUUUAUGACACACCAUGUUUUUUCCAUGCGAAAAUGACUCUUUCACAUUAUUAUCAUUUUUUUCUUUCUAAACAAAACAAGAAAGAACAAAUUCUGUAAUAAUUCAACCUAUAUCUCUACUUUCUAGGGUUCUUCUCUCUCUCUCUUUCUCUCUCCUCUGAUCCAAAUCCAACCCAUGUGCUAAAUUCCUAUCACAGAUCUUCCCCUUUCCUUCCUUUUAACGUUUCUUCCAUAACACUCUUCAAAGUUUCAAUCUUUUUCUCACAUUGAUUCUCUUUUUUUCUUCGAAUCUUUGAUUAAGAUUCUUCAGCGUUUUCAUCUCAAGGGUAUUUUUUUUUUUCAAUCACUCCUUCGUUUUUAUGGUGGAUAUGGAUGGUUUUGGAGGUGGGGGUGAUCUUGGUGGACCUCCUGGUUCUGGAGAUCUUAGGCAAUUGGGUCAUGUUCCUGUUUCAGGUUUGUGAUGCAAUUCCUUUUUUUUUUGUUUAAUUUGUAUUUGUUUUUGUGUUGUUUAAUUCAUCUGGGUCAUGUAGAUCUGGUUUGUUUGAGAAAGUUAUUUAAUUUGAGUUUUUUUGGUAUAAUUGGUGCAUGAUUUGGUGUUUGAUUGUUAGUUUUGUAGUUCAAGUUGUUUAUUUGUUUGUUAUGUUAAGUUAUUGUAUGAUUUGUAGAGUAGCUGAAUCAAAAAGCUUAUUUCUUUGUGAAUUAUUGUUGUGAUGUUUUGGUUUAUGCUAUUGUUUGUUGCUUAAGUUAUUGUAAGACCCUGUUUGUAUAAACAAGCACUUACUAUAUAAGUGCUCAUGUAUAAGCUAUUUAUAUAACAAAAGAUAAAAUCAAAUCAAAUUAUUUUCAUUUAAGUUAUAAAUUGUUUUCAUAAGCUAUCCUAGAGAGCUGAUAGAAAUAAGUUGAAAACAGCUAUGAACAUGCCAUAAGUUGUUUUCAUAAGCUCUUCCAAACAGACUUAUAAAUGUUUAUGGCACUAGAUAAGCUCUAAUAAGCCAAUCCAAAGAGGCCCUUAUUAUGACUGAUUAAUGACUUUUUGCUUCUCUGUGUGUGUUGGAGGGGUAGGGGGAGGGGUGAACAUCGUGUGGUGAACGUGCUUACUCUUAUGUAUAAUUCAGGACAGUUUAAUUUGCCACAAGGCCAAUCCAGACAGUGUUUAGGUUAUAGUUAAUAGCAUUUUCUCACUAUACCAACGCUUUGUUAUAAAUUAUUACUCGCAGCAAUAUCUUCUAAAUUUCUUGAGUAAACGACGUGUUGUUUGUACUUCCAAUGGUCUCUUAUCGAUUUCAAAAGAAAAGUUAUUAUCCAUUCCAUAGGCGUUACAUGUUGAAACGGAUAAAAUUAUUAUUAGUGCUAUGUGGUGUGCUUAUCUAGUUUUUUUUUUGUGGGAAUUAUGGUCACAUGGGAACUCUUUGCUAAUUGCAAGCGCAACACUGCUACCUGUACUUUUCAUUUUAAGUAAUUAUAAGAAUUUGGUAAAAUGUAUUUGAUGAUGUUUUUGUUAUGCAGGAGGUGCUGUUUUUGAUGCAUCACAAUAUGCAUUCUUCGGUAAAGAUGCUGUCCAGGAAGUCGAGUUGGGAGGGUUAGAAGAGGACGCCCGUUUGCCAACUUUUGAAUCUAAUGAGGAGGAGUUCUUUUUUAAUAGAGAACAGGUUCAUUUUCAGUCUUAUGUCUGUUUUUUAUCUCUCAAAAUUCACGUGGCUAGAAUGUUUUUGAGCAACAUCUCCCCUCUUUUCCUUUCUCAUGUGAUUCACAUAUAUGGCACUUGAGUUUUGUAUCAACUAACAUUCACUCUCACUUUGCAGGAUGAGGAUGUGAGAUCUCUUUCUGAUAUUGACGAUCUUACAACCACCUUUUGGAAGGUAAGGAUGUUGUACUAUGAUUAUCACACUUUUCUGUAUUCUGGAGGUUUUUAUUAGAUAAGUGACUAAGUGUUGUGAUCAUGUGAUGAUGAUAGUUUCUUAAUUUACAUGCUUGAUGCAAAAAUGCAAAAAUUAUAAAUUUUAUAAAAACGCGUGUUUCUACUUCCUAUAUGAUUGAUUUAAUGUUUCAAAUAUGAGUUGAGUCAUGAAUUGGAGAAAGAUUAAAAAGUGAAUACUCAACAGAAAUUAGUUAUUCCUGCACCGUUUUCCAUGAUUUAAUGUUUCUCAAUUUCCAUGAGGAAGAACUGAAACAAGUCAUGGGUUUGGUCCAGAUUUGUCAACUAUGAGAGAGAAUCAUGUACCUAAACCUGACAUGUGAAAAAUGUUGUUUCUAGGUUAUUUUCUUCUUGCCACAAGAUUAGGCACAUUUUGUAUCUUGUGCUCAUCCACAGACAUAUCCUAUCAUAUUAAGUGUUCUCGAGAUUAGCUGCUUUUGUCAAGUCCAUAUUCAAACUAGACAAUAGUAUGGUAGCAGACAUGGACAGGAUUAUAGAAUCUAAGACCAUUUUCAGGCAUUGUUGAUUUUUGAUAUUCCAUGCCGAGUGCAAGCAAUAAAGGGAUAUGGAAUGGGGUUACCAAGUGACGUAUCAUUCUAGAAAACAAUAUACUGAUCUAGGAAAAAAAAUCUUUCAAAUUCACAAUUGAACAAUUAAAAAUUUGGGAAUAAUAUUACUAUUUAGUUGCUUGGUAGUUGAUAGCGGCGUUGCACGUGGUAAUCACGCCGGUGCAGCGCGAGUAGUUGUUGGUCGCCACAGCGAAACUUAGGGCAUUCGGCAUUAAGGGUGCCGGCGCCACAGUGACAGAACACGGUGGUGCGAGUCGUGUCCGCCGCGACACAUAGAUCUUCCAUUGUAAUCCUGUGAUUUUUGCAGCUGCGGCAGCCCGGAGUUUGUUACAGGGUUUAUGUUGUCUUUUAGGUCUAGCUACUAGGUUAACGGAGAAGAUAAAAUUUGGGCCCUUAAGGCCCAAUCUACAUAAAUAUCAAAUAAAAGGCAUCAUAAAAAAACAAUGGCCUUUGAAUACCUUGGGCAUUUAGAAAAGGCAAUAGUAGUUACUAGUUAGUAAUGCUAAACAAAUAAUAAAAUAACAAAGUAACAUAAUUAAGUAAAAAAAGUAUUACUCCCUCCGGUCAUUAUUAUAAGCAAAGAUUCAUUUUAAGGUUCAUUGAAUAACUGAUGUGUUUGGUCUAUAUUAUAAACUACAUCAGUUACUCAAUGAACCUUAAAAGUGAUUUUUUGCUUAAAAUAGUGACCGGAGGAAGUAGUAUCUAGUAAUAAUAGACCAACAAUUGAAUAAUAAUAAAAGUAAUAUAAUCUAAUGGAAAAUGAUUACUUGUACAUAUUUAGUAUUAGUAUUAAUAUUAGUACAAUCACAACAACCAAGCCUUGUGUCGCUAAGUGUGGUCGGCUAUAUUUAGCAUUAGUAUAAAAAUAUUAAACUACAUAUAGUAUAAAAUUUUUAGAUUAUCCUUAGGCAUUGUUUCCUUAGGCACUCUUGCUGCUACAAAUUAGUCUCUUGUAUUAAGCUUUCCCGUUAUAAGGUCGCUCAUGUGCACUGUGAAACCAAUGAAGUUGCUGAUUCUUUUACUAAAUUUGGUCUUGCUCAUAAAUUCGAUGUUGUUCCUAAUUUUUCCUCUUUUGCCUUGUUGGCAGAUUGAAAUUCUGUCUGUCUUUCCUAGAUGCUUUUAGAGUCAUUUGUGUUUCUGUUUGGGGUUUGACCCUGUCUUUUUCAUUAAAAAAGGAUAUAAAUUAUUUGUUUUAGUUUAAAUUGUUCUAGAUAUAUGUAUAUAGUAUAAACUAUUUAGAUGGAAAUGUAAAUUAUGUAUAUAGUGUUAAUUAUUUAGAUGCAAAUGUAAAUAUUCAAAUGCGACCACCGCUCUGCAUGUUAUCCCAGUUUCGGAGUCAACCGCUCUGCGUGAUCUGGGAUCGACAACUAUAUUUGGGUGGUGGUUUGGCCUCGGGGAACUAACAAUAGUAUGAUUUAUAUUCUUGUCUUACAUUGGUCAGGCAACGUGAUUGUUCCUGUUUUAUUUAUAAAGUGGUUGGCAUUUAUCCUUGGGAAUUGCCUGGCCUGACCCAACCAAUAAUUUUUAUGAAGUUUUGUGGCAUUUCAUGAACCAACUGCCCCAAAAGCUUAAGCUAUUUGUUGAAUGCAUGAUGCAUGAGUAUUUUAAUGUUAUAUCAUGCUACUUGAUGCUUGACUUGGGCAGCCCAAAAAAAAAAACCAAGUCCUUAUCAUAUCACCACCCUUCAAAGCCGACAUCUUGGCAGCUGCACUCUAUAAUGCUUCACUCGGCCUCUUUCAGCCAGCCUCUCCAAGUACUUUGGGAACCCAUGAGUCCUCUCAAGGCGGUGGUGAUACAUAGGAACCCGAUAAUACCUCUUAUAGCAUCUCCAUUAGGGGUAUCUAAGUGUGUUUCAUAGAAGGAUGAACCCGUUCCUUAUUUUUUAUCCCCAUUGGAGGAGGAACCUGAUGUGGGAAAUUUGGUAGCAUAGAAAUUGUUGAAAUACCUUAAAUAAGAUAUGGCACCGCAGAAUAAAAAACUGAUUUAUUUUCUCAACAGCCUGCAACCAACCAUAAAAAGAAGGGGGGCGAAGACUGAAACAUACCAGAAAACACAAUUACACACAUCUGAACCCAAAUCAAGAAGAUAAAGAAAUCACAAAAAAAAAUAAAAAAUACAAACCACAUCAAAUAAAAAAUACAAAUGGCUGAAAAAAAGAGAGAUGGAAGCGAAAUUGAGUGUGGGGUGAUUGGUUUGUGGAGGCGAGAAACAAAGUGUUAUUUUUUACAGUGAAAAACACAGUUUGUGUUUGUGUGUUUGAGAGAAAGAAGGAUUGGUCUCUCUAUGUGUGUACACGAUAAAAUUAUUAUAUUAAUAUUUUAAUUUGAGGCAGCAUUGAUUAUAAAUAAAAAAAGUGUGGCUUGCUUAAGUGUUGCGUAAUUUUUUUAUCUUUGGAGCAAAAUGUGUAUGAGUUUCACAACCUAUUUUCUCAGCGACGAAUGCUAGUUUUUCCUUUUUGCUUUUGCCUUUCCUGGGAAUUUAAUUCCUAUGGUUGCUAAUGCUAAUUUCAAUUAACUUUGGCAAUUAGCUAUCCAUAAAAGAAAAACAAAAGGAAAGUGAAAGAGUUAGUGAAUGAAAGAUUAAUCUGAUUAGCUUGCUUUCUUUGGCAUUUCAAACAUAUUUGAAUAUUAUUGGCAUCAAUUAACUGGUUCUGUCUCGCAACCAAAGUUAGUUGUUUGAUCUUUUCUUGACAUGUGCGCUACCUAUAUGUGCAAUUUUGGAAUUCAGUUUUUGACUGCUAUGAUUUUGAUGAUACUCGUCUCUUUGUCACUGUAAAUAGUCAUUGCUUAACUCAUCCAUAUGAAUACUAAGUUUUUUUUUUUUUUUUUUAAAUUUGAUUUCAGUUGAACAAGGCUGUCAGUGGACCAAGAAACCCAGGUGUUAUUGGUGAACGUGGAUCCAGAGAAAGUGAGUAAAGCAGUUGUAUUUCACUCACCAAUUUUCUUUUUCUUUUAUUAAAAUAAAUUAUGUCAAAUUUUGGCAUUCAUUUUGUUUAUUUAUUUAAUAUUUCGAGUGAACAAGAAAAUUGGUCUUUAAAAUUGUAAUUAAAAUAGUCCAUGAGUUUAGCGAAACGGAAAAUACAUUCAUGAAAUUGUAACACAUAAAUCAAAAUGGUUUCAUGUUUACUUAUUAUUCUUAGAGGCCAUGACAUGACAUGUUAAACGAACAUGGGAUCUUCCCCAUAGAAGUGGAAGCCCACAUGUUUAUUUAGUGUGCCACGAUAUAGCCUGUAGCAGCAGAAGUUAACAGAGGGACCAUUUUGACUUGACGGUUUAAAGGAUGUAUAUACCAAUUUGCAAACUACAAUAACUAUUUUGAUUGAUGCUCGCAAUUUCGAGGGCUAAAUUUCCUAUUUGCUCCUAAGAUUUUAACUGAUAUUUUUCCAUUAUACUCUGAAUCUUUGAUAUUGUCUUUUUUUGUUGAGAGUUUUUUCAACCAUGGUUUUGCUACAAGUUUAUUGAUAACUUUACGGUUUUUAAGUAGAAAACUUUCUCUAUUCAAGAAAAGGAGUGUGAUAAAAGCAAUAAUAACUUAAAUGUGUCGAGUCCAUUCAUUAUUGCCUUGCAUCAGUCAUAAAAUUAAUGAGAGAGGAUUGGCACUAAUUUUAGGGUAUUUGAGAUUAUUCAUCUGAGGGGUUGUCUAUAGUAUAAUGAUUUUUCAGGUCUUGUCUUGACUGUUUAAAAUCUGCAUUAGAAUAUGUUAAGAUGAGGUUAUGCGUCUCUUGUGUUCAAAGGGCCUAUAUAAUGCUGGGCUUUAGCAGCUUUAUUCCCCUUUUCACUGUUGACAAUAUUUUUUUCAUGUUGACUGAUUUAAUUAUAUAUUUUUUUAUUGCAUCCACUAUCCAGACUCUACAUCUGAUCUGGCACAAAGAGACGAUGUUCAUAGCUGGUUUGAUCAGAAUGCUUAUGAUAGUGAAGGUUCAAUUGAUGGAAAAAGAUGGUCAUCACAGCCCCAAUCUUCUCUUGCCCAUUUGCAAAAUUCGAAGUCCUUGUACAGAACAUCUUCAUAUCCUGAGCAGCUAAGGCAAGAGCAAAACUACCACCUCCAACAUUGCUCUAGUGAGCCAGUUCACAACUGGCUUGAUCAGCAUAUUUAUGAUAUUGAAACAGCUCAUGAUGAGAAACGAUGGUCAUCUCAGCCGCAUACCUCGAUUCCACACUUACACGAAUCAACACCCUUGUACAGAACAUCUUCAUAUCCCGACAAACAACAGGAGCUUACUCGUUUUUCUAGUGAGCCAAUAUUGGUACAGAAGUCUUCUUUCACUUCUUAUCCUCCGCCGGGUGGUCGAUCUCAACAGGGUUCUCCAAGUCAUAGUACAGGCCACUUGAACAUUCCAUAUCACACUGGAGCAGCAGCUCAGAUGGCACUAUCAUCUCAAAAUCGACCACAUUUCUCCAAUUCUGCGCUACAGUUGAGUGGAUUAAACCUUGGGUCACACUUUGGUGGAAACACACGACAAUAUUCUACUGGUUCCUCCCCUCUUAGUCAACGAAUACAGAACCAACUGGUCAGCCAAGCAGGGUUAUAUCCAGGAGAUCGGUCCAACCUCCUUAGUAAUAUGCUGCAGCAACAGUUACAGCUUCAUAAUGGAUCAGUUUCUCCUCACUUGAUGACUCAAUUGCAACAGCAGCAGCAUAGACUGCAUCAUCCUGUUCAGCAAUCUGCAGGCUACUUGUCAGGUUUCCAGUCCCAUUUAUUCAAUCCCCACCUUUCUCCUAGCUCAUCCGUCAAUAGCAAGUAUGAUCACAGACAUAAAUCAAGUCAAAAAGGUAAACAUAGUCAUCGUUUAUCACAUCAGGGUUCUGAUGCCAGUAGCCAAAAGAGUGAAAGCAGUUCAUUACAGUUUCGGUCCAAGCAUAUGACAAGUGAUGAAAUUGAGAGUAUUCUUAGAAUGCAGCUUGCUGUCACUCACAGUAAUGAUCCAUACAUAGAUGACUAUUACCACCAAGGUCGUCUUGCAAAAAAACCUUCUGUGGCUAAGUUAAAACAUCCUUUCUGCCCAACCCAAAUAAAGGAACUUCCUUCCCGAACACGUUCCAGUAAUGAUCCUCAUGCAUUUCUUCAGGUUGAUUCCCUAGGGAGGGUUUCAUUUUCGUCUAUUCGUCGGCCUCGCCCUCUUCUUGAGGCUGAUUCUUCAAAUUCUUCCAUCCCUGGUAGCUCUGAUCUAAAGAUUUCAGAGAAGCCUCUAGAACAGGAGCCUACAUUUGCUGCCAGAGUCACAAUUGAGGACGGUCUUUGUCUUCUUCUUGAUGUAGAUGAUAUUGAUCGUUACCUACAGUCUAAUCAGCCACAAGAUGGUGGAACGCAAUUAAGACGAAGAAGGCAGGUCCUAUUGGAAGGACUAGCUACUUCACUUCAACUGGUUGACCCGCUGGGGAAGAAUGGGCACAAGGUUGGGCUUGCAGCUAAGGAUGACCUUGUUUUCAUAAGGAUAGUAUCUGUCCCUAAGGGACGCAAGCUCCUCGCGAAGUAUCUUCAAUUGCUUCUUCCUGGCAGCGACCUUAUGCGGAUAGUUUGCAUGACCGUCCUUCGGCAUUUAAGAUUCUUAUUUGGUGGUCUCCCCUCGGAUCCAGCAGCUGCAGUGACUACAUGCAACCUUGCCGAGGUUGUUUGCCAAUGUAUCCGUGGAAUGGAUCUUGGUGCUCUUAGUGCCUGUCUUGCUGCAGUUGUUUGUUCUGCAGAGCAUCCUCCUCUACGCCCUGUUGGAAGCACUGCUGGAGAUGGUGCUUCCCUUAUUUUGGUAUCUGUUCUUGAGAGGGCUACCGAGCUUCUAACCGAUCCACAAGCAGCCUGCAACUAUAAUAUGGGUAAUCGUUCCUUUUGGCAGGCCUCAUUUGAUGAAUUCUUUGGUCUUAUUACUAAGUAUUGCAUGAAUAAAUACCACAGUAUCAUGCAGUCCCUCCUUUUACAAAAUGCACCAAAUGUGGAUGACAUUGGAUCAGAUGCUGCUAAAGCAAUUAGUAAGGAAAUGCCUGUUGAACUCUUGCGCGCAAGCCUCCCCCACACUGAUGACCGCCAAAGGAAGUUAUUACUGGAUUUCGCUCAGCGUUCUGUUCCCGUGAUUGGAUUUAACAGUAAUGCCGGGGGCAGUGGAGGUCUUGUGAAUUCAGAGACAGUGUUAAGUUGAAAGAUAGCCAUGAGAAAUUCUUCUACUGAUAAUGGUUUUUGGGUUGAAAAGUCGCAUACAAUGCCACAACUGCAACCCUGAAAUUGUUCAAAUACAUUUGGUGCUCAAGUACUUCUGGAGCAAUCUUAAAUGGAAGUGUGAGUUGUAUCCUAUAUGAUGGAUGGAAGCUUCUUCCUCGUCCUAAAUUAUCUACUUGCUGUCAUUGUGCAGCAUUCAGAAACAAAUAUGCAAUCAGGCCGUUUAUUUUAUUAUGUGCUUGGCUUGAUUUGUUCCUCUUGUCUUUUAUUUUUCUAUUGACAAGGGAGCUUAUUUUGUUACUAUGUGUGGUAGGAACACACUAGUUGUUAGUAUGUACAGGUUUAGGUAAUAUAUGAUUCCAUGUCUCCUUUCUUAUUAUUACAUGGAGAAGGGUAAUGGUGGGUUGUACUCGCAUCAUAUUUAUGAAAGAACUGUUUAUUUUAAAGGGCUAUUGGGAUGUGCAAACUUUGCUGAGAAAGAGGUUGACAAUUGAGCAUGCUGAAAUUCAAACGAACACUGUAGUGAGGAAUAAGUUAUGUUGAACCUGCUGCGUAAUUUUAUCUUUCUUUUUUUUAAGAUACGAUUUAGAAUUGUCAAUUUGUAUAUAUGUGCUACUUAUGUAUUCCCUAACUUGUGAGAAUAUCCAGUUUAUUUUUUUACUGUUUCUGUAUGAGUUUGGCAUGCUUUUACUUUGGUUUUUGUUGAGGUUCAUUCCACUUUGUAGGAUGAUUGAAUUGUUGAAAGAAUGUACUUGUUGUUCCUCCCGAAUGGAAUUUCAUUUUGACAGUAAUGGUUUAGGCUGCUUGGUACAAUAUUAUUGUUCGUAACGUGUUUAUAUAUAUGUGUGUGUGUGUGGAUACUGAUUGUUUAUUUUAUAAACAAGGUACCUAAACCAUACCAGGCCAGUCAAAAUCGGACAGCCAUUCGGUCUGACUGAACCCUAGACCGGUUGUACACAACCCUUUCAAGCAGUUUGAAAAAAAGAAUAUGUUUUUCUAUAUCAUCUUUUGGGAAAAAAAUAUAUGUGAACGGGUUAGAUUCUUCAAUCAACAACAUAUUUGUAUGUUUUGCUUUGCGUUUCAUCUGAGUGUUGUUGCUUUGUCUUUCAUCUAUAGAAGAAAAUUGAGUUGUGUUUUGUGACUAAGGAGAGUGAUAUGGUAGUGGCAAGGAAAGUAAAUGAGGCGAAUACAUACUUAAAUUUUUGUAACUUGAAGCCAUGCUUUAGGUUUAUACACAAGCAAAAUCUGAUAAUUUCUUCUUGGAAAAAUCAAACACAACAAAACUAAAUCUCACUAUUUUAAACAAAAUCAAUUGAUAAAGUCUAUCAUGAGCAUCUUUUGUCAAUAUCCUAUUCCUACUUGCUGGGAAAUAACAACAAUCAUUUGGUAGAAAAGUCAAAUGCACAUUUCAAUCAUAGCCCUGUGUUUUAAAAAAUGAAUACUACUUACACCCAUCGCUUUCAAUCGCACACGCUGAUUAUUAACAACAUUUAGAGCGUUAUGUUGAGACAAUGGUCAAUUUUGUUCCUCUUCAAAAAAAAAAAAAAGGUCAAUUUUGUUGUCACACACUAAGGAAAGUAAUGGCGAUGGUAAGGAAAGGAAUGAUGAUGAAGGAGUGAUUUGGCUUGCUAAGAAUGGAGUUGUGUCAUCUUCGGAUUCUCAUAUUCGGGAGAGUUGUCAUUCUCAUGUGCAUUUGUAGUUUUUUGCUUUCUUUGGUGCUUUAGUUUUUCCUUUAGUAAGAAAAAUAUUUGAAUGAAAAAAAUGUGAAAGGAAAUACAAAGAAAUAAUUGGUAAGAAAAGAUAAACGGGGUUGAAAUGUAACAAUGAAACAUGACAGAUCCAAUAAUUUUUAAUAGUAAGUGAGGUUUAAAACAUAUUUUAUUUUAUUUGAGACUUUUUUUGUCUUCACAUAAGAUCUUUUUGUUUAAAAAGCUUAGUGAAACAUAUUUUUUGUUAGUGAGUUUAAAGCUUAGUAGUCUUGCUCUUAGACCAAUCCUCAUACGAACGAAUGUGUAUGUAAGGGUUUUGGAUUUUUGUGCAAUCCAGAAGGUAAUAAUGGAAAGAUUAAUGGCUGAAUACUGUGAGAUUUUGAUUCAAUGACAAUUGGGAAUUACAAUCAAACAAUAAUGUUGAAUCAAUUUGUUAAUGGAAUAAAAAUACUAGAAAGUAAAGAUAGAAGAAGAACCUAAGCACAAAUAAAUGCUUAGGGUCAUACCCAUCAUUAUUACUACUUAAUUGGUGUAUAACAUUGUAACCUAUAAUAUAUUUCUUAAAAAAAAACCUAUAAUAUUAGUUCAUAUCAUUGCUUAAGUGUUUAUCUAAUUUUUUUCUUAUUAGAAAUCGAUUUCCUAAUCUAUCUUUUUAGAAAUCUUUAAGUUCAUACUAAAAUCAAUUUUCAUAACCUUCAAUCGAUUCUUUCAAGUUCAUUUUCUAUAUUUCAUAUUCUUCAACAUAAAAAUUAAUUUAUCUAGCCCUAAAAUCGGUUUAGGUACUAAUAAACGACUUAAGUCACUAUAGAAUCAUACAACAAUCAUUACAAUUCACAUAACAACCAAUUAAACAUCAAAUAUAGCACAAUUAACACGAAAUGCGUACAUUAAACACCAAAUAACACAUUAACAUUGAACAUCAAACAAUUACCAUCCAAACAACACAUAAACGUUUGCAAACAUAAUAUUCAAAUUGACGACAUAUCAUUAGAGAUGGUCUAGUCGUAUAGCAAUUAACCUAAUGCAUUGUUCCCACAAUUAUGCAAACCCUACUUAAUGGCUAUGAAACCCAAAGAUCAUGAGACAUAUUUAUUUAUUAUACUUACCAUCAUCCAUUAUAUUCCUUAUUAAACCCUUUCGUACCUUAACUGACGAUUUAUUUUCACAUAAAUUUGGUAGUAGACGUCGAUACAACUUUCUCAAGUCUAGUUCUCAAAGAAAGUUCGUAGAGUUAAAAGUAAGAAAAAAAAAGUCGGUUUGAGUAAAUUACGCGAAACAAAUCUAGAUUAUAAAGUUUAUCGAUCAAAGGUUGAUUAUGAUUGACUAGUAAAAACACUGACGUUUUUGAAUUAGGUCUUCCACAACAACAAAUAAAUUUGAAUUCGAUUGAUAUUUGACACUUAUGGUUAUUUGAAAUUUUGACCCAAAAUUAUGAUUUUUAGCUAAAUUUCAGUGACCAAAUUUAGUUUUAAGUUCCUUUUAUAGGUUUGGUUUUAUUUUCUCAAAAGAUUGAGUUUCAAACUUAAAUUCAUAUUUAAAUUUCAAAAAUAGUGUAACAUACUUUUUUUAACCAACUAAUAAAAUUGAUUUUUGUAACAAAAAAUUAAUUUUUUAGAUUAAAAAUAACAUUGUAUAAUACAACUUGAUGAAAUCAAUCUUUGCAAACAUAAAAAAUGAUCUUCCAUAGAAGUUUAAUUAAUGUUUUUUCUAAUUCGGUUGUAGAGGUCUUAACGUACCUACACUUACCAUCUUUUAUCCGUUUCCACUUAGACGGCUUCACAGCGGUGAAGUUAGUGACGCCACAAUAACGAAAGGGAUUACGACAUUUGAUUACAUUUAACAAGCGGUGGGGAAUGGCGGGGGAACGAGUGGUCGAUUUUUUUAAGACGUUUCGCGGCACUACACGAGUUUGUGCAAGGUAUACUAACAACCGCGUUGCCUCCAGGAUAAAACAGCUCAAUCCACCUGUUCGAUUACGCACUGCACCGUAAGUAAUCAUUCUAGAAAUAACACCCUCAAAUAUGGUUUAAUCAAUCGUUCGAUUAAACCACUCUACACGGUACGUAGACCAUUCGAAAUCGACGAGAUAGAAAUUAGUAUAAAUGACAAUUGUCCCUCAGGCCUCAGCAGACCAUGAAGUGAGAUACACGUAUACAUUUGAUGUAUACUUUUGCUUACCGCUUUUUUAACUUUAAAACCAUUCAUUUUACCUUUACUUUGAUAAUGAUAUUCCUUUUAUGUCUAAAAAAUGUUAGAAAAUAUAUGAUUUGGUUACUGGACAUUUUUUGGCUUGCGUUUCAAGCCGCUCGACCGAAGCUGUAGAAACAAAACUGCAUGUUGAUAUCGAUGGAAUAUGAUUUUUGGCCUUUGGGAGAAAUAUCACUGAGGUAUGAUGUUUAAGUUAUACGUAACUUUUAGUGGUGUCUUUCACUAGCUGCAAACUCACAGAUGUUUGGAAGCUAUUUAGGAGAAAUUUUUGUUGCAUUUUUUAACUAAAUUUCACAAUUCAUUAUGACAUAAAAACUUUUUAGAAGUCUAUGAUUGUUGGGAGUCUCCAGAGGUUCCAACAUUUACAAUUAACGAACAUGUGUAUUUUUAAUUAUCACACUGAUUUUGUAUUCAUUAUUAUGUUGUUUACAAAAAUUAUCAUACUGAUUUUCUUGUGUGAACUUCAGUGUCACAUUUUGUGCCUAUCAGAGGUUAAUAAAUAAGAAUUCAUAAGUGAGCGUGAGCUAUUGAUUUCAGAUUGAUGUCAAUAACUUUGAGCACGUUCAAGUCAGCCAAACAUAUCUUAGAGCAUUUACUAUGGUUUCAACACUUAACACACACUUUUUCUUUUCUCAAUACUCCACAUCAUUUUAUCUCUCUUCCGCCUAAUAUAAUUCAACACUCAUUCAACUUUUACAAUCUCCAAUAUUUUUUUUAAAACAUUCAACGCUCUACCCAUCACUUUUUAUUUCAUAUUCUUAUUUAAUUUUAUAUUUUUGUUUUUAUGAUUACAUAAAAUUACAAUUAUCGAUUAUAAUUAAAUUAAAAUAAUAAACACUUAGCCAUUUAUCUUUUAGAUUUUUGUAAAAAUAAAAUUUAUUUAAAUAAUUUAUUUUUAUUUUCUUAUCUUAUAUUAUUAAUUAAAAGAAGAUUAAAACUUCAAAACAAAAGCUAAUAGAAAGAUAAUAAUAUUAAGAUAGUGAAAAGCUUUGUUUUUUUUUUUUUUUUUGUGUCAAAAUCAAAUGAAACAAUAUUCUAUUUAUAGACAAAAAAAAUUUUAUGAAUUUUGGUAAAAAAAAAAAUCAUUUACAGUGAAAUAAUUGAAUUCAAAUAAUUAAGAUGAAAUAAACUUAGUCAGACAACCAGCAAGCGUCACGUGGCCUACUCUUGCCCCACCUUUGCAGAUUUCAACAUGUUGAGUUCUUUCAACAUCUAUCUCUUCCACGUCAUUUUUCCUCAACUUUCAACACACAAUUGCAUGCUUUUUAAGUGUUGAAAAUGACAUUCAACACACCGUUGUAAAUGGUCUUAGUGAAUUGGAACUGUUGAGUUCUAUGAGCACAGUAAGAAUAAUAUUAAAUUUUGCACAUUGAAUCUUAACCAUUUCCUGCAACUAAGUCUCCUAUUUUUUUAUUAAUUACAAUUGUACAG